AGCGGCCAUCUCCCUACAUCUUCCACUGUCAUCUUCUUUCUACAUCAUCGUCCCUAUCCAAAUAGGUCUCGAUCCACCGCCUCUUGUCCAAUGGCAGAACGAUCACCUUCACAUAAUCGGCACCACCAUCGAUCCAACCAGCCCCUACAAAGCUUUUCAAGGGCAACAUGUAUGGACAAAUAACUUCGAUUUUAGAAGCGGAACGACAUUCCAGCCAUCGGCGAGCUACUUCCUUCAAGAUGCCUUUGACCUAGGACCAAAAGUCAGCACAAGAGUGUUAACGUCAAUAAUGGAAAGAUUUGCAUGCAUGAUGUGAUAUUUUAGGACAAACACUUGAAAGUCGCUAGAAGGCGUUACCACUCUCCCUUUUCUUGCCCCUUGUUUGUUUGGAGAUGGUCCUCAAGAGGGAGUCCCAUCUUGCUAUGUGCCCAUGAAAAAACAAGUUAGACACUGUUUGAAUCCACUAAUAUUAAUAGUUAGCUAGCUACCUAGCUAGCUACUGGAAGAUUGGAUCCAUCCGCUAAUAUUAUUAGAAAAUAAAGUGUGAGUAUAUGUAUCUUAUGUGUUUUGUCUUAAUCUAUCUAAAAAUCCCUAGAACGCACUGUAUUAGAGGACAAAGAAAAUAGUUAGCAGAUCCAUUAGCAAGUCCGUUUAUAUUUUCACUUACUAAUUUUAACCGCUAAUUAUUAGUGUUACUGCAUGCGAAAAACAAUUUUCCUCUUCUGGAGAAGACUAGUGACUAGGAAUAGUCGGAAAAGAAAAGGCAGAAUUGUCGAAUCUUUAGUGCUGAAAGUGUCGCCGUUGUCCCAACCGACCGGUAAGCUGUUGAUACGGAUUCCUUCCAGUGAUGAUGUAGCGGAUGACGUUUCAACGGAGAGGCGGCUCCAUGGACAGCGACGCUCCAAAGGCAACUCCUCUCCCGACCGCGCUUCUUGCCUGUAGUGUAGCCCGCUGCCGUCGGCAGGUGCGGAUUGGGCCCACCGGCUAGCUGCUGCGCACACAACUGCGGGAAUCGUCGCUUUGCCCACAAAUAUCUGCGGCAGCCGUCUGGUGAACUGGUUGCCCUGUCGGAUUGGGAUGGUGUACGGUCGCCGACUCGCCGUCCUGUCAUCGGAGACUUAAGGGCACACACUCUAUCAUAAAGUCUAAAGUUAUUUAUUAUCUCAAACAAUAUAGAUUUAGAGUCUAUUUUUUCUACCUCUUUCUUCAAUAAAUAUGCUGCCGCAUCAGCAAAAUACCAUAAAUAAUAUGUAAUUAAGUAUUUUGGACUCUGUGAUAGAGUCUUGCAUUGUGAGUGCCCUAAGAGCUUGUUUAGAUCCAAAUUUUUUUUGGAUUUUAAUACUGUAGUAUUUUCGUUUUUAUUUGACAAACAUUGUCCAAUUAUGGAGUAAUAACUAGGCUUAAAAGAUUCGUCUCAUGAUUUAUAGACAAACUGUGUAAUUAGUUUUUAUUUUUAUCUAUAUUUAAUACUCCAUGCAUGUGCCGCAAGAUUCGAUGUGAUGGGAAAUCUUGUAAAGAUUUGGUUUUUUGGAUGCAUCUAAACAAGGCCUAAGGCCUUUUUUUUUGCAAAAUCCUUCGUUUUUAUUUGAUAAAUAGUAUUCAAUUAUAGAUUAACUAAACUUAAAAAAUUCGUCACGUAAAUUAUAGGUAACUUGUAUAAUUAGUUGUUAUUUUUAACUAUGAUCUUAUUUAGUUCACCCCAAAAACCAAAAAGUUUUUAAGAUUCUCCGUCACAUCGAAUCUUUCGGUAUAUGCAUGAAGCAUUAAAUAUAAAUGAAAAUAAAAACUAAUUACACAGUUUACCUGUAAAUUACGAGACGAAUCUUUUGAUCCUAGUUAGUCCAUGAUUGGACAAUAUUUGCCACAAACAAACGAAAGUGCUACAGUAGCGAAAUCCAAAAUCUUUUCGCAUCUAAACAAGGCCUAUAUUUAAUAUUCCAUGCAUGCGUCCUAAGAUUCGGGUCUUGUUUAGUUUCAAUUUUUUUUAAAAAAUGAGCACUGUAGCACUUUGUAUGUGACAAAUAUUGUUCAAUUAUAGAUUUACUAGGCUCAAAAGAUUCGUCUCACAAAUUACUGUAUAAUUAGUUUUGUUUUCGUCUAUAUUUAAUGUUUCAUGUAUAUACCACAAGAUUCGAUGUGACGGAAAAUCUUAAAAAAAUUUGGUUUUUGGUAAGGAACUAAACAAAGCCUCGAUGUGAUGGGGAAUCUAAAUCUUUUUGCAAAUAUUUUUGAGAACUAAACAAGGCCUAAGGCAACAAUUGAGCAUGCAUCAAAUCUUUAGACCCAUACAUGGACCACUAACUAUAGAUAAAAAAUAAUUAAUGUAAUUUAAAAAAAAAAUCUUAAUAUAAAAUUUUUCACCAACUAAACCAUAUCUAAAAACUAGCGGCCCUCCGCAAUCCACGUGGCAGUGGCUAUUGGCGCCUAGAGAUUCCUGGUCUCCUUGUCUCUGUCUCUCCGCCAAACAGCCAAAGGCUGGCAUGCACCUGACCGUCGCUUAAACAAAGCGAAUUUUUUGUGAGCGACUAUAAAAGAUUAUAAUUUUUUACGAGCCACUAAAAAAGUUUAACGGUCUUCAAGCUUACUGCUCUAAAUAUUUGUUGCCCUCUAGGCCAUUGCCACUAGAUUAGACUCUAAAUAUUCUGUUAAUUUUUUUGAGCAUCUUAAUAACUUUAACUAGAAAAACUCAAAACUAAAAAGUUAUAGAUCUCAUCGAGAUAUACUAUUUUUGUAUAAAAAUUAUUUCCAUUCAAUAUCACAAAAACAUAUAAUUUUUCUAAGAUAUAUAUUAACCAUACCAAAUCAUAUCUUUUUUUUUGCAAAAUUAAAUGAAAAUAAUCUCGACAAGAUCUACAACUUUAUAGUUCUUUCAUUUGAAGUUGUUAAGAUGCUCAAAAAGGAUAUUUUCAUCUUUUAACACUGUUAGAGUCCAAUCUAACGGUAGUAACAUGAAGGGCAAAAAAAAAUUAGAGCAAUAGUGCUCAAGUCCAUUAAACUUUUUUAUGGCUCAACAAAAAAUUGUGAUUUUUUACAAUAACUCACAGGGGAUUUUCUCAAAAAAGGUUUAGAGUGCAGUGCAGUGCAACCAACGGUGUUGGCAAAAAGAUCACCAUCUCUCUGUUUGGACCAUUACUCAAAUCAAACGAGCGGCGGCCUUGUUUAGAUGCACCCAAAAACCCAAAACUUUACAAGAUUCUCUAUCAAUCGAAUUUUGCGUCACAUGCAUGGAACAUUAAAUAUAGAUAAAAAAAUAACUAAUUACACAGUUAACAUGUAAAUCACGAGACGAAUCUUUUAAGCAUAGUUACUCUAUGAUUGGACAAUGUUUGUCAAAUAAAAACGAAAGUGCUACAGUGUCAAAAUUCAAAAAAAAUUGGAUCUAAACAAGGCCAUUUCGAUGGCUUAUAUCUCUCUGCUCUACAGUACAUUGUUUUCUCAAAUCAAAUAUAAUGCGUAAUGCGUAAAUUGCAAAAAAAAAAUUCUUGCGCUAAUCAGCUGAAUCUGUCGGCCAUUCAAUAGUGUUUUUCUCUCACAAUAAAUCAGCAAACAGUACUUUCUACCAUGACUUAUCACCCAAAUAAACAAGCGACGAUGAACUAGACCUCCUUUAUAAAAGGACAAUCCUUGCAUAAAUGCUUUGGGUUGGGGGUGGAUGCAGAGCUUACAGGCUAGAUCAUGUGGGCAUCCUGCUCAGAUACUGUUUGUUGGGGUGGAUGCAGAGCUUACAGGCUAGACUAGAUAAUGUGGCCAUCCUCUUUUGCUCAGAUUGUUUGUUGUGAGUAUUUUACGUUGCAAAUAAAGAAAUGACAUUUUUGUUCUGCUCUGGCCUUCUUGAUUGGCGUGAUCAUGAUCUUGGUGAAGGUUCAUUUAAAUUGAAUUUGGUAAGUGCUCUUUGUUAUAUAUUCACCAUUAGUAGUCCAUCUCCAACUAAUCUCAUCCUCCACAUCUAUUUGACGCGUUAUAUUCUUGGAUUGCUUCUUGAAGUUUUAUAGAUUCUUGUACCACUGUCGAUGUGACAAUCAGAGCUAUAUUAUAUAAUUAAGCAGCCCACUUGUUAGCAACUAGAGCCUUUUGUACUAUGAUAUUCUUGUGAAUUGCUUUCGCAAAUAAGGUUGGUGCAAUGUCUUUAGCUGAUCUACCAUUGAUCUAGCUUGAUGUCCAACAAAAUGUUCUUUUGCAAUUUCCUACUUUUAACUAUUAUCAACACAUUGAAUAGAUUGUGGACUAUCGAGUCACAUUGCUCCAAAGUCCAAAUUAGUCCAAGCUUUAUUUUUGUGCUACCAUUUGAACCAUAGCCAGCACAACCUUAGUGCUCAUGCAAAACGUUCGAGAUCAGGGAUCCCUAGGCCCCUUCAACACUCUUCAGAAAACAAGUUGUUGGUCAAUUAAUAAGUGAUCAAUGUCGACCACUGACUUUCUCCAAUUCUUCUCCAUGCCAAAGGAAACUCCUUCCAAUGCUAUUGAAUUAUUUAAUCAACCAUUUUUAGCCAAGAAAACCAUGCGAUGAUAGAUACGUUGUGAUGGUACAAAAUCUUUACCAAGGUUUCUUGCCCCGGUGUUGUCAGCAUUUUUCCUUUACAUCCUAGGAAUCAACGACUACCAGCCUUGUCAAUCAAGGGUUGCACCAUGAUUUUCCUUAGACCUAGUUUAGUUUUAAAAAAUUUUCAAAAUUUUUCGUUACAUCGAAUCUUUUAAACGUAUGUAUAGAACAUUAAAUAUAGAUAAAAAUAAAAACUAAUUACACAGGUUACCUGUAAUUUAGAAGACACAUUUUUAAGCUUAGUUAAUCUAUGAUUGGAUAAUAAUUAUCAAAUACAAACAAAAGUGUUACAGUAGUCAAAGCUGUUUGAAGAGAUAAACCAAGAUAGUUCUCUGGAAACGCUGAGAUUUUGCCUUGAAGUUGGCCGUGUUUAGUUGAUGAAGUGAAAAAUUUUGCGACACUGUAGCACUUUCGUUUGUUUGUGGUAAUUAUUGUCCAAUUAUGGACUAACUAGGCUCAAAAGAUUCGUCUCGUGAAUUUCGACUAAACUGUGCAAUUAGUUUUUAUUUUUGUUUAUAUUUCAUACUUCAUGCUGCGUCUAAAGAUUUGAUGUGACGGGGAAUCUUGAAAAAAUUUUAAGUUUUUGGGUAGAAGUAAACAAGGCCUAAAGUGGUAGAAAGUUUUGUAAGAGUGGUUGGACUGCUAUUAAUUGCUUCCAUUUGAAUCGAGAAAAUCUCUGUUUUGGUCAUAUAAAUUGUGACACGCGAGGAGGAUUUUUUUUUUAUGUGUAGAUAAUUCAGCAGCCAAUGCAUUGGAAAAGAUGGCUGCAUCAUCUACAAUAAGGGGACAUCCCAAGUUUGUUGCCUUCGGAAACAUCGGUUUUAGAUAUCAGCAUAUGUUGCCAAUUUGAUUAUGCGUUGUAGAGGUCAAUAGCUAAAAUGAAGGACAUAAUUCCUCCAUCAUGUAAUAUAGUUCAUUCUACCAUUCAAAAUUAGUUUUCAAAUAUAAUACAUUAUAGAGGACAAAACUCAAUUUUGUAUUAAAUGCUUUUUAUUUAUCAACCAAUCACCGUUAAUCAAGUUGAUGAUUUUAUCUAAUUAAGAAAUAAAGUGAGAGCACAUGUGUCUUUUAUGUUAUUUCUUAAUUUGUCUUAGAAUUCUUAGGAUACACUAUGUUACAGGAUAGAGGGAGUAGGUGACAACGGAUUAGAGUCGUUAUUGACAUUAAUUAUCUAGCAUCACUCGUAUUAGUAUAUUACAAAACUUUAGACUUUUCUUUUGGCCAUCAUUGAAAUUACUGAAAUUCGUAAAUUUCGGUGAAGUUUUGCCUAAAUUUUGAACCCUGGUGCACGUUGCUUCGCUACACCUCGCAAGGUUAGUGUACUACGCAAAGUACAUUGUCUUUUCUAUUUGUUCAACAUUAGUUGAAGCACAUGCAUGUGGGUUAUUUUUUUUUCCCGAGGAAUGCAUGUGGUUUAAUUAUAUUGCUUUCUAGGAGAGGUUGCAUAAAUCUUCCCUUUUGUGUUCUGUAAAGAUGCAAAAUCCAAGAAAUCGUCAUGCAUUAAUAACGCCAUUCUGUACCCUCGUCACGCAUUAUUAUCGAAGAUAAGAUCCACCACUGAUGGACAUUAAAGAUUAUUAAGGAUAAGUGCUGAAGAACGUGCAUAAAUAUUAUAUUUGCCCUGGCUCACUUUCGUAUGCCUUGUCUCGUGGAGAAAUUUGAGCUUUCUUCGUUCCACGUACACCGACAUUUAAAGUACACUCUCCUAAUAAGUUUGCUGUUCCGACAGACAUAUAGACCCGUUAGCUUUUCUGAAGUUUCACGUUCAUACAAUAGGGGGCCUUGCGGUGAUGUAUUAUGAGCUAAAAAGUUUGAUUGUUCCUUUCCACCGAACUAGUACUAAUCAACUAGUCCAUGCGUAAAGCUGCUACUGUAUACGUACUAUAUAUACAGUACGCACAAUGAAAAAAAUAACACAUUGUACUCUUGUGUGUCACACAUUAAAGACACGAUAGCAUAGUGUAGCUUAGUACGCCACACCAACGAUUGAAUCAAGAUGACUUACAAUAUCAAAUUAGUUUUAUGAGCACUAGUACAAAAUUGAUUUUUGUUAGCUUUUGUGAUUUUUUCACUAAUGGUUCAUAAUACAUAGACGCUAGUAGAAAUGUAAUUUGAGCCCAUGGCUAUAAACCAGCUGUUUUCUUAAGUCUACCGUCAGCUGGUGGUUUUCUUAACCUAGUGCAACUGUAAAUAAUUUUAUUUUAUUUUAUUUUUUAAAAAAGGCCCUCGGAUGGAGAAAUGGUCUAAACAUAAGUUAUAGUAUUCGAAAAGGUCUACGACUAUAUAGUUGAAUACUUUUUCAUUUGAAAUCAUUUAGGGCUCGUAAAUUAUGUUUUAAGAUUAAUUAAUUAUUUCAAUGGUUGGAAAAACGAUUAAAAUCAAAAUUGUAGAUCUCAACGAGCUUUCAAACUUUGUAGUUAAGACGUUUUUCAUAAAUCUGUUUAGGGCUUCAAGUCUCCAUUUUAAAAUUUGGUACAGUGAAUACUAAAGGUAUAUUUAUGUGUUAAGUCAUAGAUGACUUUAAGGUGCAAUGAUAAGAGGUGUGACACACGAGAACUAAGGUUCUGAGCUCGAUUCCAGAGAAGCAUAUGCGCGUAUUUCUCGUGAAAAUGUUACGGUAUAUGCAGUGUAAAUAUUUAUAGUGGCUGUUCCUGACCUUUCACAAUGGAAGUUUGCUGUUCUUUACUGGUCUUCCACACUAGCAGUAGAUAAAAAGCGCCAGUAGAAAUAUAAAAAAUACCGUCUUCCGUCAGUAAAGGUAUUUCCUAUACUAGUGAAACACACCUUGAAAAUAUGUGUUGAUAGUGAAUAAAGUAAAAGAAGCUUAACUAAACACAAAACCAAAAACACUUUAGCCACAAUGUUUUUGGGACGCAGUUGUUUCUUUAAGAAAAAGAUCACAUGAAAAUUUCAAAACAAUCAUAGAAAAACACAUGAAUAAAGAAAUUUUUUCAUAUUUUAAACAUGGCCUUACAUUUCGAAUGGAGGGAGUAGUUUAUGUUUGAUGGUAUAAGAUUAACGAGUCACGCAUGGCAUUUAUGCCAUCUGCUAUUUGCAUGAUUGACUACAUAUUUUAGGCUUUUAAAUGUGUGUUUUUGUGAUAUGAAACAACAAUAUGAUAGUGGAGGUAGUAUAGUAUUGCGAAGUUCGUUCUGAAAAGAGUGAAUUCACGGUGCAGAGUGCCAACAAAAAAGAAGUGUAUUUCUCCAAGGUUGGUUCUUAAAAAGCAUAGUGUGCGAUGGCGUCUUUCUAAGAGUAUGUUGAGAUCUUCAUAUUUUGUUCUCUAAAAUAUAGUGUUUGCCAACUCUUAAAUUAGUAUGAGGAAAAAAAAGUCAUCUCCAAGAGUUUCCUAUAUUUCUAUUUUAAAAGUUUUUUUCUCUGGCACUUUUUUCUAUGACAUGGUCUCAUAUUUUGUACUAGGAACCUGAAUUUGUUUAUUAUGCAUUUAAACCCUUCCGACAAAUCUUUCUCUUAUGUGUUUUUCUCACCUUGAACCCUGUCUUUUUUCCUAUUUACUAGAUAGACCGGAAAACUCCGGAUGCGCGCUCCUAAGCCACGUGCAUAUAUGCGCACUCGGAAUAAAUUUUUACGAGGUCAAGAAAGAUAGGAAGGGAGGAUCCUAAACUAUUAGAGAGUUUUUUUAUUUUGUCAUAAAAAUAAAAAUAAGAAUGAGAAAGUCGGAUGGUAAACACACUAAGAUAGAAUAUAUAAUAGUUUUAUGUAUCUAUAUUUUUUAUUAAUCAAUGAAGUACGAUCGUAUACCUUUCUGAUUCUUUUAUCAGUGAGUAUCCAGAAAGCGUGUACGCAAGCACUAAGCAGUAAGCACACACGAAACGUCCUUAGCUCUCCAAUCUAUAUAUUUUUUCUAAACUAUAAAUCCCAUUUGCAUGAAAAUGCUACAGCACUACAUCGAUGCCUCACAUAACAAUAAUAAUAUAAUAAUAAGAUGGUACGUAAUUAAAAGGUCAGACCACAGACGGCAACUGGCGAUUGAUAAUGAUCCACCUAUUAUUCCCCUACGCUGAAAUGAGUUUUUUUUUCACCGUGUCCACGACGUGUCAUGACACGUCCAUAGAGAAACCAAGAGAGGGUAGGCGCGCAAGAAAGAGUUCCAAAAACCUAACGGCAGUCCAUUCAUAUGGAUGCAUGGUGCCGGGUGUCCCAAAAUAAAAUCCUGGGGUGGCCACGAAGAGAGACAGCUGUUAAGCGAGCGGAAAAUAUCGAGCUCCAGCUGGUGACCACAGGCCUGGACGGUGGGCCCCCUGGUGGUCCUCGUCGGUCCACGGAGCAGAGAGAGCUUGGGCUGGCGGCCGUCCGUCCGUUGUACAAGAACUGUAGGGUGUGGCGGUAUGCAGGCAUGCCGGCCGUGGAAUGGUGGUGGAACCAACAAUGGAGACGGACAAAGAAUCUAGGACGAACAAACCCCGUAAUGUGUCCAGUCCAGUGGUUGGGAGCAGCGGCCAGCCACACAGCUCACCUCCCCGGUCCGUCCACCGUCAUCAUUCAGGGGACUCUACCUAGUAGGACGACUAAUUAAGUUUUUUUUUUCUUUCUUUCAGCCUUCUAUCAGGCCUAUAUAGAACAUAUAUAGCCUAAAUUAUACGUACUAACUAAAAAAAAAGCUAGAUGACUAGCUUGAGGCUAUAACUACCGGCAAAUGGAACAAUAGAAAUGUAGGAGUAGGCUGUAUAGUGUAUCAAUCUCUACAACUAAAAAUUAUGAAAAAGACCCAUCUACCACAACUAUGGUGAAGCCACAACUCUCAUCCCUUUUAGUCAUGAUAGGCUAUCCCAUCAACCUAGGCCCCACUCACCCAUGCAUGCAAAAUUGUUUUAACGAAUUUAAAAAAGUCAUAACUUUUAAAACCGAAGAUAUAAAUUAAAUUCCGAUUGCACCAUUAAUUUUCUCAUAACAAAUCCUUCAAAACAAGAUCAUACGUGGAUAUAUUUAGAUAAAAUUUUAUUAAUGAAUAUUUAUCUCUACAACUAAAAAUUAUGGAGAUGACCCAUCCACAACUUCCAUCCUUUUGGUGGUCUUUUUUACUGCGCGAUGACACACUAUCCCAUCAACCUAGGCCCUACUCACCUAUACAUGCAAAAUUGUUAUAGCGAAUUCAAAAAAGUCAUAACUCCUAAACUAGAGAUAUAAAUUAAAUUCUGAUUGCACAAUUAAAUUUCUUAUAACAAAUCCUUCAAAACAAAAUCACACAUGGAUAUAUUUAGAUAAAAUUUUAUUAAUGAAUAUUUAUCUUAUAAAGAUAACAUAUUUUCUUUUAUUAAGUGGAAACAAUAUUUUAGGUUCAAUAGACAAUGUUUUAUCUUUGUAAAAAAAUGUUAUCGAUUUAGAAUAAUAGUAUUUUGGUUUUAGGUUUAUGAAACUGAUAUUACAAUAUACAUAAAAAUACAUAAAUACAUGACAUAGAUAAAAAAAAUUAAAAAAAUCUAGAGUAAAAAGCAUAAGAAAAAAUAAAAACACAAAAUGGAGAAAAAUUUCAAAUAAUGUCAAAGAGUUACUUUUCAAAUAUCGUAAACAUCAUUAAAUAUAUUAUAGAACAUCACAUCUAUUAUAGAUUACAUGUAUACCAGGUAAACACCGUAGAAAACAUUAUAGAAUAUCACAUAUAUACUACGUAAACAUGACAUAACACAACAUAGAACACUAAAUAUAUAUUAAAUAAAUACCACAUAUAUAUAGAAAAUAAAAAUAAAAAAAUAAAAUUACUAAGAAAAAAAUAUAAAAACAAACAUAAUUAACAAAUGAUAAAAAGUGCAUAGAAAAAAUAAAAUUAAUGAAUAAUUUAAAUAAGGAUAAAAAUAAGAUUAAAAGGAAAUAAAAUAUAAAAUAAGAAUGAAGAAACAUAGAAAAUGUGAAAAGAAAAAAGAAAAACAAAUAAAAGCAAGGAAGAACAAUAAAAAGAAAACCAAAGAAAAAGAAAAUAAAAGGUAAAAUUAAAACAAGAAAAUAAUAAGGAAAGGACAGAAAAUAAAAUAAAAUCGAAAAAACAAAAACUAAAAAGAAAUGAAAAAGGAAGAAUAUAGACAGAAAAAAUAAAAUAACAACGAAGAAACAUAAAGUAUGCGGAUUUUAAAACACGUAACAACGUACGGGCAUUAACCUAGUCAAAAUAGGAAUAGCUAUCGAUAUUGGUGAUGAUGAGACACUAUUUAUACAUGAAAUACAUUAGGAAGGGUUUGAGCGUCUAUGUAUAAUUUUAUUGACCCUUUAGGACGUUGCUAUUGCGUGUUGUAUCGAAUAUUUUUUUAAAUUCAAUAUAAAGACAUGUAAUCAUUUUCUGUGAUUGAGAAAAAAUCGUAUAAAUAUAAUAAAUCCUGAAAAUGUUUGGGUUGAAAUUCGUAGAGCCCCGGGAUGCAUUUGUGGUUUGCGCAACAGAUACGAAAUGUCACCUCCCGCCGGGCCCCACUUGGUGGGCCCAGGGCGAACCCUACGGCGCACGAUAAAAGGAGACGUUGGAGGCUUUCCUCCCGGACCGGACCCCAACCAAAACCCCUCCGUCCUUCCUUCCCAACCGACUCCCAAUUCCACUCUUCGCGUCUCGCCUUCUUCUUCCGUCCUACGCAAUGGUGGCCGCUCGCCUCCGCCUCGCGCUGCUGCUACUCCUCCCCGUGUUCCUCUGCUCCGCGUGGGCGCGCCCACGCCUCGAGCCCACCAUCCGCCUGCCGUCCGACCGCGCGGACGACGCCGUCGGGACACGCUGGGCCGUGCUCGUCGCCGGUUCCAAUGGCUACUACAACUACCGCCACCAGGUACAUACGCGCCCCCGUUCAGUUCCUCUCCGCUCCUUUUCGGAGAUCGAUCGAAACAGACCCUCGCUCAUGCUGCGUCAUCGGCUUGUUGGCUGCUUACUCGAUUCCGUUAUUUCCGUCCCGUUUGCGUAAUUUGAUUUCCUUCGUGAUGUGAUGAUUUUGCCUUUUGAAAUCAUCUGUGCGAGCAACCUGUGUAGAACCUGAUUCGGGGCAGGAGUACGAUUUGAAUAUUUGAUAUGACAGCUGAUCAUCCACAAUUAAAGCUACAAAUAAGGCCUUGUUUAGCUCACCCUGAAAACCAAAAAAAUUUACAAGAUUCCUCGUCACAUCGAAUCUUGUAACACAUGCAUGAAACAUUAAAUAUAGACGAAAACAAAAACUAAUUACACAGUUUAGCUGUAAAUCACGAGACGAAUCUUUUGAUCCUGGUUGGUCCAUGAUUGAUAAUAUUUGUCACAACCAAACGAAAUUACUAUAGUACCGAAAAUUUUUCACUUUUCGGAACUAAACAAGGCCUAAGAUUAUUAUUUCUCGCUCGCUGCCCAUCCGGUGCACCGCCCGAUAAUAAUAGUAAUAUACUAGGAAGAUUUUUUCCGUUUCGGUCCACCUCAUUCGCCGGCCGUAUGAACUGGAUUCGGUUCUGUUGUUCGUUCUGGCUUUAUUCUUGAGAUGGGAAAUUGGAAGCUCAGGUAGGUGAUGAAACUUCUCUGACUUUUGGGGCCUACAUGUCACCAUCAGUGUAGCGGGGAUCAGCACUCACGGCCAAAUAUAUACUGCUGAUCUUUUAUAAACCUGCCUAGAUACACGACAGUUUAAUUAUUCAUAUUCAUAUCAAAUCAAAUGGACAAACAGGACACCAAAAAUACUGUUUUUACUAUGUGAUGGAUGACUGAUUGUACUGAGCAAGUGAGCAUCAUUCAUCUAGCCUAUGCGUGUUCCAAGUUACUACUACUAGCUGCAGUAUGAUUUUUACCCUUCUAUAUUAGCUUGAACAUUAUGGUUAGAGGAAUAACCAUAAUAAGUCCUAUGUUUUUAUUGACAAAGAAAGGUUAACUACUAAUAUAACAGUAUCUUUUGUUGGAAGCUAAUACAAGCUCUUUUUGGGAUUGGAACUUGCAGGCGGACAUCUGCCAUGCGUACCAAAUCAUGAAGAAGGGAGGACUCAAGGACGAGAACAUCAUUGUCUUCAUGUACGAUGACAUCGCACAUAGCCCGGAGAAUCCGAGGCCAGGUGUCCUCAUUAACCAUCCCCAGGGUGGCGAUGUCUAUGCUGGGGUUCCAAAGGUAAUCCAUACUUUUAUUCCUUGAGUAAAGUUUACACUAGUUAGACAUGUUCUAAGAUUAACUUAUAACUACUAAGUGGAGCGGUUGUGAAAAAGAAAAGUCACAUCGCGACAGUCUUAUAGUUAAUGUAUUUAACCCCGAAAAUACCAAUAGCACCAAGUACUAUAGUGAAAAUGACAGAGUGGCUAAAUAAGUAAAUAUUCCCGUCGGCCUAACGUCUUUGGCCUAUCUGUCAUGAAAAACAAAACUGGAUUGGUCCACAGCAAUUUUGUGACAAUAAGCUUGGAGAACCUAAUUAGUAAUUACAAUUGAAACUUGCACAUACUAAUGUCAACAUCCGUCUAAUAAAAUCCUAGCAAAUCUUUUGCCGCCUUUCUAAAAAAAAUGUCAACAUAUUUAUAAUACUGAUAGUUACGCACCAUUAGUCUCAAUAUUCCAUCCAUUUGGCUUGAAUUAAUAUGUUCUCCACUGCAGGAUUACACUGGGCGAGAGGUCAGUGUCAACAAUUUCUUCGCUGUUCUGCUUGGCAACAAAACUGCUCUGAAAGGUGGGAGCGGCAAGGUUGUGGACAGUGGCCCCAAUGAUCAUAUCUUUGUUUUCUACAGUGACCAUGGAGGUCCUGGUGUCCUUGGUCAGUACUCGCAACUAAUCGUAAUUGAUUUAAUUCAGAUUAGAUAUUUCAUUAGAUAAAAUAUCAGUGCGUACCUGCAUGUAGAACCAAAAUAGCACAGUUAUUUACUCUGUAAAAAAAAUUCAGGAAUGCCUACGUAUCCGUAUCUCUACGGUGAUGACCUCGUAGAUGUCCUGAAGAAGAAGCAUGCUGCUGGGACCUACAAAAGCCUGGUAUCGUUAGUUGUUUGUUCAGUUCUGCUCUGCAUAGUUGUGAUAUGUAAAGCAAUGGCUUGAGGUAUAUGCGUAUUCUUUCACCUUUUGUAGGUCUUUUACCUUGAAGCAUGCGAAUCUGGGAGCAUCUUUGAGGGCCUCCUGCCGGAUGACAUCAAUGUGUAUGCCACCACCGCGUCAAAUGCAGAGGAGAGCAGUUGGGGGACGUACUGCCCUGGAGAAUUCCCAAGCCCUCCACCGGAGUAUGACACAUGCUUGGGAGACCUGUAUAGUGUUUCUUGGAUGGAAGACAGGUACUUUGAUUUUUCGUGUCUUUUUCAUUGCAUUUCGAUCCUGUCAGACCAAUCUACAUGUAGUACUAUGGAUCUGUGUCUGUUUCGGUUUCAUUCACAUCAGUUAGUUAACAAAGUACUUGAUAAACCAAUAAGUUAGUUAACAUAGUACCGUACAGAUUUGUUAUCUAGGAAUGAUUAACCAAUUAGUAUGGUACUACCUGAUAACUUGACUACCCUGUCUAUGUUAAUUAAAGUCAGAUGCUGAAGGAUAUGCAUGUGUUACUUUGCUCUACUUUUAGGUGCACAUGCUUGUCAAUAAAUUUAUUAAUUUUCCCCACGAUAUGAUGCCUCGCAGCAGUUGUUUUGGACCAUGUGCUCUGUACUUAACUUCUUUAAAAAAUAAUGGACUGAACAUUUAAAUUUGCACAGUUUCCGUAGUGGGAUAGAGAAGAAAUGAAAUACAAGUAAAAUGAGUCUUCACCAGCUAUUGUGCUGCCCUUCCCAGCUCACACUCUACACUAUGAGAUGGACCAGAUGUUACAGCAGACCACAUUCUGUUGCUGCAGCAGUGCAGCUCAACUCAAAUUAUGCAUGUAACUAGUUAGCCUCUAGCCCUUGUAUACGCUUCAAAUCUGAUAACCAUAGAAUUAGACUCAUUUAUUCUUUUGUAGUGCUCUGUUUUUUAUAAUACGUCUAAGGCCUGGUUUAGUUCCACAAAUUUUCAAGAUUCCUUGUCACAUCGAAUCUUUGGACACAUGCAUGGAGCAUUAAAUAUAGACAAAAAUAAAAACUAAUUACACAGUUUGCUUGUAAUUUACAAGAGGAAUCUUUUGAGCCUAGUUAAUCCGUGAUGGGAUAAUAAUGGUCAAAUACAAACAAAAGUGCUACAGUAGGCAAAGCCAAAAAAUUUCACAAACUAAACAAGGCCUAAAUAUUGGGGUGGAUCAGCUGUGCGUAUAAUGUUAUUUCUUGGUUCCUGUGUUUAAACUCUGAAGAAAGAUACCACUUUUCCUCAUUUAGUGCUUAUUUGAAAUUUCUCAAUGUUGACAGUGAUUUCCACAAUCUGCGAACUGAAUCUCUCAAGCAGCAGUACAAGUUGGUGAGUGUUUUGAACAUGAAUUUAUUAAGCGUUACCUUCCAGCGACACUUCACUAUGCCUAAUCAAUGUAAUUUAUUGGUUGAUCAGGUCAAGGAUAGGACAGCAGUUCAGGAUACAUUCAGCUAUGGCUCCCAUGUGAUGCAAUAUGGCUCAUUGGAGUUGAAUGUUCAGAAAUUGUUUUCGUACAUUGGCACAAACCCUGCUAACGAUGGCAACACAUUUGUAGAAGAUAACUCAUUGCCAUCAUUUUCAAAAGCUGUUAAUCAGCGUGAUGCUGAUCUUGUCUACUUCUGGCAGAAGGUUUGGAAAUCAUGAGAAAGCUAGUUAUGUUGACUGUUGUCAGAAGAUCUCUUUACUGCAAUUUAUGCAUUCAUUUCGAUGAACAAACCAACUGAUUGGCUUCUUUAUCUCUCAUGAAGUACCGGAAAUUGGCUGAUGACUCAUCUAAGAAAAAUGAAGCUCGGAAGGAAUUGCUUGAAGUGAUGGCCCACCGGUCUCAUGUUGACAACAGUGUUGAGCUCAUUGGAAGCCUUCUCUUUGGCUCUGAGGACGGUCCAAGGGUUCUGAAAGCCGUCCGUGCAGCUGGUGAACCUCUGGUUGAUGAUUGGAGUUGUCUCAAGUCCAUGGUAAGCCUCUAUUGACUAUGCUUGCAGCUAAAGCAUGAUUACUCUUGUUCUGCUUGCAUUUUUGCAUGCCUAACCAACCUCUGCAUUUGCUUCAGGUUCGUACUUUUGAGGCACAAUGUGGGUCAUUGGCGCAGUAUGGGAUGAAGCACAUGCGAUCCUUCGCAAACAUCUGCAAUGCUGGCAUCCUUCCUGAAGCAGUGUCAAAGGUCGCCGCUCAGGCUUGCACCAGCAUUCCUUCCAACCCCUGGAGCUCUAUCGACAAGGGUUUUAGCGCCUAAAAGCCACAGGUGAGGCGAAAUAUUACAGCAGCUCCACCACACCGAACUCCAUUACAUUACGGUACUCAGGGGGUCUUAGUUCUUGAAACAUAGGUGAAGCAGACUUAUACCAUUAUUAUAGCUGUUCCACCGUACCAGAUUACGUAGCCAUGCCCAAUUUCCGGUGUACAUACAUAUACAUAGUCGGAAAGUUAUUUGGCAAUUGUAUUGGCCGUUGGUGUAUAUAUUCCCUAUAGUUUGUUAGCAGAUGUGUAGUUUGUAAUUCCAUAAAUGAAGAGCAUUGCUGCUAUUUCUAUAUAGCCGAUUGAUGUUCAUGUGAAACUUUACCUCAUUCUUGUUGGGAAAUGGACUAUCCAUGGUGGAAUUCUUGCAUGGAAUCAAUCCCCUGAGUGAUCCUUUAUUCAAAAUGAAUCGUUUGUUCAUUUCCACGUGAGGUUCGGUUUACUUUCAGUUGUAGGCUUGUGGUUGGUGACAUCUGUUCCACUAUGAUGCUAAACAACAAGUAUGGGCAGUUUCAUUUGUUUCGUUCUCUUUGUCACAUUGCUUUGCACUAUAUACCUGCAGUAGUUACCCAUGGAAAGAAUUCCAUCCAUGAGAAUCCCAAUAGUCACUGUUCAGCUGAAAAUUGUUCCCCCUUUCGCCCCGAAGCAUGCUGGGACUGUGUUAGCUGCCGGAAUUGGAAUUAGAAUUGGAGAGGAAUUAGGGAAGGAAGCAUGAGCAAGGGUAGGCUAGCAAGAGGUUUAGGAACUACGAAGGAUUGACUUUCAUUCAUUCAGAAUUGUCUUAUACUGUACUGUACAAUGGCUUAAGCCUUCUGUGAUGUACUGUACUACUUCCUUCCUAUUUAUUUAUCCUCGCCAAAUCUUAACAUACGCUGCCACGCUUACAUGAGCCGAAUCCAUUGGUGAACUGUAGUUGUAAAAGGAUCUUUUACCCUGUGAGUAUAUGAUGACAUUUUGCUAGAAAUAUUUGGACUUGGGCUUAUUUAUGUUUAUUAGGUGGUGUUAGCAGCUCAUUCCGUGGCUUAGCUUAUGCUUAUAACUUGUGAUGCCUAUGUUCCCCUUUGAGCCAAUGUUCAGUAUUUGUGACAAUGUUCCUCCUUGAUGAGUAGGCAAAGGCGCGACUAAUUCAUUGGACACGGCACACGUGUUGGAGUGUUGAAAAUAAAACAGAAUCAAUCUUUCAUAAAAAAAAAAGAGAGAGAGAAAAGAAUCAAUCAAUCAAGACGAUACUUGCAGAUGUAUGCAUCCAUAUACAGUUUAGGCUUGCAAAGGCAUCAAAUUCAGACGAAAUAAUCUAAGACCUACAGAAGCAUGCAAAACAUUCAAAUUCUAACACCAUAAUUAAGCUGUGUACUUGUCUAGUUGUCCAUUAUGUAAAACAGCAUCCCUACAUGAUCACACUUGCUUUCGGACGCUGAAGAAACCAGACAAGAUGAGUUCGUGCAGUGCAGCUAUGAGCUAUGCAACGCCAACCAAGAACGUUGUUGGCAUGGGGAAGCGUGCUGGAUUCUGGCGCGGCGACGACGAAGCCCGGUCCUGCGUACGAAAAUAAGCGCUUGGUAACCGCGGCAUGUACCCACAAUAAGGGCUUGUUUGGAAUAAAAGAUAGCAAAACAGAGGAAAGGGAAAAAACAUAGGAUGAGGUAUAGAUGUUAUGGGAAAACAGAGGAAUAGAAAAACACAGGAAAAUAUGGAUGGAGGUGUUUGGAACGUAGAAAUUGGGAACGGUGGAAUAAAAUAGAUUAUAGAAAUAAUAAUACAAGCUUUAGUACUUAAUCAGUGCAAGCUGCAUAGCAGCAGAGAUUGGACAGUGACGUGCAUAAGGUAGCCAAUGUUUAAGCAGCGUUAUUGUCUCGUACUUCAUGAAGGAAGAGAAAACCUGAGUUCAGAUUGGAUUUUAGUUUUCCUUUGAAAUGAGAAGCCUGCAAUAGUGUUCCAUAGGAAAGGACCACGACAAUCCUUUGAUCCAAACGCUCAGGAAACUAUCCUCUGUUUUUGUUUCCUCUACUUUUCCUAAAAAAAUACUUCACUCCAAACAGGCCCUAAAGUCCGCCCUACGAUCCGGCGCCGAGAUUCGCACCUGAAAUUAGCACCAGACAACGGUCAGGCAAUUAGCACCUAGAUUUUCCACGUUGGACGCUGACGUGGAUUCUAUACAGUGUCGACAAUUCAGGGUCCCUUUGGUUGGACUUUUCAACCUGCUUUUGCUUCUGCAAAAGCCAAAAGCCAAUCAAAUGAUCCAAAAGCCACAUAUACUUUUACCCAAAAGCAACUUUUACUACAGCACAAUUUCAAAAGCACCUCCCCCCUGCUUUCAUCGGCUUUUGAAUGACCAAGUUGGAGAAAAUUACCCACUACCACCGGUUAUGAAAAGGAAAAAAGCGUUUCGGUCGCUUCUAUUCCCCUCUUCCGCAUCCGCCCGACGCCUCUGUACCCACCCGACCGCGCGCUAUGGCCGCGACCGGUGGCUAGGGUUCCUCCGCCGCCAUCGUUGCCUGAAGCUCGACGAAGGCUGCCUCCCCACCCGCGCCCGAAGCUGCUCGACGAAGGCCGCCUCCCCACCUGAGAUCCUCUGGCCGCGACCGAAGCUGCUCCGACGCGCAGGCCGCGUCUUCGCCUGAGAUCCUCUGGCCGCGACCGAAGAUGCUCCGACACGCAGGCCGCAUCUCUGCCCGACGACGACCGCCUCCCCAAGGGCUCUAGGUCGCCAACCCAAGCCAAGGGCGCUGCCAGCGACGAACCUGCAAGGUAUGUCCGAUUUCCUCUGGCCUUUUGGAUUGUGAUGUCCAAUCCCCUCUGUCCUGUUUAGCUAUGAUUGAUCUACCAUUAGAUUACUGUAAGUUCAAGGAAGCAAGGACUUCAAAACUGUCAAAAUUUGAAAACUGAUUUUUGUAUGCAUCCGAUACUGUCCUAAUUUUAGAUUGAAUUUUUUUUUGUUUGGUUCAAGUAUGGGUGACAAGGCAGAUUGGAGUGAUCGUUUUUUGAGAAAUUUGUUUGAUGCCUGCAAAGAAGAAAUAGAUGCUGGCAAUAGGUCGAUGGGAAUUUUCACUACUACUGGUUGGAAGAACGUUGUUUCCAAGUUUGGAGAUAAAUCCGGUGAUAAACGAAAAAAACAAUUGAAGAACAAGUUAGAUAUCUUGAAGAAGGAGCAAUUGGAGCAAUAGAUGGGUCACAUGUUAAAGUGAUAGUGCCAUUGGAUGAAACAGGUAACCACACAAACCGUGGUGGGUAUACUUCUCAAAAUGUGCUAGCUAUUUGUGACUUUGAUAUGAGGUUUACAUUUGCGGUCACCAGUUGGCCGGGAUCUACCCAUGACUCACGCAUCCUCAAUCAUGCAUUGGCAAAUUUUCCAUCAUUUCUUGUGGCUCCUAAAGGUAAUAAUGGUUUCUUGUAUUAUGUUAGCCGAUUGUAUUACUAUGUACCUUACUAACUUGUUUUAUUUAGAAAAAUAUUAUCUUGUGGAUUCGGUUAUUCAAACCGAAAUGGGUAUCUUGCACCUUUCAAAGGAAGCACCUACCAUAAACCAGAAUUCUGGAAUCGUUUAGAGCCUCCUCAACGAAAGUAUGAGGUUUUCAGUUUCUUACAUUCAUCCAUUCGUAAUGUGAUUGAAAGGUGUUUUGGAAUCUUGAAGCAAAAGUGGCAUAUUUUGAAGGACAUGCCAAGUUUUGAUGCUACUACUCAGGCGCAUAUCAUUACUGCUUGUCUUGCUUUGCAUAACUUCAUCCGUGAUUGCAAAAUGCGUGACAAGGAGUUUGACGGGUGUGAUGCUGAUGAGGAUUACAUGCCUCGAUGUGCAAGACGCAGAACACAAACACAAGAAGAUGGUACUGACGAAGGGGAGAGCGAUGAAUCCAUGAAUAUCAUACGUGAUAGGAUAGCUGAUGCUUUGGUUAGUGCGAGAUGAGGCUAGUUAUGUUGAGAGAUGGCAUUGUUGUAUCCGAACUUUGAUGGAUAUUUUUCUAUUAUGUUAAAUUAUUUUACCUUUGCUUAAAUACUCAUUUUCAUGUAAAUUAAAGAACAAAUUACUACGUUUCAAGCAAUUUCCAUAUAAACAUGUCAGAGUUUAACAGCACCUCCAACCAAACGGCUUUUUGCUUUUCGCACAGCUGCUUUCUGACAGCUGCUUUUCCACAGCUCACAGCCCACAACAGCUUUUUUAAAAGCCAUAGUUCAACCAAAAGCACCCUGUAACAGAACCGACCAAAUUAUAAGAGAUUAAGCCUAAUAGUGACCAUUUGCAUAGUCGAACUAUCACGCUUAAGCCCAUAUAAUCCCGGUAGUCCGUGAAAUCUCGAUGGAUUUCAAACCACACAUCACAUAACAGCCAAGAUCGUAAUAAGUUUAGCGGUCGCCAUCCACAAGUACAUCCAGAUUACAACAUUCAUAAAAUACAUCGGAGUGCUUAAAGUUAUUACAAACCAAGUUCUUCAAGUAGCGGAAGCUUCAUAGUUUGAAAUUACAACACACACGAUAAGUCUGAUACAGUGCCAUAGUUCGGUCAUUCCCACAAAAGCAAAAGAAGAGACGGAGUGACCAUCGCCCUUGGUCUAGUCAUCACCCAUAGCUGGGUACAGACAGAGGAUGCAAUAACCAUAGUACAUUUGACCAUCUGCAAAACAACAUGGGGAUAGAACCCUGAGUACGAGAAGGUACUAAGCUAGACUUACCCGUCAUAAACUUAAAAUAAAGACUCAUCAAGGAUCAUGAAGGCUAUAUAGUGGGGUAGCUGACGACCAUUUUGCAAAACCGCAGUAUUUCGCUAACAUAACCUACAUAAGUCUUUCUUCUUUUAAUUGGCUCAAGUUGAAAGUAUCAUUACCUAUCGUCUAGGUUUGCACCUGCACUAUUACAAGCAAGUAUGAGACUAUGAUAGUACCUCAUCAUAGUAUUUCUUAAAACUAUUCACCAUUAUAACCCAAGUGUUCCAUAGUCCUUACUACGAGGACAGGGCUCAUGUCAAGUGCUCACUAUCCAGGAGCGAUGGCGAUUCGAAUCGAUUUCUAACCAGCUGGCGAAUUUAUUCCCCAUACAAACCACACUCACUGAUCAAGUGAGCUACAGGUCACCGUGUUGCACUAUCCAGGACCAAUUCGCGGGUUCGACAGGCACCGCCCGUACCCGAGGACCGUUCCGGCGACCGAGGUAUCCAAGGUAUACCAAGGUUGCGCGCCGCGCCCUCGUCGUUCUCCCCAACCAUCACCAAUACAGCGCGUACAUCGGGCCGAUUCCCGGCCCGGAUAGUGCUCAGGCUUCACGGUCGGAACGACUUAUCCUUCCAGCUAAAUGUGGGGCAUGCGUUCAACAUGACAAGAGGGCCGUCAACGAUCGAUCCUUAAUCGACACAGGCAGGGGCUCUAUGGGCAACCCACCAUAAGACCCUGCCCGGUCUCCAAUUACAUUUCACACUUGGUUAUUUCUUUCCCCAAGCAACCACUGCUUAAUCAAGCAGGUAUCCACCUAUAUCUCGCAGGUGACAGGACAUCACCCGACUUCUACCGGACUAAGCAAGCUAAGCAUAGACUCCGCGCCUAUCUACAUAGGACAAGGUAGAUAAACGAGUAGGGAUAAUAAGGAGUACAUAUGCAGCAACGGUAUCAGGCAACUCCUAUCACUUAAUAUGCAAUACAGUAGAACAAGUAUAACACUUUAUAUAAGUUAGCGAGAAUAGGGAGACUUAGAAUGCUCCGGGGCUUGCCUUUCUCAAAGGUGCUGGGUCGGUGAUCCGGACACUCUUGCAAUUCCUCUCCGGUUUCCUGUGCUUCCGGAGGUUCCUGCUCCUGUAUCUCCUCGGGUUCCUCGGGUCCCACUUCGUUCUCCUGCGAGCCUGUAUGAUGCAUAUAUGCUCAUGAGUGGAGUGCGAGAUGCCCGAGUGGAUGCUUGUAUGAGAAAGUACCAAAGGACCAUGACAUGAUGCAUGGAUGAUACACUUGGUCAUGUUCAUUACAAUGUAUGCAACAUCAUCCAAGAACAGGCACUUGGAUUAAGCAUCUAUUGCAUUCUCUUCUACAAUUAUUUUUCAAAUGAAAUCAGCAACCUACAUGAUGCUUCAAAGAUACACCAAACCCAAUUUAGUCCAUUCAACCUACAUACACAACCAUUCAUAAUUUUCUUUAUUCAUUUCUAAGCCCAUUAAAAAUCAUAUGCAAUUCUGUUCAUCAAUAAACUCCAGAAAAAUUACAGGAGACUACUAGCUAAUCAUAAAGUCUACUGUGAAUUUUUCAUAAUUUUUGGUUACUUAUUUUGAGCCACAAAAAUCACAAGAUUAAUGGAUAAGGCAAGUAUAAUCACCCUACUGUGAUAUAAGUGUCAAACAACAGAUUUCACAUUUUUACAAUUUAUCUAAUAUCAUAAGAAACACCCACAAAAUUUUCCAGAUUUAUUGCAUGACCCAUUUAAUUAUUAAAAAUCAUAAAGCACUGCCAUGCAAGCAUUUAAAUUACCAUAAAUUCAUUUAUACACCAAAUAAUAUGUAACAAUAUUUUCUCAGUGAUUAAACACACAUGCAGAGCCAGCAAAACAAGUUUUACAUUUUUCUGAACCCUAUUUUAUUUACUAUGCAUUUUCCAAGUUUAGGAAAAACAUGGAUUAAUUAUAUUCUUACAGGAAAGUUACUCAAACAUGACAUGCAAUCAUACUAGGCUAUAGAUCUGGAAAUAAGGAACACACCAAAAUUUAUUUCACCAUUUUUGGAGCUAUAUUCACCAAGAUAUGGAUUUUUGAACAUUUAAAUCAUUUCCUGGAAAUUAUUUUUCUGAAAACAAAUCAAAUCCACCCCGAGACCUGCUAGGUGCACCCAGUGCAGUGCACCCGCGGCCGCUGACGAGCGGACCCGCCUGCCAGCCGGGCCCGCUGGUCAGAGCGCAGAGGGGGAGGAGCUCCGGCGAGCCGGAGCUCACCGUCGGCGACCCCUUUCGGCGAAUCAAGCGGCUCUACACGCUCUACGGCUCACGGCGGCCCUAGGGCACCCAUUUGCGCGGCAUAAAACGGACCGGAGCAGGCUCGCCACCGGCCAUGGCGGAGCGGCGGCGCUGCUCGUCGUCGGUACGGGACGCCGGCUCGGUAGAGCGUGGCUGGAGGGGCUUGCGAGCAUCGCGGUGCCAAGGCGAACACGAUGCGCCAACUACGUAGCACCGGAAGGCAUGGAGACGCGCGGACCACGCGUGCGGCGGCGGAGCUCUCGCCGGAGAAGAAAGCGAGGGCGAGCGGGGCUCACCGUGCCUUACCGAGCGCUCAGAUGAGCGUUUCGCAACGGCGGAGCGAGGGCGAAGCUCGGGGAAGAACUAAUUGAAGAAUGGCGCACGCACGGGGGAGGAACAGCCGAGGCGGAGCUCGGGCUCCAAUGGCGACGGCGGCGCUCUGCGCGUGCGGGGCGAGGGCGAGAGAGCGAGAGAGAGGGAGCUGAGGGGCGCAAAUGGGAGCGGGGGCGGAGGCGAGCGCGACCGGGGCGCUUUGGUGGCCGACCGGGGCGCGUCCUCGCUGCCGCAUGCCCGCCACGCGGCGGCCGAGUCCUGCCGGCGCGCCACGGCGUCGCGGCGAGGCCGUCCGCGCGCGGACGCAGGCGCGAGCGCGGGGAAGGGGGGGGGAGAGCGCGGGCGGGCCGAGCCGGCUUCGGCCAGUGGGCCAGAAGCGAGGCCGCGGCCUGCUAGCGCCCCCCCUUUUCCUUUUCCAUUUUUUUUAAUUUUCUUUUCUUAAAUCCUCUUCCAAAAGCAUUUUGACCAUUUUCAAAUCAUUUUCACCAUUUUCACCCAAAAGCAAAGUGGUGCCAAACUAAAAGCUCUACAACUUUGCUUUAAUAGGUAAGACCAAAUUCUAAAUAGAAUUUGAAUUACAAAUUAAAACUUAGUUCUAGGUUUUUAAAUAAAGUUAUUUUGGAUAUUUUGUAUAAAUUCCAUUUCUCAAUUUCCAUAGCUCCAAAAAUUGCACAAAAAUGUUCUUAAUUCUUCUUACACAUAAACCAACCUAGUUUGAAUAUUUCACAAUUUUUGAAGCAAGCACCACAUUUUUAACAUAUUUAAAACUUAUGAAAUGAUGCACAUAAAAUCAUAUUCUUAGAAGAAUGACAUGCUCAUGAUGCUUAUGAUUGAUGAGAGUGCUUAUGCAUGACUUUGAUGAGACUAAGUGCAUGCUUAACACCUAGGGUGUUACAGCCCUUCCCCCCUUAGGGAAAUCUCGUCCCGAGAUUUUGGGUUACUAACCAUUUCUUGUGAAAUUUUGGAUAAACUGUUUUUAAGUAAUCCUCUGUUUCCCAAGUGGCAUCCCUAUCGUCAUGAUGACUCCACACCACUUUAUAAGUUCUGACAACUUUGUUUCGGGUUACUCGCUCCUUGGUAUCCACAAUCCCCAUUGGCUGCUCUUUAUACUCUAGGUCUGCUUUUAUCUUGAUCCCUCGAGGUUCAAUUCUUUGCUCAGGCACUUUCAAACAUUUCCGUAGUUGCGACACAUGGAAGACCGGAAAGAUCGAGCUCAUCUCUUCAGGUAACUGAAUCUUAUAGGCCACUGGGCCUUUCCUCUCUAGCACUUGGUACGGUCCCACAUAUCUGGGUGCAAGCUUGCUUCGAACUCGGAAACGUUGAACUUUCUUCAUUGGCGUAACCUUGAGGUACACAUAGUCACCUAUGUUGAACUCAAGUGGCCUUCUUCUCUUAUCCGCAUAACUCUUUUGUCGUGACUGUGCCGCUUGCAUAUGCUGCUGUAUGAUAUGCACCUUUUUCUCGGCAUCAUUCACAAAGUCGAUACCAUAGUAUCUUCUUUCACCAGGUUCAACCCAGUUUAACGGAGUUCUACAUCUUCGACCAUACAAAGCUUCAAACGGGGCCAUCUUGAUGCUCUCUUGAUAACUAUUAUUGUAUGAGAACUCAGCCAAAGGUAACCAUGAUUCCCACGAUCCCCUGGAUGAUAGCACACAGGCCCUCAGCAUAUCUUCUAACACUUGAUUUAGCCUCUCGGUUUGACCUGAAGUCUGGGGAUGAUACGCCGUGCUUCUUAUCAGACUGGUCCCCAAGCUCUUAUGCAUGCGCUCCCAGAAGUGAGCGGUGAACUGCGGUCCUCUAUCUGAUAUGAUUGUCUUGGGAAUACCAUGCAACUUGACAAUCUCAGCCAUAUAUAUAUCGGCAUACUCAGGAGGUCGGUAACGAGUCUUCACAGGGAUGAAAUGGGCCGAUUUGGUCAAUCGAUCUAUGAUUACCCAAAUCGAGUCAUUCCCCUUCCUGGUUGUCGGUAAACCCGUGAUAAAGUCCAUACUAACCUCUUCCCAUUUCCACUCCGGAACUGAUAACGGUUGCAACAGACCUGCAGGUUUCAUAUGGAUGGCCUUAACUCUGCAACACGUGUCACAACGGGCCACAUAAGCGGCUAUUUCUUUCUUCAUCUUGGUCCGCCAAAAGUGGGGCCUUAGAUCUUGAUACAUUUUGCUACUGCCAGGAUGAAUAGAAAGCUUAGAGAGAUGGGCUUCAUCCAUGAUGCGAUUCUUCAACUCCCGAUCUUUCGGGACCACUAACCGUUGUUGAAACCACAGUACCCCCUUCUCAUCAACCCGAAACUGAGUCUUUGGGUCAUCUUUGAUCUUUUCUUUGAUAUGGAAGAUACCCUUGUCUGUUUUCUGACCUUCAAUGACUUGACUCUCGAGUGAACAACUGAGUUGUAUAUGACAUAAGACCUCAGGAUGCAUGAGAUUGAACCCAUCUUCAAACAACGGUUGAACCACUUGACAGUGUGGUUUACGACUUAGAGCAUCUGCUACUACAUUAGCCUUGCCUGGAUGAUAGUGAACUUCCAGGUCAUAGUCCUUGAUUAGCUCUAACCACCGUCGUUGCCUCAUAUUCAGCUCGGACUGCGUGAAGAUGUACUUCAAGCUCUUAUGAUCGGUAUAAAUGUGACACUUAUUUCCCAGCAGAUAAUGUCUCCAAAUCUUCAAAGCAUGCACCACAGCUGCUAACUCGAGGUCGUGCGUUGGGUAAUUGACUUCAUGCUUUCUCAACUGUCGGGAAGCAUAAGCUAUCACCCUGCCAUCUUGCAUCAACACACACCCCAGGCCACUCUUCGAUGCGUCACAAAACACAUCAAAAGGCUUCUCUGUAUUAGGUUUUGCAGAACGGGAGCAGUGGUUAGCAACUUUCGCAAGGUGCGGAAGGCUAACUCACACCCUUCCGUCCAGACAAACUUAUGGUCCUUUUGUAGCAAACUUGUCAUUGGCUUAGCAAUCUUGGAGAAGUCAGGUAUAAAACGACGAUAAUACCCGGCCAGACCAAGAAAACUUCUAACUUCCGAGACCGAAGUUGGUGCCUUCCAGUCCAUGACUUCCUGCACUUUUGAUGGAUCCACAGCAAUUCCUUCUUCAGACAGAAUGUGCCCUAGGAAAGGAACUUUCUUUAACCAGAACUCACACUUGCUGAACUUGGCAUAUAACUGAUGCUCUCGUAACCGUGUCAGCACGAUUCUCAGAUGUUCGGCGUGAUCUUGCUCAUUUUCUGAAUACACCAGGAUAUCAUCGAUAAACACCACAACAAACUUAUCCAAUUCAGGCAUAAAGACUGAAUUCAUCAGAUACAUAAAGUAUGCAGGAGCAUUCGUCAACCCAAAGGACAUGACAAGAUACUCAUACAACCCAUAUCUGGUGGAAAAAGCAGUCUUCGGGAUAUCUUGCGGACGAAUCUUGAUUUGGUGAUACCCAGAUCUCAAAUCUAUCUUAGAAAACACUCUUGCCUUGGAUAACUGAUCAAACAGGAUAUCAAUCCUUGGCAAGGGAUACUUAUUUUUGAUUGUCACUGCAUUGAGUGGACGAUAGUCCACGCACAUGCGCAACGACUGAUCCUUCUUUUUCACAAACAACGCUGGACAACCCCAUUCCGACGAGCUUGGCUGGAUGAACCCUUUAUCCAGCAACUCUUUUAGUUGAUUCUUCAACUCAGCGAGUUCAUUUGGGGGCAUCCGAUACGGCCUUCUAGAUAUUGGUGCCGUACCUGGUAUCAACUCGAUUGCAAACUCUACCUCCCUAUCUGGGGGAAGUCCUGGUAAAUCCUCAGGAAACACAUCAGGGAACUCACAUACCACGGGUAUGUGUUCUAGAGGGACUACCUGUACUGCACAUGAAAGACUGGCGAAGUCCAACCGUCUAGGUAGCUUGACCUGAAGCACCCCCUUUUCUUGCGGGUCUCUAAGGGAAAGAGUUCUAUUCCCGGUAUCUAUAACCGCGCCCCAGUCAGUCAUCUUGUUCAUUCCAAUGAUGACAUCCAAAACCAGUCCUGGCAUGACCACAAGGUUUACACGGAACCUCCGACCACUGAUAUCCAGGGUAACUCCUGUUACCGUUUUAUUAGUCAACACAUCGGCUCCGGCUGAGCUGAUGCGAUAGCCAUAACCUAACUCAGUAACUGGCUGAUCAUGCUUUUGUGCAAAUGCUUGGCUCAUGAAUGAAUGCGAUGAUCCAGAAUCAAACAAAACAACUGCAAGAUGUUGGUUGACAGGAAACAUACCAGCUGUUACCGGUUCUCCUUCCGGAAUCUUCUCGAUCGAGGUAUGGUGCACACGAGCUGGAUAGGUUGGCUGCUGCCUUUUGGGGUAGGGACAUUCCUUAGCAAAGUGCCCCAUCUUGUGGCAGUUAUAGCAUGGACCCUUGGGCGCAUUGUUGGCGGCAGGUGCUGCAGCUUGAAUUGCCUUUGGCUUGGCAGGAGCUAUCGCCACCUUGUACGGCUUCUGUUGUGUUGGAUGCCCGGUGUUCCUUCUCUGCGGCGGUCGGAACCUAGCACCCGGGGCAGGAGGACGAUACUGCUGUCGCCCUGCCACUGGUGCCCUGGACUGAGAUGAUCCGGCUUCAAAAGCCCUCUUACGAGACUUGGAUGCACUGUAGUUGUUGUUAUUGUUCUCUUGGGUCAGACAGUCGCUGAUAUAGGCAUUGAAAGUAGCCUUGGCCCCUGUACCCAUGGUCUUCAGCAUCUUUGGAUUCAAACCUCUCUGGAAACUAGCAAUCUUCUUAGCCUCCGUGUUUACAAACUCAGGGGCAUAGCGAGCGAGAUUGUUGAAAGCGUGUAGAUACUCCUUCACAGACUUCGUCCCUUGGGACAGCCUCAUGAACUCCCCAACCUUCAUUUCAACCACACCAGGAGGAAUGUAAUUUCCCCGGAAAGCGGUGGUGAAGCGGUUCCAAGUGAUUGGGGUCCCUUCUGGGUAGGUGGUACGGUGAUGGGACCACCAAAUCCCAGCGGGUCCUUGUAACUGAUGUGCCGCAUAUUCAGCCUUGAGUUCUUCUGUCAUUCGGAGAAGACGAAACUUCUGUUCCAUGGUGUUGAUCCACUCAUCUGCUUCGAGCGGUUCCAAGGCCUCCUUAAAGAUUGGUGGCUUGGUAUCCAUGAAGUCCUUGAACGAACUGUACUGGUUGACCUCCCGGCCACCCUGAUUAUCCCCACGACGGGUAUUGUCAGCUAUGUUGCGCAAAGCUUCUUCCAUGUUGCGCUGCAUCUGCUCCAUGUUGCGUUGGCUUCCCAGAAACUGCGCGAAAAACACAUCCGCAGUGUAUGGGGGAGGUGGUGGUGGUGUUGGCGCUCGGUCCUCAUUCCGUUGAGCCCCAUUUCCGGAUGUACCUGCUCCAAGACCCGGGUUGCCGUUACCCCCGCCACGUGUUUGUACCAUCUGCAUACGCCAAUGAUAAGCAAUCGUUAGGAGUUGCCAUCAACCGGUAGAAAAUGUGUAAAAUCGUGCCAUACUGAAUUUACUGAGGGAAUAAAUUCACACAAUAAACAAAGGCACAACAACUCAUCAUCCACGCACAACAUCACUAACAGAUUACUUAACAUUCACGCAACAAGGUUCGCGUACAUCCAACUUGCCAGCAUACAUACACUGGACUUUCAGCAUCAACUCAUAAAGUCUUACACAGCCCAGAUCCAAAAGUACACGACAUGCCAUGCAACAUACAUCACAAAAGAGGAAAGACUAGCUCUAGAACCCUAGCAUCUACUCGCUGUGGUCACUGUCCAUGCCAGAGCCAUCCUCAUCCUCAUCACCACUAGCAGCUGCUCCUAUCUCGGGAUCUGCGUCCAUCUCGUCCUCAGAGUCUAGCUCCGCUGCUCCAGGCAGGUGGUGAGGGUGGAGUUGGUUAUGCAGCUGGUGGAUCUCCUCAUGCAAGUUCUCAUUGUACUCCUCGGCAUUAGCUAGCUGCUGCUCUAGCUCCAGCUGUCGGGCUCUCAAAGUGUCCUCCUCGUGCCAGGCUUCAUUCCUCUGUCCAAGCACAUGGACUAGCAUGCGCUCGCAGUUCCUGUGAGCAGUAGUCACCCUGUCCUUCUGCUCCCGCACUACAAGCAGGUCCUGACUCAGCUCACUGUUCUUCUGGACUGCCUGGUCUCUCUCUCUGGUCACACGAGCCAACUCUGCCUGUAGCCUCUCAACCUCAGAGUCAAACUCACGUUGCAACUGACGCUUCUCAUCCUGGACGGUGAGAAGAGACCCGGACAAGCGACCCAAACAACGCUCCAGGCCUCCAUAGGUCUUCAUCAACGCGUACAUGGCACUCAUAGCUGCACUGUCACUGUGCUGGUCCUCAUCCGCACUCCUCUCUAGAGCAUUCACCUCGGACUGAUCCCACACCGAAGUGUAAGGGUCACCCCGGGGAAACACCCCAGCGAAGGCGUGGGCCAGCUCCUGUGGAAACCUCUCCAUGAGGUCCCUCAGAACUGCGAAAGCUGCCCUGCUGGCACCGUGGAAAGGCGUGACACCUCGGGACUCGUACACCCAACCGCCCCAAGCAGGGUCUCCUCCACAGGUAGGGACAACUGCCUCGAUCCCCACCAGGGUCUCAUCACCAAGCGGCUCCUUAUCCCAAUAGUAGCGAGGCUCCCUUCCUUCGGGAUACCCCAUCGAACUGAGCACCCUCCAAAGCAAAGUGGGCAUCCCAAACUCCUCUAGGAACUUGCUCUUAUGUCGCGAGCUCCUGGCUGCCAACGGACGGCGAGGGGCCCGCCCACCAGUGGACUUGCGAGCGGUGAGCCUAGUGCGUGCCAUCUGCUGCAAAUGGAAUACCGUGGGUAAGAGUGAGGAUUACCUUUAAUUAUUUUAUUUAGAAUUGGGACAGAUUAAAUUAAGGGGGAAAGUAAGCAAUGAUAUGAAAUGAACAUGAUGUAUGCACGAGCUUACGAUCUCACAAACUUAGAAACAAAGGUUAACACUAAGCGGUAUAUGCGGCGGCACACAACGUUCUCUCAUAACGUAACUAGCGUUCUAAGCGAGAACGUGGUUAGUGUACCUGCAGAAAACUCAUUUCAGCCCACCCACAAUAAUUUAAAACCAUGCACUUCACAUACACAGACACACGUCCAUGCAUGUGACGUGCCACUACCCACAUCAUCGCCCUAUUGACGGCAUCGCCUCUCAGGACGGAAUUCCCAGCAUGCGGUACUGUUCCCAAGACACACCAACAUGUGCGCAUGGCACAGCACCUGACAACACUCCCCUAGACCGGCAGUGUAUCCGAUCAUGCUCUCACAACUCCCACUUACCAUGGCGUAGAGGAAGAAUUGAUCCAUACAUUACCACUCAAAUGAAUGGCACUCAUACUAUUUGCACGCCGUAUGAGCGACGAAAUGAAAAUAUGAUGCAUUAACCCCCAAGUCAGUACUUAACUAGCCAUCUUAGAGUCCUUAACUGGGCAUAAAGGAUAUGACCAUGGCACACUAGAUAAUUUUCCCAAAACUUAGUUUAACACCUUGAUCAUUAUUAAUUAAUUAAUAAAAUCUUUUACUAGACCGGUUUAGAUUUUUGUUUAAAACGUACUUAUGAACAGUAACUCGCUAAACCUUGCUCCGAUGCUAGCUGUAACAGAACCGACCAAAUUAUAAGAGAUUAAGCCUAAUAGUGACCAUUUGCAUAGUCGAACUAUCACGCUUAAGCCCAUAUAAUCCCGGUAGUCCGUGAAAUCUCGAUGGAUUUCAAACCACACAUCACAUAACAGCCAAGAUCGUAAUAAGUUUAGCGGUCGCCAUCCACAAGUACAUCCAGAUUACAACAUUCAUAAAAUACAUCGGAGUGCUUAAAGUUAUUACAAACCAAGUUCUUCAAGUAGCGGAAGCUUCAUAGUUUGAAAUUACAACACACACGAUAAGUCUGAUACAGUGCCAUAGUUCGGUCAUUCCCACAAAAGCAAAAGAAGAGACGGAGUGACCAUCGCCCUUGGUCUAGUCAUCACCCAUAGCUGGGUACAGACAGAGGAUGCAAUAACCAUAGUACAUUUGACCAUCUGCAAAACAACAUGGGGAUAGAACCCUGAGUACGAGAAGGUACUAAGCUAGACUUACCCGUCAUAAACUUAAAAUAAAGACUCAUCAAGGAUCAUGAAGGCUAUAUAGUGGGGUAGCUGACGACCAUUUUGCAAAACCGCAGUAUUUCGCUAACAUAACCUACAUAAGUCUUUCUUCUUUUAAUUGGCUCAAGUUGAAAGUAUCAUUACCUAUCGUCUAGGUUUGCACCUGCACUAUUACAAGCAAGUAUGAGACUAUGAUAGUACCUCAUCAUAGUAUUUCUUAAAACUAUUCACCAUUAUAACCCAAGUGUUCCAUAGUCCUUACUACGAGGACAGGGCUCAUGUCAAGUGCUCACUAUCCAGGAGCGAUGGCGAUUCGAAUCGAUUUCUAACCAGCUGGCGAAUUUAUUCCCCACACAAACCACACUCACUGAUCAAGUGAGCUACAGGUCACCGUGUUGCACUAUCCAGGACCAAUUCGCGGGUUCGACAGGCACCGCCCGUACCCGAGGACCGUUCCGGCGACCGAGGUAUCCAAGGUAUACCAAGGUUGCGCGCCGCGCCCUCGUCGUUCUCCCCAACCAUCACCAAUACAGCGCGUACAUCGGGCCGAUUCCCGGCCCGGAUAGUGCUCAGGCUUCGCGGUCGGAACGACUUAUCCUUCCAGCUAAAUGUGGGGCAUGCGUUCAACAUGACAAGAGGGCCGUCAACGAUCGGUCCUUAAUCGACACAGGCAGGGGCUCUAUGGGCAACCCACCAUAAGACCCUGCCCGGUCUCCAAUUACAUUUCACACUUGGUUAUUUCUUUCCCCAAGCAACCACUGCUUAAUCAAGCAGGUAUCCACCUAUAUCUCGCAGGUGACAGGACAUCACCCGACUUCUACCGGACUAAGCAAGCUAAGCAUAGACUCCGCGCCUAUCUACAUAGGACAAGGUAGAUAAACGAGUAGGGAUAACAAGGAGUACAUAUGCAGCAACGGUAUCAGGCAACUCCUAUCACUUAAUAUGCAAUACAGUAGAACAAGUAUAACACUUUAUAUAAGUUAGCGAGAAUAGGGAGACUUAGAAUGCUCCGGGGCUUGCCUUUCUCAAAGGUGCUGGGUCGGUGAUCCGGACACUCUUGCAAUUCCUCUCCGGUUUCCUGUGCUUCCGGAGGUUCCUGCUCCUGUAUCUCCUCGGGUUCCUCGGGUCCCACUUCGUUCUCCUGCGAGCCUGUAUGAUGCAUAUAUGCUCAUGAGUGGAGUGCGAGAUGCCCGAGUGGAUGCUUGUAUGAGAAAGUACCAAAGGACCAUGACAUGAUGCAUGGAUGAUACACUUGGUCAUGUUCAUUACAAUGUAUGCAACAUCAUCCAAGAACAGGCACUUGGAUUAAGCAUCUAUUGCAUUCUCUUCUACAAUUAUUUUUCAAAUGAAAUCAGCAACCUACAUGAUGCUUCAAAGAUACACCAAACCCAAUUUAGUCCAUUCAACCUACAUACACAACCAUUCAUAAUUUUCUUUAUUCAUUUCUAAGCCCAUUAAAAAUCACAUGCAAUUCUGUUCAUCAAUAAACUCCAGAAAAAUUACAGGAGACUACUAGCUAAUCAUAAAGUCUACUGUGAAUUUUUCAUAAUUUUUGGUUACUUAUUUUGAGCCACAAAAAUCACAAGAUUAAUGGAUAAGGCAAGUAUAAUCACCCUACUGUGAUAUAAGUGUCAAACAACAGAUUUCACAUUUUUACAAUUUAUCUAAUAUCAUAAGAAACACCCACAAAAUUUUCCAGAUUUAUUGCAUGACCCAUUUAAUUAUUAAAAAUCAUAAAGCACUGCCAUGCAAGCAUUUAAAUUACCAUAAAUUCAUUUAUACACCAAAUAAUAUGUAACAAUAUUUUCUCAGUGAUUAAACACACAUGCAGAGCCAGCAAAACAAGUUUUACAUUUUUCUGAACCCUAUUUUAUAUACUAUGCAUUUUCCAAGUUUAGGAAAAACAUGGAUUAAUUAUAUUCUUACAGGAAAGUUACUCAAACAUGACAUGCAAUCAUACUAGGCUAUAGAUCUGGAAAUAAGGAACACACCAAAAUUUAUUUCACCAUUUUUGGAGCUAUAUUCACCAAGAUAUGGAUUUUUGAACAUUUAAAUCAUUUCCUGGAAAUUAUUUUUCUGAAAACAAAUCAAAUCCACCCCGAGACCUGCUAGGUGCACCCGGUGCAGUGCACCCGCGGCCGCUGACGAGCGGACCCGCCUGCCAGCCGGGCCCGCUGGUCAGAGCGCAGAGGGGGAGGAGCUCCGGCGAGCCGGAGCUCACCGUCGGCGACCCCUUUCGGCGAAUCAAGCGGCUCUACACGCUCUACGGCUCACGGCGGACCUAGGGCACCCAUUUGCGCGGCCUAAAACGGACCGGAGCAGGCUCGCCACCGGCCAUGGCGGAGCGGCGGCGCUGCUCGUCGUCGGUACGGGACGCCGGCUCGGUAGAGCGUGGCUGGAGGGGCUUGCGAGCAUCGCGGUGCCAAGGCGAACACGAUGCGCCAACUACGUAGCACCGGAAGGCAUGGAGACGCGCGGACCACGCGUGCGGCGGCGGAGCUCUCGCCGGAGAAGAAAGCGAGGGCGAGCGGGGCUCACCGUGCCUUACCGAGCGCUCAGAUGAGCGUUUCGCAACGGCGGAGCGAGGGCGAAGCUCGGGGAAGAACUAAUUGAAGAAUGGCGCACGCACGGGGGAGGAACAGCCGAGGCGGAGCUCGGGCUCCAAUGGCGACGGCGGCGCUCUGCGCGUGCAGGGCGAGGGCGAGAGAGCGAGAGAGAGGGAGCUGAGGGGCGCAAAUGGGAGCGGGGGCGGAGGCGAGCGCGACCGGGGCGCUUUGGUGGCCGACCGGGGCGCGUCCUCGCUGCCGCAUGCCCGCCACGCGGCGGCCGAGUCCUGCCGGCGCGCCACGGCGUCGCGGCGAGGCCGUCCGCGCGCGGACGCGGGCGCGAGCGCGGGGAAGGGGGGGGAGAGCGCGGGCGGGCCGAGCCGGCUUCGGCCAGUGGGCCAGAAGCGAGGCCGCGGCCUGCUAGCGCCCCCCCUUUCCCUUUUCCAUUUUUUUUAAUUUUCUUUUCUUAAAUCCUCUUCCAAAAGCAUUUUGACCAUUUUCAAAUCAUUUUCACCAUUUUCACCCAAAAGCAAAGUGGUGCCAAACUAAAAGCUCUACAACUUUGCUUUAAUAGGUAAGACCAAAUUCUAAAUAGAAUUUGAAUUACAAAUUAAAACUUAGUUCUAGGUUUUUAAAUAAAGUUAUUUUGGAUAUUUUGUAUAAAUUCCAUUUCUCAAUUUCCAUAGCUCCAAAAAUUGCACAAAAAUGUUCUUAAUUCUUCUUACGCAUAAACCAACCUAGUUUGAAUAUUUCACAAUUUUUGAAGCAAGCACCACAUUUUUAACAUAUUUAAAACUUAUGAAAUGAUGCACAUAAAAUCAUAUUCUUAGAAGAAUGACAUGCUCAUGAUGCUUAUGAUUGAUGAGAGUGCUUAUGCAUGACUUUGAUGAGACUAAGUGCAUGCUUAACACCUAGGGUGUUACAGCCCUUCCCCCCUUAGGGAAAUCUCGUCCCGAGAUUUUGGGUUACUAACCAUUUCUUGUGAAAUUUUGGAUAAACUGUUUUUAAGUAAUCCUCUGUUUCCCAAGUGGCAUCCCUAUCGUCAUGAUGACUCCACACCACUUUAUAAGUUCUGACAACUUUGUUUCGGGUUACUCGCUCCUUGGUAUCCACAAUCCCCAUUGGCUGCUCUUUAUACUCUAGGUCUGCUUUUAUCUUGAUCCCUCGAGGUUCAAUUCUUUGCUCAGGCACUUUCAAACAUUUCCGUAGUUGCGACACAUGGAAGACCGGAAAGAUCGAGCUCAUCUCUUCAGGUAACUGAAUCUUAUAGGCCACUGGGCCUUUCCUCUCUAGCACUUGGUACGGUCCCACAUAUCUGGGUGCAAGCUUGCUUCGAACUCGGAAACGUUGAACUUUCUUCAUUGGCGUAACCUUGAGGUACACAUAGUCACCUAUGUUGAACUCAAGUGGCCUUCUUCUCUUAUCCGCAUAACUCUUUUGUCGUGACUGUGCCGCUUGCAUAUGCUGCUGUAUGAUAUGCACCUUUUUCUCGGCAUCAUUCACAAAGUCGAUACCAUAGUAUCUUCUUUCACCAGGUUCAACCCAGUUUAACGGAGUUCUACAUCUUCGACCAUACAAAGCUUCAAACGGGGCCAUCUUGAUGCUCUCUUGAUAACUAUUAUUGUAUGAGAACUCAGCCAAAGGUAACCAUGAUUCCCACGAUCCCCUGGAUGAUAGCACACAGGCCCUCAGCAUAUCUUCUAACACUUGAUUUAGCCUCUCGGUUUGACCUGAAGUCUGGGGAUGAUACGCCGUGCUUCUUAUCAGACUGGUCCCCAAGCUCUUAUGCAUGCGCUCCCAGAAGUGAGCGGUGAACUGCGGUCCUCUAUCUGAUAUGAUUGUCUUGGGAAUACCAUGCAACUUGACAAUCUCAGCCAUAUAUAUAUCGGCAUACUCAGGAGGUCGGUAACGAGUCUUCACAGGGAUGAAAUGGGCCGAUUUGGUCAAUCGAUCUAUGAUUACCCAAAUCGAGUCAUUCCCCUUCCUGGUUGUCGGUAAACCCGUGAUAAAGUCCAUACUGACCUCUUCCCAUUUCCACUCCGGAACUGAUAACGGUUGCAACAGACCUGCAGGUUUCAUAUGGAUGGCCUUAACUCUGCAACACGUGUCACAACGGGCCACAUAAGCGGCUAUUUCUUUCUUCAUCUUGGUCCACCAAAAGUGGGGCCUUAGAUCUUGAUACAUUUUGCCGGAGCUUCAUUUUGUUCCUGUUUCACGCGGUUGGUUUUGUGGUCCGAUCCUAGGCCUUGUUUAGGCCUUCUUUAGUUUACUCGAAAAACCAAAAAAUUUUCAAGAUUUCCCGUCACAUCGAAUAUUACGACAAAUAUAUGAAGCAUUAAAUAUAGACGAAAAUAAAAACUAAUUACACAGUAUGCCUGCAAAUCGCGAGAUGAAUCUUUUGAGCCUAGUUAGUCUAUGAUUAGAUAAUAUUUGCCAAAUAAAAACAAAAAUGAUAUAGUGCUGAAACCCAAAAAAUUUUGGGAACUAAACAAGGCCUUAGUUCUAAUUUUUUUUGGAAAAACGACAUUAUAGCACUUUCGUUUUUAUUUGAAAAACAUUGUCUAAUCACAGAGUAACUAGACUUAAAAGAUUCGUUUCACGAUUUACAGGCAAACUGUGUAAUUAGUUUUUAUUUUCAUCUAUAUUUAAUGCUUUAUGCAUGUGCCGCAGGAUUCGAUGUGACGUGAAAUUUUGAAAAGUUUUUGGUUUUUAGGGUGAACUAAACAUGGCCCUAGCUGAAAUUGUUUUGUCCGGUCAUGUUCUUGGAUAGGCAGGCCGUGUUUAGUUUGUGAACGAAAAAAUUUCGGGACAGUGUAGCACUUUUGUUUUCAUUUAAUAAUUAUUGUCUAACUAUGGACUAACUAGGCUCAAAAGAUUCAUCUUACAAAUUACAGAUAAACUGUGCAAUAAGUUAUAUUUUUUAAUAUAUAUUUAAUGUUUCAUGCAUGCGUCUAAAGUUUUGAUGUGACAGGGAAUCUGGAAAUUUUUUGGAAACUAAACAAGGCCUAAAGAAACAGGCCUUGUUUACUUCCACCCAAAACCUAAAAUUUUUCAAGAUUUCCCGUCACAUCGAAUCUUUAUACGUAUGCAUGAAGUAUUAAAUAUAGACAAAAAUAAAAACUAAUUGCACAGUUUAGUUAAAAUUUACGAGACGAAUCUUUUAAGUCUAACUAGUCCAUGGUUGGACAAUAAUUAUACCCUUAAGGGAAAAAAUCACCUCCACAAACAUGGUCUUACCUUCUGUGUAGCGAAGUCCUGUGUAGCGAAGUCCCUAGCACCAUCUCCAACUCAAUAUGUCUCAUUACUCACUCUGAUAUUUUGCCGAUGCCCAACCUAAAACUUUUCAGUUUUUAAGGCCUGUUUGGUUUCCCAUGACUAAAUUAGUCACCCAUGUUUGGUUUUAGUGACUAAAGAUCAUUAAAGCAGUUCAAUAAAGACCAAACUACUCCUAAUAAAUGCACAAAUCAGGAUGGAGGAUCGACAAUAAUGAGGGGCAGCCCCUGUCCACUGGGCACUUUCACUUUAGUCACUCCUAUCUCCAACAAAUGGAACCUAAAAUACAGACCCAUUUUAUGGUUUAGGUCUCACACGGUACAAGCAUCGCAUAUGCAAAACUUUCAUUCUCCAACAACAAGCGCAAAAAUAGAGCACCCAAACCUGCCACGCUACUCCGGCCGCUCGCCACGGGCUCCAGAGACGACGAGCGCUCGACCUCCAAGCACCACCACCGCAGUGGGCGGGGCCAUCUUCGGCGAGUGGCUUGGCAGGCAAGGCCAUCUCCGGCGGCGCGGCGGGCGGGGCCAUCUCCAGUUGCGUGGCGGGCGGGGUCAUCUCUAGCGAUGUGGCAGGCGGGGCCAUCUCCGGCGGCGUGGCGGGCGGGGCCAUGUCUGCCGGCGUGACGGGGGCCUGUCCGGCGAGCGGCGCAACGGGGGAGGGGGAGGGCAUCUCCGGCGGGCAGGGCCAUCUCCGGCGUAGGGCCGCAGCAGCAGCACCUGACGCAGGAUGGGCGGGCAGUGAACUCCGAGUUGGGCGCUGGGCGGGCUGUGCGGCCGAAGCGGAAGGAGCAGCAGCACCUCGAGGGAUGAGAUGCAGCGCUGGCGAUUUGCGUCUUGGACAGAGACGAGGCAAAUAUGCAUCCUAGUUCGCUCCCUCCCCAAAAUAGGUGUUCUGUAUGCGUCGUUUGUUGGAGCAUGUUAAAACACUGUGCAUGAUCCUUUUUGCGUUUGCCUCUUGUGUUGCAUGAGCUGUUGGAGACAGCCUAAGCGUGCUAAGGGCACUCACAAUGCAGACUCUAUCAUAUAGUCUAAAGUUAUUUAUUACCUCGACCUAUGUGGACUUUGAGUCUAAAUAAGACUUGGAGUCUUAUUUUUUCUACCUCUUUCUUCAAUAAAUAUGCUGCCACAUCAGUAAAAUACCAUAAAUAAUAUGUAAUUAAGUGUCUUGGACUUUGUGAUAGAGUCUUGCAUUGUGAGUGUCCUAAUAUGACUAAACUAUUUUAGUCCCUUUUUAAUCAGUUUAUUUGACACUUUAGUAGCUAAAGUGACUAAAGUUCAUGAGGAAAACCAAACAGGCCUGUUAUCUUCUACACGAAGUAAAGUUUCACUUUUGUUGAGAACGGUGUUGAGCUCAUUGCAAGCCUUCCCUUUGGCUCUGAGGAUGGCCCAAGGGUUCUGAAAGCCGUCAACUCUGGUUGAUUAUUGGAGUUGUCUCAAGUCCAUGGUAAGCCUGUAUUGACUAUGCUUGUAGCUAAAGCAUGAAAACACUGCCACACGUUCGGGCAUUAGCACCGGUCGGUAAGGGCCUAUUGCUCCGGUUCCCGAGCCGGUGCUGCCUUUCCGGGACUAAAGGCCCACCCUUUAGUCCCAGUUCGGGCAACCGGGGCUAAAGGCCCUCCCUUUAACACCGGUUGGUAAUACCAACCGGUGUUAACCGGUGUUAAAGGGUCCUGCCAGGGCUGCCACGUUACAGGACUCUUUAACACCGGUUGGUAUUACCAACCGGUGUUAAAGGGUUUCGUUUUUUUUGGUUUACUUCUUCGGUUCUGUUUAUUGUUUUUAUAUAAUAUAUAAUAAUAGGUUUUUGCUGAUACAAUAAUAUAUUUAUAUUACACGCAUAUUAAGCAUAUAUAAAUGAAAAUUAUAGGCUUAGCUUAAUAAUUAAACUUUGUCUAUAAUAAAAUGAAUAGACCACAUCAAAAAUUAAAUAGAUAUGUAAAAAGCUUUAUAUAUAUAUAGUUUUACAUGUACAAAAUUCGUAACACAUAUAUACAUAGAGUUUUUUCUCCCAAUGUCUACAAACGAUACAAAUGAUCAUCGUUGUUUGGAAUAAGAGUUUCGUUGCCGUUGAAGUGAAACUCGCCGUUUGGAUUGAUCACUUGGUCGCGGAGAAAUCCUGCUAUCGUCUCUUAGAUAGCUUUGAUUCGGUCUUGUUGUAGGACCUUUUCCCUCAGCCAUUCCGUCUUUAAUUUGAAAUAAAUAAAAAAGGUAUUAGUUAUCUAAGUUAUUCAAUAUAAUUCAGGAGAUAAUGAAAAGAGACAUGUAACGUACUCUGAGCGUCUCUGUGGGUGUUUGAUUGACUUGUACCAUCAUGAAUUUGCACACGUAAUAUGCACAUAGAUUGUUCCCCCCUUCUUGUCUUAAACACUACUAUACGAUAUAUAUAUAUAUAAAUAUUCACGACCACGACAAUAAGAAGGCUAAAAGUUAACGAAAGUUUGUUAGCUAGUAGAACUUACUUGUGGAUGUAUUAUGUUAAGCGGCGCUUUACAUCCACUGAGAUGUUCACGGUCAAUGAAUCUUUCCCAAACCCUAUACACAGCCAUUGUGGAUCGUGAACUAAUAAUUACAGAGUCAUAUUAUGAUAUUUUUGUAGGUGAGAUCGACAUUACGUACCUUUGAAUAAUGUUUACCAUUUGUUGAUAAUUUUCUUGUGGUUUUCUCAUUGAGUCAAAGAUUAUCAACCGGUUCUUGGGAAUUUCAAUGACCAUGAGUAUCCAGUGAAAGCUGUUUACACACACAUAUAUAUAGUCAGUCCUAUAAUGUAAAAUAAAAUAUGCAUGCACUUAAUAACUAUAUAACUCACUCGAAGUUGAAGGGGAAGAGUAUUUUUUGUUUUUCUUUUUGGUUCACAAAGAACCUCAUAAGAUUGGUGUAGACUUCUGUCUCAUGGUCUGCUGUCCACACUGCCUGCGGAGCCUUGAAAACAAUAUAAGGGUCAACGAACCCAAUACUAUUGUCAUUUCUCAUUCUGAGCUCUCUCAUUUGGUGCCUGCAUAUAUACAUACAAAUCCUAAGUGUGUAAGGAUUAUAUACAUGUAAUUAAAGAAGUUAGAAGUAUAAUAAAAAGAAAAAAAUACUUAGAGACAAAAGCAGCUGACAAGAGAUUUGUCAAGAGCGUCGAGGUGACAUAAUUGGUGCACUUCUUCGAACUGCACGUAUAUGAGGUCAUCUCCACGGAAGUAGUGAUGUUGUCUAAUACGAACAGAAAUCCAAUUCUCUCCCCUUUUAGACGCCUCAAUGCACCAUUUGUUUAUUGCAAACAUUUGUGUGUCGAGUUCGUGUAAACGCCUAGGGUCGAAUAGACUCCUGCCCGGUUCAUAUCUUGCCCUCCAUUGAUCAACUACCUCGGCUUUUUCAAAUGUUUGGCAUCCAAGAAUGGCGGCAAUUUCUUCCAUACUUAAACCGCUCUGUCCAAAGUAACGCUCAAGCGAGUCUAGCUCAGACAACGCUAAGGAUUUCUUUGGCAUCAAGUCUUCAUUUGAGCCGUAUUGAUUUGGCACAAUCAAAGGGGGCACCGGUUUUGAUACUUCUCCGAGCUGUGGGACCUCCUUUCCUACUCUUUUCUUAGGCUGUGAAGACUUGACCAGAGACCGCUCAUAGUCCGAAAGUGCUGGCUUUUUCUGAGCUUCGCGUUGCUUCUUUUGAUGGUCCGCCACCUUCUGCCUCAGUUCCGAUGGCUUCACAUAAAAGUACCGCUUUUCUGGGUUAAGCCGUUUUUUCCUAUCCUCCUUUAUUUUAUCAAAAAAUUGUUAGACCUCAGCUUUGGAUGUAGCAAUUACCUCCUCUUCACUCUUUUCGUAAGGUAAUUUUUCUGGCGUCUUAGCUCUCUUUGCUGAGGCAGCCUUCUUUGGAGGUGGGACCGAUGACUUCGGUCCUUCUUGGGCGGACCGCUUCUUACUAUCUCGCUUUGGAGACGAGGGGAUCGACCGUGCACUCUUUGGAGAGGGUGGUGCAGGCAGUGGAGGUGGUGGGGCCGAUCUUUUUGGCGUUGGAGAACGCGGUGGAGGAGUUGGAGACCUCGGUGGAGGAGUUGGAGACCUCAAUGGAGGAGGUGGAGACCGUGGUGGAGGCGGUGGCGGGGUCGGUGUGGUCGCCGCAUGUGUUGGAGGAGAUCCAGCAUUGUCACCGCCCGUAGCACUAUGAUGCGCUGGGGAGAGAACUGGACUUAGGUUGGAGGAGUCCCUGUAAAGAAAACAAUUACAAGUUUUGUGAGCAAACUUUUUUUUAAUUUCAAUACAUAAUAAAUAAUAUAAGAAAUAAAAUCACACACAAACCUAUGUUAAGGAAUAAUUAUGAAGCGCUUGCGCCAACAAAUAAAUGUCUUCUCAGCUUCACCUAAGGUCUUCUCUCCGUCUCCCCCUUCUAUGUCUAGUGGCACAUUGCCACAACCUUUCUCAACCCUAUCAACCGAGACGCUAGCAUAUCCACCAGGUACUGGUCGAUUAUGGAUUCUUGGAGUUCUCGUUCGGUCGAUAGGGUUGACAACAGCGAUAGCCACCUUUUUGCUUGCAUUCUCAUCUGGUACAUGCAGCUCACAGGUAGUAAAAGCCUCUGUGACAUCAUCCACGGGGAAGUGUAGCUUCGUGUCAUCCUGAAUGGUUGGUACUUCCGUGGAUGCGUAGCUGCUUUUCAACUGGCCUGGGGGCUAACAUUGACCUCAGGCUGUGAUGUACCUUGCCCUUUCGUCAUUUGACUAAGUGCUGCUUGCACUUGCCUUUGAAUCUCUGCCUGCAUCCAUUCUUCACGAGCUUUCUCGCGCUCUUGUGACUGCAGAACAAAAGCUUCCAGGCGGCGGAUCCGCUCUGCCUCCUCAUCCUUCUUUCUCUGGCAGCUUCUGUAGGUAUCUUGAUUGGCUUGGAAUGAUUACAGCCACGGAACUGCCCCAUAGCCUCUCGUACGCCCACCGUGCUCAGGAUUUUCAAGCGCAUAGGUGAGUUCAUCCUUCUCCCUGUUAGGCCUGAACUCACCAGACUGAACCGCCUCUCGUGCACGGACUAGUCUCUCUGCUGCUCUAGAGAUUUCUUGGCCCCAAACUAGCGCCCCGGUGUCUGGGUCCACGCUUCCCCCAUGACCGUAGAACCAAUGCUUGGAGCGCUCGCUCCAAUUCUUUGCUAUUGUCUCGGGUGUGACCCCCCUAGCAAGCAUCUCAUGUUCCAUUCGGUCCCACUUGGGAACAGCACUCUUAUAACCACCUGAUCUCAUAUGAUGGUGGUAUGUCUUUUUACUGGCAUUCUCUUUGUUUCUAAUGGCUCGUUCCUCGCCCUCUUCUGAUGUUUUGUACUACACAAAGUCAUCCCAGAAGGCCCUCAGCUUUACAUAUUGCUUGAGGUUGAAAUUAGGAGUCUCAUUUUCUUGACAUAUUUAUUGUACAAAGUCUUCUUCCAAUUCUGGAACAGUACUGCCAUCUUCUUCAUAGUCCAGUCAUAAAUUCGCACCUUCAACUCUUUAUCGUUGGUGUCGAAGGUGAAAACGUCCGUGACGGCUUUCCAAACUAACUCCUUGUCACGAUCAGAGACAAAACUGAUCUCAGGAGCACCUCGCUUCUCUCUCCAUUCACGAGCACUGAUCGGUAUUUGAUCUCUCACAAGAUAUCCACAGUGAAUAACAUAUUUAUUUGCAUGCUCACCAAGUGGUCUGCCUGUAGCUAUCUCAAACUCAGAGACUAUAUAGUGGCCCUCCAACGGCUUCUUUGGCCCUCGUGGAGGUACGCUUCUCCCCGUAGAGGUCGAUCCAGAAGGCUAUACGUAGAUAUAUGUGUGUGUAUAUAUGUAUAUAUAUAUAUAUAUAUAUUUCUGGUCUAGUGUAUAUAAAUAUUUAAUUAAUCAAUGGAGAGAUGCAUGGCGUUCUCGAUCUAUACAUAUUGCUUAGCACACAGCCGGCCGGGAGAAGAGAUCGAUGAGACGACGUUGGCCGGCGCUGCAGGUGCCCUUCGGCGGCGGCGCUGAUGGAGGGCCGCGGCGGAGCUGGUGGAGGGCCGCGGCGACGCUGGUGGAGACCGCGGCGGCGCUGGGAGUUGAAACGGCGCAACGGCGGCGGUGAAGACGACGAACGUCGUGGCGCUGGAGACGAAGACGCAGGUAACUGCUCAGAUCCAGGGCGCACGCGGCUUAUAUAGGGGUGCACCCUUUAGCACCGGUCCGUGGCUGGAACCGGUGCUAAAGGGUUUUUAACACCAACACGAGCCGGUGUAAAGGGUGACCCUUUAACACCGGCUCGUGUUACCAGCCGGUGCUAAAAGGACCCUUUAGCACCGGUUCCAGCCACGGACCGGUGCUAAAGGGUCUAGCGCGCGCUAGGGCGGGCUCCUGAAAUUUUCAGGACCCUUUAGCACCGGUUCCCACUAUGGGCCGGUGCUAAAGGCCCUGUUUUUUAGUUUAGGGUUUUUCAAUUGUUUAUAUAUACAGUUUAUAUUAUAAAUUGUAUAGUAAAUUAAAUAUUUUGCAUAAUAUUUUUUAAACAGUGACAUAUAUUGUAAUUUGUUUUAAUGUACACAUGAAAAUUUUUAAACUUAAAUAUCUUAUUGUAUUUUUAUAAUUUGCAAUGAUUUUGUAAGAAAUGUUUAGUAUUUUGUUAAUGCAAAAAUAUAUUAUUCCAAUAAAUUUACAAAAACUAUAUCCAAUCAACUGGAAAUUUAUUUUCACAUCAUAUUGACGUAAAAUUUUUUAUUUUUGUUAUUUAUUACUAGGAAUGCUAGUUGGGUAUAGUUUUCAUCAAAUAAAAAAUCAUAUAAAAAUAUAUAUCUUGAUGAACACACCCUUUGACCGAACCCUAGAUUGUCCCAAAUGGAAAAGUCAUGAAUACAAAGUUUGCUACACUCAUCAAGUUCUACAUUUUGUCUAAUGGUCAACUUUUUUGGAAAAGUUUGAACCACUGAAUUUUGAAUUUUCAUAUAACUCAUAGCCACGCAGCGGUUUCGGAACCCUAGAUGGUCUCGAAUGGAAAAGUCAUGAAUACCAAUAUUGUUCCACUCAUCAAAAUCUACAUUUCAUACAUAGACCAUUUUUGCAUUUGACAAAGUUUUGGGAAGGUGUAGUUGAAAAUCCACAAUUGACACAUAUAGUUUCAUAUAGUUUGUGUGAGAUUCAAGAAUUGGUGGGUAUUGUUAACUUAGACUUUCUCAAAUGGAAAAGUUGUGUAUAAAAAAGUUUAGAUCUUAAAGAUAUCUAACAACUUGGUAUUCAAAAUGUUUUCAUUUGAAGUAAUUUAGUUUGUCAUUUGACCAAGUUUGACCAAAACCCGUCUUGUAUUUUAUAGAAAUGUAAUUAGGAUUGGCUCAAAAUUAUCCAAAUAGAAAAAUAGACAAUAUAUAAAAUAUAGAUCUUGAUGAUCUCUAACAACUUUGUAUUCAAACUUUUUUCAUUUGAAGUCAUCAAAUGGGCCAUUUGACCAAGUUUGACCAAAGUCAAAGUAUUGGUUUUUACAAACACACCCUUUGACCGAACCCUAGAUUGUCCCAAAUGGAAAAGUCAUAAAUACAAAGUUUGCUACACUCAUCAAGUUCUACAUUUUGUCUAAUGGUCAACUUUUCAUUUGGAAAAGUUUGAACCACUGAAUUUUGAAUUUUCAUAGAACUCAUAGCCACGCAGCGGUUUCAGAACCCUAGAUGGUCUCGAAUGGAAAAGUCAUGAAUACCAAUAUUGUUCCACUCAUUACAAUCUACAUUUCAUAUUUAGACCAUUUUUGCAUUUGACAAAGGUUUGGGAAGGUGUAGUUGAAAAUCCACAAUUGACACAUAUAGUUUCAUAUAGUUUGUGUGAGAUUCAAGAAUUGGUGGGUAUUGUUAACUUAGACUUUCUCAAAUGGAAAAGUUGUGUAUAUAAAAAGUUUAGAUCUUGAAGAUAUCUAACAACUUGGUAUUCAAAAUAUUUUCAUUUGAAGUAAUUUAGUUUGUCAUUUGACCAAGUUUGACCAAAACCCGUCUUGGAUUUUAUAGAAAUGUAAUUAGGAUUGGCUCAAAAUUAUCCAAAUGGAAAAAUAGACAAUAUAUAAAAUAUAGAUCUUGAUGAUCUCUAACAACUUUGUAUUCAAACUUUUUUCAUUUCAAGUCAUUAAAUGGGCCAUUUGACCAAUUUUGACCAAAGUCAAAGCAUUGGUUUUUACAAACACACCCUUUGACCGAACCCUAGAUUGUACCAAAUGGAAAAGUCAUGAAUACAAAGUUUGCUACACUCAUCAAGUUCUACAUUUUAUCUAAUGGUCAACUUUUCAUUUGGAAAAGUUUGAACCACUGAAUUUUGAAUUUUUAUAGAACUCAUAGCCACGCAGUGGUUUCGGAACCCUAGAUGGUCUCGAAUGGAAAAGUCAUGAAUACCAAUAUUGUUCCACUCAUCAAAAUCUACAUUUCAUAUAUAGACUAUUUUUGCAUUUGACAAAGUUUUGGGAAGGUGUAGUUGAAAAUCCACAAUUGACACAUAUAGUCAUGACAAUUUUUGCAUUUGAUGAUCUCUAACAAUUGGAAAAGUCAUGAAUACAAAGUCAUGAAUACAAAGUUUGUUACACACAUCAAAAUUCACAAUUCUCAAAUAUAGUUUCAUACAAAGUCAAGCCGACACAACAGUGAACUUCUUCUUGACGUAUGACCCUUGGUUAUGAUCCUGCCGUAACCAUGGAGUAUCCUCAUUGUUUAACAGAAUGCUUGGGUCUUUGUUGACUAUGAAGGGCGGAAUUCGAUCAUCCCUUUCGUAAUCGCCUGACAUGUCUGACUUGUCCUCAAUUCCGACAAUGUUUCUUUUCCCAGAAAGGACAAUGUGGCGCUUUAGCUCAUUGAUGAUUGAGUGGUCAUCAUUUUUUCCUCUCUUUGGUUUCGUAGAUAUAUCUUUGACAUAGAACACCUCACUCACGUCUGCAGCAAGGACGAAUGGUUCGUCUUUGAACCCACUAUUGUUAAGGUCCACGGUUGUCAUCCCAUACUCCUUGUCGACUGUUACCCCACCUCCGGUCAUCUUCACCCAUUGGCACCAGAACAAAGGAACUUUAAAAUUAGCUGCAUAGACUAGUUCCCAUAUGUCUUCUAUGCGUCCAUAAUAUGUUUGUCUGUUCCCAUUUGGAUCCGUGGCAUCCACGCGUACACCACUAUUUUGGUUGGUGCUCCUUUUAUCUUGGCCAACUGUGUAAAAUGUGUUACCAUUUAUCUCGUACCCUUUGUAUGUGAGGACAUGCCAUGAUGGUUGCCUGGCCAACAAAUAAAGCUGCUCAUCAAUGUUUUCAUCACCUUGACAUUUUUUGCGCAACCAAUCGCCAAAAGUUUCCAUGUGCUCACGCAUUAUCCAAGCUUCAUUCUUCCCGGGCCACUGGGACCGUAGGAAAUCUUUAUGUACCUCAACAUAUGGUUCCACCAAUGAGGAGUUCUGGAGAACUGUGUAGUGUGCUUUAUUGAAGUAAUCGUCUCCCGUACCAAUAUAUGUUUUCUUCCCAAGUGUUCCCUUUCCGCUGAGUCUGCCCUCGUGUCGAGAUUCAGGAAUGCCAAUUGGGUCAAGGUCUGGAAUAAAGUCGACACAGAACUCUAUGACCUCCUCUGUUCCGUAGCCCUUGGCAAUGCUUCCUUCUGGCCGGGAACGACUAUGGACAUAUUUCUUUAGGACACCCAUGAAUCUCUCGAAGGGGAACAUGUUGUGUAGGAACACAGGACCGAGAAUACAAAUCUCUUUGACCAGAUGAACUAGGAGGUGUGUCAUGAUAUCGAAGAAGGAUGGAGGGAACACCAACUCAAAGCUGACGAGACAUUGAACGACAUCAUUCUGCAGAGUAGCUAGUUGCUCUGGAUUGAUUGCCUUCUGAGAAAUUGCAUUGAGGAAUGCACAUAGCUUUACGGUGGCUAGACGUACGUGUGGAGGUAGAAUUCCUCUUAAAACGACUGGCAGCAAUUGCGUCAUUAGAACGUGACAGUCAUGGGACUUCAAGUUCAGGAAUUUCUUCUCUGGCACAUUAAUUAUUCCCUUGAUAUUGGAGGAGAAUCCAGAUGGGACCUUGAUGCUGCUAAGACAUUCAAACAUGCUUUCCUUCUCUUCUUUGCUCAGAGUGUAGCUAGCAGGGCUUAAGUAAUGACGUCCAUCAUCUGUCUUUUCUGGAUGCAGGUUGUCUCGUUCUUUCAUGCGCUGCAAGUCUUGUCGUGCUUCAAGUGAAUCCUUAGACUUCCCGUAGACACCCAUGAAUCCGAGCAAGUUCACACAAAGAUUCUUUGUCAGGUGCAUCCCGUCGAUCGCGUUGUGGACCUCUAGGACAUUCCAGUAAGGUAGCUCCCAAAAUAUGGAUUUCUUCUUCCACAUGGGUACAUGUCCCUUAGCAUCCUUGGGAAUAGGUUCGCUGCCUCGUCCCUUUCCAAAUACCACUUUUAUAUCCUUGAGCAUUUCGAGUACAUCAUCCCCGGUUCGAUUGAGAGGUUUGGUUCGGUGGUCUGCCUUGCCUUUAAAAUGCUUGCCUUUCUUUCGUACUGGGUGGUUCACAGGAAGAAACCGACGGUGGCCAAGGUACACGACCUUUCGACAUUUUUUCAAAAAUACACAGUCAAGGUCUUCAUAACAAUGUGUGCAUGCAUUAUAUCCCUUGUUUGACUGGCCUGAAAGAUUACUCAGAGCUGGCCAAUCAUUGAUUGUUACAAACAGCAAUGCUCGCAGGUCAAAGUGCUCUUGUUUGUACUCAUCCCACACGCGAACUCCUGGUUUGCUCCAUAAAAGUUGAAGUUCCUCAACUAAUGGCCUUAGGUAGACAUCUAUGUCAUUGCCAGGUUGCUUCGGUCCUUGGAUAAGCACCGGCAUCAUAAUAAACUUCCGCUUCAUGCAUAGCCAUGGAGGAAGGUUGUAGAUACAUAGAGUAACUGGCCAAGUGCUGUGACUACUGCUCUGCUCACCGAAAGGAUUCAUACCAUCUGUACUUAAGGCGAACCGCAAGUUUCUAGCAUCAUCUGCAAAAUCUGGAAAUUCUCUGUCUAUCGCUCUCCACUGGGAUCCAUCGGCAGGGUGUCUCAGCAUAUUGUCUAUCUUACGGUCUUCUUUAUGCCACCGCAACAACUUUGCAUUGUCCUUAUUUCUGAACAGACGUUUUAAUCGUGGUAUUAUAGGAGCAUACCACAUAACCUUGGCAGGAAUUUUCUUCCUAUGACGUUCUUCACCCUCAACAUCGCCAGGAUCAUCUCGUCUAAUCUUAUACCGUGAUGCCUUACAUACUAGACAUGCAUCCAAAUUCUCGUAUUCCUCCCCACGGUAGAGGAUGCAGUCAUUAGGACAUGCGUGUAUCUUCUGGAUUUCUAAUCCCAAAGGACAGACAACCUGUUUUGCUUCAUACGUAGUGGUGGGCAAUUCGUUGCCUUUCGGAAGCAUCUUUUUUAUGAUCUUCAAUAACUGCCCAAAUGCCUUGUCAGAUGUACCAUUCUUUGCCUUCCAUUGCAGCAAUUCUAGUGUGGUACCCAGCUUUUUUUGCCCCUCUUCAGCGGUGGGAUAUAGCGAUUUCCUGUGGUCCUCUAGCAUGCGCUCGAACUUGGCUUUCUCUUUAUCACUUUCACAUUCUCUUUGUGCAUCACGGAUGGCAUCACCAAAAGCAUCAUCGCCCCGAUCAUCUUCUGCCGCCACCUCUUCUUCAUUAACUCCCCCCAUUGCAACAUCAUUGAAGCCACUGUACUGAGCAAUAAUAUUGGCAUGGUCCAAUUCUUCUUCUUCUUCUUCACCUUCAUCCAUUAUAAUCCCGCUUUCUCCAUGUUUGGUCCAACAAAUAUAGGUUGGUACGAAACCAGACUUUAAUAAGUGUGAACGAAGAGUUCUUGAGUUAGAAUAUUCCGUCAAAUUCUUGCACACGGCACAUGGACAACACAUGAAACCGUCCCUCUUAUUUGACUCGGCCACACUUAAGAAAUAGUGCACGCCAUUAAUGAACUCUUCGGAGCGCCGAUCGGCAUUAUACAUCCAAUUACGUGUUACCAUCUGCAUUAAAUAUAACAUAUAUAUUAUGAAAACCAUGCACACAUAUAGUUUCUCAUCUUAUUGCACAACAUGUCUAAGAUACAUAGUUGAUUAAUUUAGGAAAGCUUGGCUACAACAAAUACAAUCGCAACUAGCACUAAAAAACCAAAACUAAAAUGCACUUAAGCAACAUAAUUAGUUCGCAUCCGAUCCCAACUAUAAUAGAUAGAUCAUUCGCUUGAUCAACAUCAUUGAACUCCUUUCGUCGGCUCACUGCCUCACCACCUUCAGCCUCAACCACCUGUGCAAAAGAUUUCUUAAUGUGUUCAAUGUAUUCUUCCUUCCAGUACCAACCUGUACAUCCGCCGGUACCGUCCCACUGAAAUUAAAAGAGAGAAUCAAAAGUUUAGUUAAUAUCAUUUAAAAAAUAUGCACAUAUAUAAGCAAAUGUCUGGAAAUAACUCACAUUACGAUCUGGACACUUGUAGAAUAUACGACUCUUGUUUACUCCCUCUUUCGACACUUUGUACUCCAUCAAAAUCUUCUGCCCACACUUGCCACAAGUAAGAGGGAGUUCCGGACGGUAUCGCUUUUGAACCCGUUGAGAGACCGAAGACCCGGUCACGGUUGCCAUCUACUAUCCAUACUCAAUUUUUAAACAAUUAUAAAUUCCACAUUUACUAGUAAACAUGUAUGAUACAAUGGACAUUAUAUGUAGUAAUAAAAAUAAAUCAAGUGAUAUUAACAAACCAAUUAAUUUGAACUAUCCUACUUUCUAAGAUCAUAAAAAUAUACUAUAAUUCAUUCUUGCAAACUACAUUAAUACUAGGUCAACCAUGAAAUAUGAUAUAUAUAUAUAUAUGUGGAUACUAAUUCAUGUGAAUGAUUCAAAAUAACAACGUGGAUUUGAGCUAAAAAUAAUGCGAACAUCACAAGCCAAAAACAACAUGAAAAAGACAAGAAAGACAAAAGUUAGUCACCUCCAAAUACGAAGAAACGAUGACGGAGUCGAAGAAGAUCAACAAUGGGCGUCGGAGACGAAGAACAAAUGAGGAAGAAGAAGCUCCAAGAACAACAAUGGUGAAUGGUGCUCUCGGUUUCAAAUGGGCAGAGAGGAGGAGUGAUCCGGCCUAUAAACCGGAGCUUUAGAACCGGUUCAUAAACAAAACCGGUGCUAAAGGGUCACCCUUUAGCACCGGUUUUUAACACAAACCGGUGCUAAAAGCUUUGCCUCGGCCCGUGGCGCUGGCCGGUGCUAAAGGAGACCCUUUAGCACCGGUUGGUAACACGAACCGGUUCUAAAGGGUCUCUGGCCCGACAGCACCUGUCAGUAGCCGUUGGGCAGGACCCUUUAGCACCAGUUCGUGUUACGAACCGGUGUUAAAGGAGUCUUUAACCCCGGGCCGCAAAAUGGCCGAGGUUUUUGGCCAUUUUGGGCAUCGACCAAUGCCUCGUUCCGUAGUAGUGAAGAAUACUCUUGCUCUGCUUGAAUUUUCGCAUGCCUAACCAACCUGUGCAUUUGCUUCAGGUUCGUACUUUUGAGGCGCAAUGUGGGUCGUUGGCGCAGUAUGGGAUGAAGCACAUGCGAUCCUUGGCAAACAUCUGCAGCGCAGGCAUCCUUCCUGAAGCAGUGUCGAAGGUCGCCGCACAGGCUUGCACCAGCAUUCCAUCUGUUAUCUACCGGAAUUGGAGAGGAAUUUGGGAAGGAAGGAAGCAAGAGCUGGGGAAGGCUCGCAAGAGGUUCAGGGACUACGAAGGAUUAAAUUCAUUCAUUCAGAAUUGUGUCAUACAAUGCUUAAGCGUUAAGCCUUGUGUGAUGUAAUGUAAAGGCUGGCAAGAGGUUUAGGGACUACGAAGGACUGAAUUCAUGCAUUCACGGGCCGUCCCGAACCUCAUCCCACCACCACUCGUACAUUUGGUCGUGUUUGGACAACUGUCUUGUAUCAUUUACCUGUUCCAUCUUAUUCAUCUCCAACCCUCUAUCCUGCAUGACUUCGUCUUCCCAAUUUCUGUGCAGCCAUAGUACAGAGGCCCAUAUGUCAUACACUCAAAACUCAUAUACAUACGUGCAACAAAACAAGAUUCUAGCUUAUACUGGACCAACAACAAAAACAACCAAACACAACUGGGUAUAUGGUUUUAGCAUGCAUCUCACCGUCCUGGACCAGCUCUUCAUCCCGGCUCCCCAUCACCAAAGCAACCAAUCACCCCCUAAGUAUAUACAAUGCUUAAGCCUUCUUUUUUUUGAAACUGCUUAAGCCUUCUUUGAUGUACUUCUCUCUCAUUUAUCCUCGCCGCCUCUCAACAUAGGCCGCCACGCUUACAUGGGCCGAAUCUAUUCGUGGCCCGAUACACUGUACACUGGCCGACCUGGGCCGAGUACUCCUGCUAGGCCCAUUUGCCCCUAUCGCGAAUUCCGUAUCUCCAGCAGCAACAGCAGCCUCCAGCUUUAGCCACAGUAAUAACAGAGACUGUAUUUAUCCAAAAAAAAAAAGAACAAGAGACUGGUAUUCACAGAAAUAGGUGCCGUUAGUUGUUGUUAUAUUAUCUUUGUGCACCUAGUCGUUAUACUAUCCUAUGAUUUUUUGCAAACAAGCAAAAGCUUUGCCGGCUAAUUCUAUACAAGAAAGACCACAGCGGCCAAACUACCACAUGUCUGAAGUUGUGAACCAACUCUGUAUACUGGUGCUGAUUGUUUGUACAUACUACUAGAUUCCUUCCAGGCAUUAAUAUAAAAAUGCAAUUGCCAGGCUGCCCCCAACAAUACAGAGUUGCUGAACCAACCAACCAGAAUGUUUGCAAGGGACACAGCCUCCACUCCACUGCAAGACUGUCCAGCCCACCCACGGAGGAUACUCGAUGUCAAAAUUGAAGGGAAACUGUAUAAGUACGAAUGGAUUUUGUCCGACUCCGAUCCACUACGAGUCCAUCGUGGAAAGAUUUAGUAAUAAUCCAGCAAUAACACAGCAGUAGUCAUGUUUUCAUUAAGCAACUUCAGUUAGAGGCUAUAUGUUUGCGUGGCAAGUACCAACGGCCACGCUAUCAAACAGAGGCAUAUCAGCAGCAGCCUAGCACACAGGUUUGCAUGGUCUGCCAGGGCAAACAAAGCACCAACCAUUAGCACACACAGGUCCAGCAAACAAUUAAAGGUCUGUUGUGUAGGCCACCAUAGUGGUAGUGGCGACACUACUAGCUUUUGAUCUUCUUCUCUUUGGCUCGCACAUGCAGUGCAAUCAUGCGAUCAAAGUGGUAGCUAGCCUCCCUCCCGUCCGCACUAUGUAAUUCCGCUGCUCUUUUGUUCAUCAACAAAGUAGAGCCUUGUUUACUUUCCAAAAAUUUUACAAAAUUUUUCGUUACAUCAAAUCUUGUGGCACAGAUAAUUUUUUUAGCCUAGUUAAUCCAUAAUUAGAUAAUAUUUAUUAAAUACAAACGAAAAUACUAUAAUGUUUAUUUGUAAAAAAAAAUAACUAAAUAAGGCCUAGGCAGCGAUGCAGCACAGUGGAUCUUGAUGGGUAGCAGCUAGGCUAGCAGACGAGUUUGUGCCGCUGCCAAUGAGACGAAAACAACUGAAAUUUAAUGUCGGGAUCUGUUGACGUAAUUUCAAUCAAAUCAAAUAUAACAAAGUUGCCUGGAAUUUAUAAGGUUUCUAAACUUAUCAUCAAAAGAUCAACAGUGGGUUCCUCAGCUCCUGAUUUUGAAUGAAAUCUGAAUAGCCAUUUGGAGGUAAAAUCAAACGGCUCCACUAAUCAAGUUUUUAAAAACAUGCUUUUACAAAGCUUCACGGUGGGAAGGAGCUUAAAAAUAGUAGUUUCUCUCGACUUCACAUCAUCCUAUAUGACAUUUUAUAAGAGUAUAUUUUAAGAAACUUUAUAUGUGUAAUUGUUUUGCCAAACGAUUUACCAAAACAGCUUCAGCUCCAACAAUAGAGUUGUUCAAAGAGCUCAAGUAAAAAAAUAUUUCACUGAUGAAGUGGAGCCGUGCCAAAUGGAGCCAUAGAGUUGAGUAUCUCUUGCUCAAACUAGUAGAAUAUACCUUAAAAUAAUUUUGUUUGAGAUGUUUUUUUUUCAAAGAAAAAAACGAGACGAAAAAAAGAAAAGAGUUUUAAGGUUCUUUAUUUGUUUUGUUUUGCUAAUAAGACGAACUACAAAUUCGAGUGGAGCGACCUGCCAAACAUGAAAAUACAGAUGUAUGUCUCAUAUAAAGUUUGAGAACGAAACAAGGCAACACAUUUUUAGGUGUUAUAUCCUCAAUGGGAGUUUCAUGUCACAGUUUCCAACACAUCAAUAUUUUAGAAACAGUGCAUAUGAGUUUCAUGGGGACGAAACUCUCUCUACUCCCAUGAAACUCUUAUCAUCUCUCUCUUCAUUAAUAUAGCGCCACAUCAGCAUAUUUCAUGUGCAUGAAACUCUAAUGAAACUCCCAUUAAGACUGGCCAAGCUGGUGUGGCAUCUUUGGGUACCUACCGACCGAGCUUUGUUCCUAGUAGACGUAAUUUAAGCACUGAUUUGGGCCGCCGCCGGUUAGGCGUAAGGAUUAAUUUUUAUGAGCAACAGCAUAAGGCCCAGCUUAAUCAUAUAGUACCAUACUAUACGACUAAACUUAAACUAUACUAAUAUAAGUCUAUAAUAACCUGCAGAAGCUUCUGUGGCCACGCCUUUCAGUUGGACACGCCCAUAUAUGAUUGUUGUCAAGAUCAUCUGAAAUAUUAGAUUUUUGGCUGGAAAGUCGCGUGCGUUUGGAAAGUAUAAUUGCCCGCGAUUCUAAAGUAGUAACUAAUAUAGAAACUAGUGGUGGCAGUGUUUAGUGUAUGUAUAUAAUGGUACUGUAACAUGUACUAGUAGGUCCACUAACGACGGCGUAACGUGCGCGGCAAUUUCCGGUGAAGACGACGAUCGACGACCGGGUAUCAAACCGACAAGCACGUCAAAACAUACUGUCAAUGCUUUGCUUUGCACACUAGGGGUAGGUUCACACCACAUAUAUCAUGCACAUCACCUUGAAUUCUUCCUGUGAGAUCGAAGCAACGAGAUAGGGCUUGAAACACAAGGGGGGUCAGAUAUAUGUCCAUGUCCCCAACAACAUAUAUACUUACUGAAAUAAAUAAUGAAAGCUUACUACGCAGGGGACGGUUCACCGGUGCAUGAUGAUUGGGAGGUGCGUAAUUAGCUUGACUUUGUUCUUCGGGUGUGUGGUGCAUGAUUGCGUGGUAUAAUUAAGUUGACCCUCUCUGGGGUGAUUAGGUGAGAGAAGUGAGAAACAGGACCGUUCCUUCUUUCCUUUCUUCCUUCCUUCCUUGCCGUCGUGUUGGCGUGUAUGUGAGUGGGUAGGUUUGACAGCUAUCCGUGACACCAAAGUUGCAACCACCCCUAGCUACAGCUGUUGCGAUACAUACAUACAUACAUACAUACAUACAUACAUACAUACAUACAUACAUACAUACAUACAUACAUACAUACAUACAUACAUUCAUACAUACAUACAUACAUACACGUCGCUGCAGAUGCAUGUAUGGUCAGGAAUCUGGAACAUACGUGUACAGUGAUGGAGCUGGAAAGGUGUGUGGUACCUAUAGUACCAAAACGAACUCCAUUCUUUAAUCGAAUCCUAGCUAAGCUAGCUAAGGAAUGCCAUUAUCUGGUAGAUGGCUGUGUCGUCUUGCAAGCUUAUAGCUGGUAGCUAGUAUCUGUCAGUUGGACGGUACCUAAAUAAGGAAGCUGCUGUGCUGCACUUGCUUGCUUGCUACUCGGCGUCUCUCGAUCUCCUCGCGAUCGAUAUUCCUGCACCUAUCUCUAUAUAUGCAGCCUUGAUCCGGCCGAUUUGUCCAACAGACUUUUGUGAGCCGUGAUGAUCUACUAUGAUUAUUCUGCGUCCAAACUAAGGCUAGAUGACGAAAGAAUCUGGUAAACGUCGCUGCCUUCCGCGCCGCCCUCCCCAAUCAGCGCAGGCAGCAGCAGCAGCAGGGCUCGCUUGAAGAGAGCAACAACGUAACCCAACGAAUAUAAUGAUACGGGGAUCGCAAACAGCUAGUGCACAAUACGCAUCGACGCGUCGUUUUCGGACACACACAAAGGGGCAGGCAACAACAAGAGAGAGAGAGAGAGAGAGAGAGAGAGAGAGGGUCGAGUUCGUGGCCACCCGGCCGCGGCCAGUUCGCAUUACGGUGUGCCAUCGUCUGAAUAAUAAUUGUUUGCCUGCCUUGCUGGUGGCGAUGGGGCUGCUUCUUUUUCCUGUCGUCGUUCGGCCGGCGCAAGCCGCAAACGGCAGCAGCGAGGGGGGCACAUAUUCUGGGGCCUCCGAAUGGAGCCAUGGGCGCCGCGCGCGUUUGUGUGGAUGGGCAUGCACGGUGGAUGCAUGCAUGCCAUCACGACACGAUCGAUCAAGGAGGAUAUAAAAAAAAUGAAAGGAGAUAUAGUAGCGCAAGUACCCUUUAAAUCGCCACUGGUGCAGGACGGGGCAUUAGCACCGGUCGGGAAGGGCCUGUUGCCCCGGUUCCCGAGCCGGUGCUGCCCUUCCGGGACUAAAGGCCCACCCUUUAGUCCCGGUUCGGCCAACCGGUGCUAAAGGCCCCCCUUUAACACCGGUUGGUAACACCAACCGGUGUUAAAGGGUCCUGCCAGGGCUGCCACGUUGCAGGACCCUUUAACACCGGUUGGUGUUACCAACCGGUGUUAAAGGGUUUCUUUUUCUUUUUUUUUUAGUUCACUUCUUCGGUUCUGUUUAUUGUUUAUAUAUAAUAUAUAAUAAUAGGUUUUUCAAUACAUGUUUUGCUGAUACAAUAAUAUAUUUAUAUUACACGCAUAUUAAGCAUAUAUAAAUGAAAAUUAUAGGCUAAGCUUAAUAGUUAAGCUUUGCCUAUAAUAAAAUGAAUAGACCACAUCAAAAAUUAAAUAGAUAUGUAAAAAGCUUUAUAUAUAUAUAGUUUUAUAUGUACAAAAUUCGUAACACAUAUAUACAUAGAGUUUGUUCUCCCAAUGUCUACAAACGAUACAAAUGAUCAUCGUUGUUUGGUAUAAGAGUUUCGUUGCCGUUGAAGUGAAACUCGCCGUUUGGAUUGAUCACUUGGUCGCGGAGAAAUCCUGCUAUCGUCUCUUGGAUAGCUUUGAUUCGGUCUUGUUGUAGGACCUUUUCCUCAGCCAUUCCGUCUUUAAUUUGAAAUAAAUAAAAAAGGUAUUAGUUAUCUAAGUUAUUCAAUAUAAUUCAGGAGAUAAUGAAAAGAGACAUGUAACGUACUCUGAGCGUCUCUGUGGGUGUUUGAUUGACUUGUGCCAUCAUGAAUUUGCACACGUAAUAUGCACAUAGAUUGUUCCCUCCUUCUUGUCUUAAACACCACUGUACGAUGUAUAUAUAUAUAAAAAUAUUCAUAACCACGACAAUAAGAAGGCUAAAAGUUAGCGAAAGUUUGUUAGCUAGUAGAACUUACUUGUGGAUGUAUUAUGUUAAGCGGCGCUUUACAUCCACUGAGAUGUUCACGGUCAAUGAAUCUUUCCCAAACCCUAUACACAGCCAUUGUGGAUCGUGAACUAAUAAUUACAGAGUCAUAUUAUGAUAUUUUUGUAGCUGAGAUCGACAUUACGUACCUUUGAAUAAUGUUUACCAUUUGUUGAUAAUUUUCUUGUGGUUUUCUCAUUGAGUCAAAGAUUAUCAAUCGGUUCUUGGGAAUUUCAAUGACCAUGAGUAUCCAGUGAAAGCUGUUUACACACACAUAUAUAGGGUCAGUCCUAUAAUGUAAAAUAAAAUAUGCAUGCACUUAAUAACUAUAUAACUCACUCGAAGUUGAAGGGGAAGAGUAUUUUUUGUUUUUCUUUUUGGUUUACAAAGAACCUCAUAAGAUUGGUGCAGAUUUCUGUCUCAUAAUCUGCUGUCCACACUGCCUGCGGAGCCUUGAAAACAAUAUAAGGGUCAACGAACCCAAUACUAUUGUCAUUUCUCAUUCUGAGCUCUCUCAUUUGGUGCCUGCAUAUAUACAUACAAAUCCUAAGUGUGUAAGGAUUAUAUACAUGUAAUUAAAGAAGUUAGAAGUAUAAUAAAAAGGAAAAAUACUUACAGACAAAAGCAGCUGACAAGAGAUUUGUCAAGAGCGUCGAGGUGGCAUAAUUGGUGCAAUUCUUCGAACUGCACGUAUAUGAGGUCAUCUCCACGGAAGUAGUGAUGUUGUCUAAUACGAACAGAAAUCCAAUUCUCUCCCCUUUUAGACGCCUCAAUGCACCAUUUGUUUAUUGCAAACAUUUGUGUGCCGAGCUCGUGUAAACGCUUAGGGUCGAAUAGACUCCUGCCCGGUUCAUAUCUUGCCCUCCAUUGAUCAACUACCUCGGCUUUUUCAAAUGUAUGACAUCCAAGAAUGGCGGUAAUUUCUUCUAUAUUUAAACCGCUCUGUCCAAAGUAACUCUCAAGCGAGUCUAGCUCUGUCCAAAGUAACUCUCUUCUUAGUAGGCUGUGAAGACUUGACCAGAGACCGCUCAUAGUCCGAAAGUGCUGGCUUUUUCUGAGCUUCGCGUUGCUUCUUUUGAUGGUCCGCCACCUUCUGCCUCAGUUCCGAUGGCUUCACAUAAAAGUACGGCUUUUCUGGGUUAAGCCGUUUUUUCCUUUCCUCCUUUAUUUUAUCAAAAAAUUGUUGGACCUCAGCUUUAGAUGUAGCAAUUACCUCCUCUUCACUCUUUUCGUAAGGUAAUUUUUCUGGCGUCUUAGCUCUCUUUGCUGAGGCAGCCUUCUUUGGAGGUGGGACCGAUGACUUCGGUCCUUCUUGGACGGACCGCUUCUUACUACCUCGCUUUGGAGGCGAGGGGACCGACCGUGCACUCUUUGGAGAGGGCGGUGCAGGCGGAGGAGUUGGAGAACGCGGUGGAGGAGUUGGUAUAACACUCCAAAUUUUUGAAUUUCAAAUUCAGUUCAAAUUUGAUUUAAUUUUGGCAUAGUUUGAAUUUUUAGAGAAUUAUUAAAUAAUUUACAAAAUUAAAUAAAAUUAAAUAUAAGGUAGAAAACUUGUUCGUGUGCAUUCAUGCCGCUGCAUUUAUUUUGUUUGAUUUGUUUGCUUGUGCUUGAAUUAUUUUGUUGGAAGAAAGAAAUAAAUAGGAGAAAUCGGUUUUAAAAAAAAAAAUAAAAGAAAAAAAAAAAAAGCUUUUCCCCUCUCCCUGGGCCGGCCUUCCCUCGGCCCAGCGCCCGCGCCUCUCUCCCGCAGCGCCCGAGUGGGCCGCGGCCCAGCCGCGCAGCGGCCGCGCCCCGCGCGCACCCGCGCUGCCCCCGCCCGCAGCCGCUGACGCGUGGGCCCCGCAGGUGGGACCCACCGUCGUCUUCAACCUCCGUCCGAUUCGGACGGGGUGCGCAACCGCCGCGCCGCCUCCUUCUCGGCUUCCGUGCCGCGCGUGGAUCGAGAACCCCGGGACCACCCUAGCCUAUUUAAGGCACCCCUCGGCCGCCCGCACGCGCCCCUAAACCCUAGCCUCGAAACCCGCGCCGCCGCCGUUCUUGCCGAAGCUCGCAGCGCCGCCGACAAGCUUCUCUUCGCCGUCGUCAACUCGCGAAGGUAUGCACGCCAUCGCGUUCGUCGCGUCGAGCCGCGCCCGCCCGUACCCUCGGCUCGGCUGGCCGUGCCCUGCAGCGCCGCCGCUGCAAGCUCGCCGCGGCCGGCCAUGGCGCCGCCGCCUGCGUCCGCUCCCGCUCCGGCGCGCGGUCCACCGUGGACCGCGGCCCAGCGCCCCCGUGCGGCCGGUCCACGUGGACUCGGUCCACGCAGCCAGCACCGCCCCGCGCCCCGGUCCCGGUCCACGGUGGACCGGUGGACCGCCACACCCCCCCCGGUCCACAGCGCCGCCAUGGACCGGGCCAGCCGCGAGCUGCCACGUGGCCAGGCCGGCCACGGUCCCGCGCGCCCCCUGCUGCUUUUGCAGAAAAGCCCUCGGGCUUGUUCAAAAUUAACCCGCAGUCCAGUUCUUUUAAAAAUAUUUAAGUUUAUGCCCUUAGUUUUCGCAGUUUAACCCCUGGUUCGGUUAGAAUUUAUAUAUUUAAUCCAAAAUGAGUUUUAAUUCAGUUUUAAUUAGUUUUAAUUACGAAAAAUAGUUCAGUUUAUCUACAGAAAUGCCAUUUAACUUGUUUUAGCCAUAACUUUUGCGUCGUAACUCCGAUUUAGGUGAUUCUGGUCGCUAUAGUUUCAUUUCGUCGAGUAGAAUGCAGUAGGGCAGUUGCUUUCUGUUUUCGCAUGCUUUGGUGUACUGUUUCUGAUUAAGUUUGUUUGCUUGCAUGUAUUGUUCCUAUGAUUGAUGAUUGUCGCGUAUAGCCAACGAGACGUUCGUGGAGGAAGAGGUUCAGGAUCCCGCGGAGUUCGAGCAACCCGACUUCGACCAAGGCAAGUGCAGACACCGUUUGAUCAUUUUGAACCUACUCAUUAAUGUCGUUUACUUUAUAUGCAUGUGUCCAAUGAAUGCAAACCCUAAGGACAUGACUAGCUUUACUUAUUAUUCCUUGCUCACCUGGGGUUAUGUAUUUGGGUUGACUAGGCUAUACUAGGUCUGCUUAGCUGCUCUACUCAUCUUAUACACAUGUCUAAACAAGAAUUACUCUCUACUUAACUUGAUGCUUAAACUGUGCUGAAUCUUUGGUCACUGCGGUGAUGGCGAUGUUGGAUGCUUGCGAGCAUCGUGAUGAUGGUGGUGACAGGGGGAGCGGGUACCGUUGAUGGUCCGGAUUGCCGGGCGUACCCGUCUCUGCUCUCCGUAAGGACUUAGUCAGGGAGCGGCCCCCUGGGACUUACAGUGCAGCUCCAAGCUAUAUGGCUCUGGCUUGACUAAUUAGCAGGACCUCCACUAGUAGGGUGUUACUUUCCGGGUAGGCGUGAGGAAGUAACUUGGGUAAUGAAUAUUAAGUUGUCGGUUGAUCGGUACGCCAUGGCUAUGGGUAUCGACUGCCGAGCGCCCCGGCAAAAACUUGCGAGUGGCAUCCUAUUAGUUGGACCCUGUGAAAGGUCUCGUAGUGAGACCCCGCCUGCUCACCUUGGAAGUGUUUUGGGGAGUCGCGACCCCGGGCAAAUGGGAAUCACGACUUGGAGUGAACGUGCACACCUCUGCAGAGUGUAAAACUGAUAUAUCAGCCGUGCUCACGGUCACGAGCGGCCCAGACCCUCACUUGAUGAGCAAAUUGGAUUCACUGGUUACUUGGAGAUGGACCUUGGCGAGAUUGCUACCUCGUGUUUUGGCGGAAUGGCUAUUCCGUGAUGGCAGGAUUGCUAUCCUGUGUUAAUAAUUGGGGUUAAUCCCUGGAUCACUAUAAUAAUUAGGAUAGUCUUUUGAAAAGAUGCUAAUUACUACCUACACUAAUUAAGGGUUGGGUUUAUGCUACUCAUAUUAGUAAUAGGUUGUUUUAGUAAUUGUUAUAAUUAAAAGUGAUCAACUAAAAUGCUACCGCAGUCAAACCAAGUCAGCUUUACCUUGUUUUAAGCCUUGCAUGUCAUUACUUUCCGUCUGUGCUUGCUGAGUUCGGCAUGAGCUCACCCUUGCUAUAAUCAUUAAAGGUUGCUCGGACGAUCAGGAGCACAAUUGCGAUUUCCCUGAGGACUACCCUGAGUCUCCUGGUUGUUAGGCUCGUGUGGUUCUACCGUCGACCUUCCUGUGGCAAGGUGGUCCUGCUACGUCGGCGUUUAGUUUUCCCUUUAUUUAUGGAACAGAUUAGUUUAUGUUUCCCCUCCGCACUUUGAUAAACAUUUGGCUUGUAAUAAUGGUACUUUUACUCUCAUUUAUGUAAUUCGUUUGAACACUGUGUUUUGUACCAUUGAUGAUGUCGGUCCAUGUGUGUGAAUUUGAGAUCCUGGCGCACAUGUGAUUUGGCACCCGAAUGCUCUUUUACAUCCGGGUGUGACAGAAGUGGUAUCGGAGCCGUGUUGACCGUAGGAUCACGCAGCCUAGUUAGAAACAGCCGUUUAGAUUGUCCCUUUUGGGUGGAAUACACCAUUGGAUCUAUUAACUACCUUACUAACCUGUCUCAUUAGACUUUAUCUAUUGGCCUUAUCUACUUACUUUUACUAACAGCUAGGUUUAUUCACUUAUUUCUUGUAUUUAUUACCUUGUUAUCAUUUGUUGCUUUCUAUUUCUCAUAUUGCAUUUAUAUUCUUGUUUCAACUUUUACUACUUGUUAUUUGAACCUUUCUUUUAUACCUUGUCAUUUAUUAUCAUUCUACUCAUACUACCUUCUUGUUCCUUGUUUUUCAUUUAUUACUUGAGUUAUGUUUUAUUUCUACCUUGACAAUAAAUUUCAUUACCUUGUUUUCACUUUAUACCUUCAUUACUUGCUUUUAUAUCUUACCAUAAAUACCACCAAAGUUCAUAUUGUCCAUCCAUUGUAUAAUCUUGGUUCAUCCUCAUUACACAUACACUUUUACCUUCAUUUAUGUUAUUCAUUUAUCCAUCAUUGUCAUGAUCUAUUAACCGUUUCCUGCAUGUCUAUGAUCUUAUGCAUAAGUAGAUGACUCGCCACCUGACCUGCCGCAAGAGCGUUAUCCGUUUCCGCCCCGUUCAAGCUGUGGAGUUCUCGUUGACUGGUCGCGUGGAUAACAUCGUGUUCCAGCCUAACCAGCAUCUUGAUGACGGUGCUAACCUCCAAGACGCGGAACCCUAUGAAGGACAGCAACCACCUCAAGCUCUGGUGGUGCAUGGAAGGGCGCCUUGCUGGGCACCUGGAGGAGAUGAUCCCUUCGGUGAUGAUGACAUGGAUGAUGAUGAUGAGGAUGAUGAUGAUGAGGAUGCACCUGGAGGACCCAGAGGACCCGGUGGACCUGGAGGACCUGGAGGUCAAGAUGGACUUUUUGCUGCUGAUGAUGGGUGGAUUGUGACAAUCUGCACCCGGGAUGGUGGAGAGUGUUUCUUCCACAGCGAGCUGAAGCGUCUCCUUGACCAGCAGCUGGGACAUGGCAUGUUCUCAGUGGAGUACCGCAGUGAGCACUGGAGUCACCCCGACUACCCGGCGUACUGGAAGGUAUGGGCACACGUCGGCAGGCCUAACCCGACGUUGAGGGCACUGAGGAUCAUGUCCAUACAUGAGGCUGUGGCUGAGAGGUCUACCCAGAUGGCGGGCAUUAAUGAUGCUGCUCGCCAGGCUUUCUACGCAUACCGUGAUCACUUCUUCGAGGAGAUCAGCCAGGAUGAGCGUCGCUACUACCCUCGCCGUCGCCGUGGAGAGUUGGCAAUGACUAUUGCUUCCACCACUGAUGAGCAAGACCCUCGCGUGCACAGGACUGUCAAGCUGGUGGCGGUCACUAACACCGAGCUCAACAAUUCACUAGUGGAGCUGAAGCAAGUCAGGAAGGAGCUGGACGACGCCAGGAAGAGGAUAGCACAGCUGGAGGCUCAGAUCACUGGAGUGCCACCGCCUUCACCUAAGUGGCCUGCUUUCUCUCCGCCUCGUGAAGAUCCAGCCUAUGGAGAUGCCAGCGCUCGUACUACUAUAGAAUAGGAGCUAUUCCCAGCUUAGUAAUAAAUAGUGCCACGCUUAGAACGUUAGCACGAUCUUAGCUAUGCGAGUUUAGUGCUUAGUCGUUUGCUUAGUGUGCUUUGCUUGGUCUGUGUGAGAACUUGAUUUAUUAUUGUGUUAAUGGUGUGAUUUGGUUCUUUGUAAUGAGUGCGAUGAGUUGUGGGUUAUGUCCACAACGCAUCAAGAACAAGAUUAAGUAUUAAGUUUAUUUGAGAUAGUUAGUUUGGGUUACCAUCGGUCUCCUUUAUUUGUGCUUUAUCAUAUUUCAUAAUCGUUUUAUCUUAUCAGUCUUACUUUAUCAUGAUCAGUUCAGUAUCUAUAUAUUACAUCUGUUGUGAGUACUGUGUUUAUCAACUGAGAUAGGAAAGUGAAUAUCAGCUGGUUCAUACUGUGAGGAAAGAUUUUCACAUCGCAGUUUACAUUACAACUCAGGGUUACACAUAUGAACUGCAUCUGAUUUUGUUAUAUUGUUUCUAUACAUCAGAUGCCUGUCCACACCAGGAGCAACACCAAUGGAGGAAACAAUGGGCAGUCCAACAACAACAACAACAACAACAACAACAAUGAUCAGAGCGGGACUAAUGCCAACCCUCCUCCUCCUGGGAAUCAGCCCAUGACCAUAGAGCAGUUGAUGACUAUGCAGACUCAACUGAUGCAAGGGAUGGCUCAUAUUAUGAACCACAUGCAGCAGAACCAAAACCAGAAUCAGAACCAACAUCAAGGAGGUAACAACGCGUUUGCCCCACCUAGGGACAAGCGUGGAGAGUUCAUGAAGGGACGUCCACCGUUCUUCUCCCACUCAGCUGACCCUAUGCAAGCUGAGGAUUGGCUUAAGGCAGUGGAGAAGCAGCUGGUCAUUGCUCAGUGCAAUGACAGGGAGAAGGUUCUGUAUGGCUCUGGGCAGCUUCAGGGAGCCGCACAGGACUGGUGGGAUUCAUAUUGCUUUGCACAUCAAGACCCGGAUACUAUCACUUGGGAUGAGUUCAAGGUCGCCUUCAAGACUCAUCAUGUGCCUGCUGGAUUGGUGAAGCUGAAGAAGAAGGAGUUUCUGUCUCUGAAGCAGGGCUCCAUGACAGUUUGUGAGUACCGUGACAAGUUCACUCAAUUGUCGCGGUAUUGCCCCAAUGAAGUGGAGAAUGAUGAAGACAAGCAAGACCACUUUCUGGAAGGUUUGAAUGAUGGUCUGUCCUACAUGAUGUCGAAUGUCAAGUAUGCCAGUUUCCAGGAGAUGGUGGACAGGGCAUUGGUGCUUGAGAGCAAGCGCCGCAAGAUGGAAGACAAGAAGAGGAAGUAUAAUUCCUCUCAGCAGCAGGCUGGUGCCAGUCGUCCCCGUUACAACAACCAGCAGGGCCCUCAGUCUCGCCCUGCAUAUCAGUCAGGCAACCAAGGACAGCAACAGAACGUCAGGUACAGCAACCAGGGUCAGCAGACGAGCCAGCGCUACAACAACAACCAAGUGCAGCGCCCCGCUAGUCAGGCGCCUCGCCAGAAUGCCCCAGCACCAUCAGGCUCUCGCCAGAACUCCAACACUGUCCCAAUGAAACCCAAUGUCAACCCCGCCCCCACUGGAAAUACCUGCUUCAAGUGUGGUCAGCUUGGACACUACGCGAAUGCUUGCCCCCAGAGGCAGAAGAAUAACAACAACAAUGGAAGGGUGAAUCAUGUGAAGCUGGAAACUGCUGAGGAGGCUCCAGAUGUGGUAGUUGGUAUGUUUCUUGUCAACUCUUGCCCAGCUACUGUUUUGUUUGAUACUGGAGCAUCGCAUACUUUUAUAAGUGCACAGUUUGUUGAGAAACAUAGUAUAGCCACCUGUACCAUGCAAAACACCAUGCUAGUUAAAUCACCUGGGGGAAAGAUGCAUACUAAUACUUUGUGUCCGGGAAUGAGCAUUAAAAUAAGGGGGGUAGAUUUUCCUGUCAAUCCUAUUGUGUUGGGUUCAGAAGGUUUAGAUAUGAUAUUGGGAAUGAGAUGGUUGUCCAAGUUUAAGGGUACUAUUCAGUGUGCUGAGAAGACAGUGGCUCUAACCGCACCUAGUGGGAACAGAAUUGAGGUCAGAGUUUCUAUGUCACCUAGUAGCGAAGGAACAGUUUACCAUCUGAGCAGUGGGUCAGUAGAAGAUAUUCGAGUGGUGAAAGAGUUCCCUGAUGUGUUCCCAGAGGAUUUGCCAGGUAUGCCACCUGAACGUGAGAUUGAAUUUGUUAUUGAUUUAUUACCUGGUACUGCACCCAUAUCUAAGAGACCUUAUAGAAUGGCUGUUAAUGAGUUAGAAGAACUUAAGAAACAACUAAGGGAGUUACAGUCUAAGGGGUAUAUCCGUCCUAGUUCCUCACCUUGGGGAGCUCCAGUUAUCUUUGUAGAGAAGAAGGAUGGGACACAGAGGAUGUGUGUAGACUAUAGAUCUUUGAAUGAGGUCACCAUUAAGAAUAAAUACCCUUUGCCUAGAAUAGAGGACUUGUUUGACCAGUUGAAAGGAGCUUGUGUGUUUUCCAAAAUAGAUCUGAGGUCAGGUUAUCACCAGUUGAGGAUUAAACCUAAUGAUAUUCCAAAGACUGCGUUCACCACCAGAUAUGGACUCUAUGAAUAUACAGUUAUGUCUUUUGGAUUGACGAAUGCUCCAGCGUACUUUAUGUAUCUGAUGAAUAAAGUUUUUAUGGAGUAUUUGGAUAAGUUUGUGGUAGUCUUUAUUGAUGAUAUCUUGAUCUACUCCAAGACUGAGGAAGAACAUGAGGAUCACCUGAGGCUUGUGUUGCAGAAAUUGAGGGAACAUCAGCUCUAUGCCAAGCUGAGUAAGUGUGACUUCUGGUUGAAGGAAGUGUCUUUUCUUGGUCAUGUCAUUUCAAAUGGUGGAGUUGCUGUCAGUCCGAAGAAUGUGGCAGAUGUUCUUAAGUGGAGUCCGCCUCAGACUGUUGGAGAGAUCAGAAGUUUUCUUGGAAUGGCCGGUUACUAUCGGAGAUUCAUUGAAGGGUUUUCCAGUAUUGCCAAGCCCAUGACUGCUUUGUUAGAGAAGGGUAAGCCAUUCAAGUGGAAUGAACAGUGUCAGGCUAGUUUUGAGGAGUUGAAGAAGAGGUUGACUACUGCACCAAUUUUGACUUUGCCAGAUGUGACUAAAAGCUUUUCUAUCUAUUGUGAUGCUUCCAAGCAAGGUUUGGGAUGUGUACUGAUGCAAGAGGGAAAGGUGAUUGCCUAUGCAUCUAGGCAGUUGAAGAAACAUGAGGUGAAUUAUCCAACUCAUGACCUUGAGUUAGCAGCUGUGGUACAUUCACUAAAGAUCUGGAGACACUAUAUUCUGGGUCAUAAGUGUGAUAUCUACACGGAUCACAAGAGUCUGAAAUACAUCUUCACUCAGAAUGAUUUGAACCUGAGACAGAGAAGAUGGUUAGAGUUGAUCAAGGACUAUGAACUGGAGAUUCAUUACCACCCUGGCAAGGCUAAUGUAGUUGCUGAUGCUCUGAGUAGAAAGAGUCAAGUGAAUAUGUUGGAGGCCACAGAGUUACCGAUAGAACUACUGGCAGAAUUUGAGUAUCUCAAUUUGGGAUUUGUUGCUAAUACCCAAGGUACUUCCAUGGACAUAGAACCAACUCUUGAGCAAGAGAUCAGAAAAGGUCAGAAAGAGGAUGAAGAAAUCAAAAAGAUACUUAGGCUGAUAGAGGAAGGAAGAGCACCUGGAUUCAAAGUUGAUCAAGAAGGGAUUGUUUGGCACAAGGACCGAUUGUGUGUGCCUGAUAUUCAGAGAAUCAAGGAUGUGAUACUGAAGGAAUGCCAUGAAUCUGCUUACUCUAUUCAUCCAGGAGGUACUAAGAUGUAUCAGGACUUGAAGCAAAACUAUUGGUGGCCUGGUAUGAAGAAAGAUAUUGGUGAAUAUGUGGCAUUGUGUGACACCUGUCAGAGAGUGAAAGCGGAACAUCAGAGGCCAGCAGGGUUGUUGCAACCGUUGAAGAUACCUGAGUGGAAGUGGGAUGAGAUCAGCAUGGACUUCAUAGUGGGAUUGCCGAAAACUCAACGAGGUUAUGACUCAAUAUGGGUUGUAGUAGAUCGAUUGACCAAGGUAGCUCAUUUCAUACCGGUCAGAACUAACUACCGUGGAGAUCAGUUAGCAGAAAAGUAUAUGGAACGGAUUGUGUGUCUGCAUGGAGUUCCUAAGAGGAUUGUGUCUGAUAGAGGUACACAGUUUACAUCAAAGUUUUGGGAGAAGCUACAUGAUGCUUUGGGAACCGAGCUCAGAUUCAGUACUGCUUAUCACCCUCAGUCCGAUGGUCAGACAGAGAGAGUCAACCAGAUAGUAGAGGAUAUGCUCAGGUCUUGUGCUUUGCAGUAUGGGGAUAGUUGGGAUGCUAGUUUGCCCUACGCUGAGUUCUCCUAUAACAACAGUUAUCAGACUAGUCUUAAGAUGACUCCUUUCGAAGCCUUGUAUGGAAGGAAGUGUAGGACUCCAUUGUUCUGGAACCAGACUGGUGAAAGGCAAGUGUUCGGCCCUGAUUCAUUGAGAAUAGCCGAAGAAAGAGUUCAGUUCAUCCGACAGACUCUGAAGGCAGCUCAGUCUAGACAGAAGAGUUAUGCCGAUGUGAGACGAAGGGAACUUGUAUUUCAGGCAGGUGAUUAUGUAUACCUGAAAGUGUCUCCGAUGAGAGGUCUAAAGAGGUUCAAUGUCAAGGGAAAGCUAGCUCCAAGAUACGUUGGUCCUUUCAAGAUCUUGGAAAGAAAAGGAGAAGUGGCUUAUGAGCUUGAAUUGCCUGCCAGCUUAUCCAAUGUGCACAAUGUUUUCCAUGUCUCCCAAUUCAAGAAAUGUUUGAGAGUGCCUGAGGAACAGUUGCCACUAGAGGAACUGGAUUUACAGGAUGAUCUAACUUAUGAAGAGAGUCCUAUCAAAGUCCUGGACACAGCAGAGAGAAUUACUAGGAGUAAAACUAUCAGGAUGUGUAAAGUACAAUGGAGACACCAUUCCGAGGAAGAAGCAACCUGGGAAAGAGAAGAAGAUCUAAUAUCCAAAUACCCUCAGUUAUUCCCUGGUUCAUCCUAAUCUCGAGGACGAGAUUCCUUUAAGGGGGGUAGGUUUAUAACACUCCAAAUUUUUGAAUUUCAAAUUCAGUUCAAAUUUGAUUUAAUUUUGGCAUAGUUUGAAUUUUUAGAGAAUUAUUAAAUAAUUUACAAAAUUAAAUAAAAUUAAAUAUAAGGUAGAAAACUUGUUCGUGUGCAUUCAUGCCGCUGCAUUUAUUUUGUUUGAUUUGUUUGCUUGUGCUUGAAUUAUUUUGUUGGAAGAAAGAAAUAAAUAGGAGAAAUCGGUUUUAAAAAAAAAAAAAAUAAAAGAAAAAAAAAAAAGCUUUUCCCCUCUCCCUGGGCCGGCCUUCCCUCGGCCCAGCGCCCGCGCCUCUCUCCCGCAGCGCCCGAGUGGGCCGCGGCCCAGCCGCGCAGCGGCCGCGCCCCGCGCGCACCCGCGCUGCCCCCGCCCGCAGCCGCUGACGCGUGGGCCCCGCAGGUGGGACCCACCGUCGUCUUCAACCUCCGUCCGAUUCGGACGGGGUGCGCAACCGCCGCGCCGCCUCCUUCUCGGCUUCCGUGCCGCGCGUGGAUCGAGAACCCCGGGACCACCCUAGCCUAUUUAAGGCACCCCUCGGCCGCCCGCACGCGCCCCUAAACCCUAGCCUCGAAACCCGCGCCGCCGCCGUUCUUGCCGAAGCUCGCAGCGCCGCCGACAAGCUUCUCUUCGCCGUCGUCAACUCGCGAAGGUAUGCACGCCAUCGCGUUCGUCGCGUCGAGCCGCGCCCGCCCGUACCCUCGGCUCGGCUGGCCGUGCCCUGCAGCGCCGCCGCUGCAAGCUCGCCGCGGCCGGCCAUGGCGCCGCCGCCUGCGUCCGCUCCCGCUCCGGCGCGCGGUCCACCGUGGACCGCGGCCCAGCGCCCCCGUGCGGCCGGUCCACGUGGACUCGGUCCACGCAGCCAGCACCGCCCCGCGCCCCGGUCCCGGUCCACGGUGGACCGGUGGACCGCCACACCCCCCCCGGUCCACAGCGCCGCCAUGGACCGGGCCAGCCGCGAGCUGCCACGUGGCCAGGCCGGCCACGGUCCCGCGCGCCCCCUGCUGCUUUUGCAGAAAAGCCCUCGGGCUUGUUCAAAAUUAACCCGCAGUCCAGUUCUUUUAAAAAUAUUUAAGUUUAUGCCCUUAGUUUUCGCAGUUUAACCCCUGGUUCGGUUAGAAUUUAUAUAUUUAAUCCAAAAUGAGUUUUAAUUCAGUUUUAAUUAGUUUUAAUUACGAAAAAUAGUUCAGUUUAUCUACAGAAAUGCCAUUUAACUUGUUUUAGCCAUAACUUUUGCGUCGUAACUCCGAUUUAGGUGAUUCUGGUCGCUAUAGUUUCAUUUCGUCGAGUAGAAUGCAGUAGGGCAGUUGCUUUCUGUUUUCGCAUGCUUUGGUGUACUGUUUCUGAUUAAGUUUGUUUGCUUGCAUGUAUUGUUCCUAUGAUUGAUGAUUGUCGCGUAUAGCCAACGAGACGUUCGUGGAGGAAGAGGUUCAGGAUCCCGCGGAGUUCGAGCAACCCGACUUCGACCAAGGCAAGUGCAGACACCGUUUGAUCAUUUUGAACCUACUCAUUAAUGUCGUUUACUUUAUAUGCAUGUGUCCAAUGAAUGCAAACCCUAAGGACAUGACUAGCUUUACUUAUUAUUCCUUGCUCACCUGGGGUUAUGUAUUUGGGUUGACUAGGCUAUACUAGGUCUGCUUAGCUGCUCUACUCAUCUUAUACACAUGUCUAAACAAGAAUUACUCUCUACUUAACUUGAUGCUUAAACUGUGCUGAAUCUUUGGUCACUGCGGUGAUGGCGAUGUUGGAUGCUUGCGAGCAUCGUGAUGAUGGUGGUGACAGGGGGAGCGGGUACCGUUGAUGGUCCGGAUUGCCGGGCGUACCCGUCUCUGCUCUCCGUAAGGACUUAGUCAGGGAGCGGCCCCCUGGGACUUACAGUGCAGCUCCAAGCUAUAUGGCUCUGGCUUGACUAAUUAGCAGGACCUCCACUAGUAGGGUGUUACUUUCCGGGUAGGCGUGAGGAAGUAACUUGGGUAAUGAAUAUUAAGUUGUCGGUUGAUCGGUACGCCAUGGCUAUGGGUAUCGACUGCCGAGCGCCCCGGCAAAAACUUGCGAGUGGCAUCCUAUUAGUUGGACCCUGUGAAAGGUCUCGUAGUGAGACCCCGCCUGCUCACCUUGGAAGUGUUUUGGGGAGUCGCGACCCCGGGCAAAUGGGAAUCACGACUUGGAGUGAACGUGCACACCUCUGCAGAGUGUAAAACUGAUAUAUCAGCCGUGCUCACGGUCACGAGCGGCCCAGACCCUCACUUGAUGAGCAAAUUGGAUUCACUGGUUACUUGGAGAUGGACCUUGGCGAGAUUGCUACCUCGUGUUUUGGCGGAAUGGCUAUUCCGUGAUGGCAGGAUUGCUAUCCUGUGUUAAUAAUUGGGGUUAAUCCCUGGAUCACUAUAAUAAUUAGGAUAGUCUUUUGAAAAGAUGCUAAUUACUACCUACACUAAUUAAGGGUUGGGUUUAUGCUACUCAUAUUAGUAAUAGGUUGUUUUAGUAAUUGUUAUAAUUAAAAGUGAUCAACUAAAAUGCUACCGCAGUCAAACCAAGUCAGCUUUACCUUGUUUUAAGCCUUGCAUGUCAUUACUUUCCGUCUGUGCUUGCUGAGUUCGGCAUGAGCUCACCCUUGCUAUAAUCAUUAAAGGUUGCUCGGACGAUCAGGAGCACAAUUGCGAUUUCCCUGAGGACUACCCUGAGUCUCCUGGUUGUUAGGCUCGUGUGGUUCUACCGUCGACCUUCCUGUGGCAAGGUGGUCCUGCUACGUCGGCGUUUAGUUUUCCCUUUAUUUAUGGAACAGAUUAGUUUAUGUUUCCCCUCCGCACUUUGAUAAACAUUUGGCUUGUAAUAAUGGUACUUUUACUCUCAUUUAUGUAAUUCGUUUGAACACUGUGUUUUGUACCAUUGAUGAUGUCGGUCCAUGUGUGUGAAUUUGAGAUCCUGGCGCACAUGUGAUUUGGCACCCGAAUGCUCUUUUACAUCCGGGUGUGACAGUUGGAGACCUCGGUGGAGGAGGUGGAGACCGUGGUGGAGGCGGUGGCGGGGUCGGUGUGGCCGCCGCAGGUGUUGGAGGAGAUCCAGCAUUGUCACCGCCCGCAGCACUAUGAUGCGCUGGGGAGAGAACUGGACUUAGGUUGGAGGAGUCCCUGCAAAGAAAACAAUUACAAGUUUUGUGAGUAAACUUUUUUUAAAUUUCAAUACAUAAUAAAUAAUAUAAGAAGUAAAAUCACACACAAACCUAUGCUGAGGAAUAAUUAUGAAGCGCUUGCGCCAACAAAUAAAUGUCUUCUCAGCUUCACUAGAAUAACAUACUAAAAAGUCUUUUAAGCCAAGUAAUAUACUAGAAUAAUAUACUAAAAUAUAAUACUAAAAAAUAAUACUAUAAUAAUAGUAUAAACUAAUAGUAUAUGUUUUAAGCCAAGUAAUACACUUGCACAUAGAAUAAUGUACUAAAAAAUUCAUACUACUACAAAUUGAUACAAGAAUAAUAUAAGUGCAUAUAUAUACAUAAUAAGAAAUACACUAGAAUAAUAGAAGUGCUAGAGUGCUCCAAACUAAAAAGUAAUACUAAAAAAAUAAUACAGACAAUAACACUAGAAUAAUAUACUAGCACACAAUAUAUUUCAUAAUAAUUCAAAACACUAGCACAAAAUAUAUUUCAUAACAAUUCAAAACACUACAAUUCAUAAUAUACUAGAAUAACAUACUACAAAGUCUUUUAAGCCAAGUAAUAUACUAGAAUAAUAUACUAAAAUAUAAUACUAAAAAAUAAUACUAAAAUAAUAGUAUAUAAACUAAUACACACUUGCACAUAGAAUAAUGUACUAAAAAAUUAAUAAUACUACAAAAUGAUACAAGAAUAAUAUAAGUGCAUAUAUAUACAUAAUAAUACAAAAUAAUAGUAUAUAAACUAUUCGGUAUGAAAUAUAAGUGCAUAUAUAAUGAUACAAAAUAAUAGUACAUAAUUAAGUGCAUAUAAAAUAAUAGUAUAUAUACAUAAUGAUACAAAAUAUAUUAAUAAUAUAAAAUAAUGAUACAAGAACAAAAUGAUACAAGAAUAAUAGUAUAUAUAUAUACAUACAUACACAUAUAUAUAUAUAUAUAUCUUAUAUAUAUAUAUAAGAGAUAUAUAUAUAUAUAUAAACUGUUGGUUGUUGGUAUUCAUAUAUAUAUAUAUAUAUAUAUAUAUAUAUAUAUAUAUAUAUAUAUAUAUAUGUAUAUGUAUAUAUAUAUAUAAACUGUUGGUGUUCAUAUAUAUCUAUACAAUUUAUAUAUACAAUUUUAGUCUAUACAUAUAAACUGUUUUGACAUCCAUCCAUAUAUAUAUAUAUAUAUACACACGAGCGAUCGAUACACAUGAAGAAAUAUACGUAGAUCUGUGGAGAGCCGCUGCAGCGACGCUGGAGACGAACGGCGGCGCUGUAGAUGGCGGCGGCGGCGCUGUAGAUGGCGGCGGCGGCGCUGGAGACGAACGGCGGCGCUGGGAGACGAAUGGGCGGCGCUGGACGACGGCGGCGCGGAGAUCUCUGCUCGACGAAGACGAAGACGAAGGGAACUGCCCAGAUCCAGGGCUCCUGCACACAUUUAUAGGUGCGGACCCUUUAGCACCGGUCCGUGGCUGGAACCGGUGCUAAAGGGUCUUUAACACCGGCUGGUAAAAAGAGCCGGUGUUAAAGGGUCACCCUUUAGCACCGGCUCGUGUUACCAGCCGGUGCUAAAGGGACCCUUUAGCACCGGUUCUAACCACGGACCGGUGCUAAAGUGUCCUAGGCGGGCUCGGGCGGGGUUCUGAAAUUUUCAGGACCCUUUAGCACCGGUUCCCACUAUGGGCCGGUGCUAAAGGCCCAUUUUUUUAGUUUAGGGUUUUUCAAUUGUUUUAUAUAUACAGUUUAUAUUAUAAAUUGUAUAGUAAAUUAAAUAUUUUGCAUAAUGUUUUUUAAAUAGUGACAUAUAUUGUAAUUUGUUUUAAUGUACACAUGAAAAUUUUUAAACUUAAAUAUCUUAUUGUAUUUUUAUAAUUUACAACGAUUUUGUAAGAAAUGUUUAGUAUUUUGUUAAUGCAAAAAUAUAUUAUUCCAAUAAAUUUACAAAAACUAUAUCCAAUGAACUGGAAAUUUAUUUUCACAUCAUAUUGACGUAAAACUUUUUAUUUUUGUUAUUUAUUACUAGGAAUGCUACUUGGGUAUAAUUUUCAUCAAAUAAAAAAUCAUAUAAAAAUAUAUAUCUUGAUGAACACACCCUUUGACCGAACCCUAGAUUGUCCCAAAUGGAAUAGUCAUGAAUACAAAGUUUGCUACACUCAUCAAGUUCUACAUUUUGUCUAAUGGUCAACUUUUCAUUUGGAAAAGUUUGAACCACUGAAUUUUGAAUUUUCAUGGAACUCAUAGCCACGCAGCGGUUUCGGAACCCUACAUGGUCUCGAAUGGAAAAGUCAUGAAUACCAAUAUUGUUCCACUCAUCAAAAUCUACAUUUCAUAUAUAGACCAUUUUUGCAUUUGACAAAGUUUUGGGAAGGUGUAGUUGAAAAUCCACAAUUGACACAUAUAGUUUCAUAUAGUUUGUGUGAGAACUUAGAAUUGGUGGGUAUUGUUAACUUAGAUUUUCUCAAAUGGAAAAGUUGUGUAUAUAAAAAGUUUAGAUCUUGAAGAUAUCUAACAACUUGGUAUUCAAAAUAUUUUCAUUUGAAGUAAUUUAGUUUGUCAUUUGACCAAGUUUGACCGAAACCCGUCUUGGAUUUUAUAGAAAUGUAACUAGAAUUGGCUCAAAAUUAUCCAAAUGGAAAAAUGGACAAUAUAUAAAAUAUAGAUUUUGAUGAUCUCUAACAACUUUGUAUUCAAACUUUUUUCAUUUCAAGUCAUCAAAUGGGCUAUUUGACCAAAGUCAAAGCAUUGGUUUUUACAAACACACCCUUUGACCGAACCCUAGAUUGUCCCAAAUGGAACAGUCAUGAAUACAAAGUUUGCUACACUCAUCAAGUUCUACAUUUUGUCUAAUGGUCAACUUUUCAUUUGGAAAAGUUUGAACCACUGAAUUUUGAAUUUUCAUGGAACUCAUAGCCACGCAGCGGUUUCGGAACCCUACAUGGUCUCGAAUGGAAAAGUCAUGAAUACCAAUAUUGUUCCACUCAUCAAAAUCUACAUUUCAUAUAUAGACCAUUUUUGCAUUUGACAAAGUUUUGGGAAGGUGUAGUUGAAAAUCCACAAUUGACACAUAUAGUUUCAUAUAGUUUGUGUGAGAACUUAGAAUUGGUGGGUAUUGUUAACUUAGAUUUUCUCAAAUGGAAAAGUUGUGUAUAUAAAAAGUUUAGAUCUUGAAGAUAUCUAACAACUUGGUAUUCAAAAUAUUUUCAUUUGAAGUAAUUUAGUUUGUCAUUUGACCAAGUUUGACUGAAACCCGUCUUGGAUUUUAUAGAAAUGUAACUAGAAUUGGCUCAAAAUUAUCCAAAUGGAAAAAUGGACAAUAUAUAAAAUAUAGAUUUUGAUGAUCUCUAACAACUUUGUAUUCAAACUUUUUUCAUUUCAAGUCAUCAAAUGGGCUAUUUGACCAAGUUUGACCAAAGUCAAAGCAUUGGUUUUUACAAACACACCCUUUGACCGAACCCUAGAUUGUCCCAAAUGGAACAGUCAAGCCGACACAACAGUGAACUUCUUCUUGACGUAUGACCCUUGGUUAUGAUCCUGCCGUAACCAUGGAGUAUCCUCAUUGUUUAACAGAAUGCUUGGGUCUUUGUUGACUAUGAAGGGCGGAAUUCGAUCAUCCCUUUCGUAAUCGCCUGACAUGUCUGACUUGUCCUCAAUUCCGACAAUGUUUCUUUUCCCAGAAAGGACAAUGUGGCGCUUUGGCUCAUUGAUGAUUGAGUGGUCAUCAUUUUUUCCUCUCUUUGGUUUCGUAGACAUAUCUUUGACAUAGAACACCUGACUCACGUCUGCAGCAAGGACGAAUGGUUCGUCUUUGAACCCACUAUUGUUAAGGUCCACGGUUGUCAUCCCAUACUCCUUGUCGACUGUUACCCCACCUCCGGUCAUCUUCACCCAUUGGCACCGGAACAAAGGAACUUUAAAAUUAGCUGCAUAGACUAGUUCCCAUAUGUCUUCUAUGCGUCCAUAAUAUGUUUGCCUGUUCCCAUUUGGAUCCGUGGCAUCCACGCGUACACCACUAUUUUGGUUGGUGCUCCUUUUAUCUUGGCCAACUGUGUAAAAUGUGUUACCAUUUAUCUCGUACCCUUUGUAUGUGAGGACAUGCCAUGAUGGUUGCCUGGCCAACAAAUAAAGCUGCUCAUCAAUGUUUUCAUCACCUUGACAUUUUUUGCGCAACCAAUCGCCAAAAGUUUCCAUGUGCUGACGCAUUAUCCAAGCUUCAUUCUUCCCGGGCCACUGGGACCGUAGGUAAUCUUUGUGUACCUCAACAUAUGGUUCCACCAAUGAGGAGUUCUGGAGAACUGUGUAGUGUGCUUUAUUGAAGUAAUCGUUUCCCGUACCAAUAUAUGUUUUCUUCCCAAGUGUUCCCUUUCCGCUGAGUCUGCCCUCGUGUCGAGAUUCAGGAAUGCCAAUUGGGUCAAGGUCUGGAAUAAAGUCAACACAGAACUCUAUGACCUCCUCUGUUCCGUAGCCCUUGGCAAUGCUUCCUUCUGGCCGGGAACGACUAUGGACAUAUUUCUUUAGGACACCCAUGAAUCUCUCGAAGGGGAACAUGUUGUGUAGGAACACAGGACCGAGAAUACGAAUCUCUUUGACCAGAUGAACUAGGAGGUGUGUCAUGAUAUCGAAGAAGGAUGGAGGGAACACCAACUCAAAGCUGACGAGACAUUGAACGACAUCAUUCUGCAGAGUAGCUAGUUGCUCUGGAUUGAUUGCCUUCUGAGAAAUUGCAUUAAGGAAUGCACAUAGCUUUACGGUGGCUAGACGUACGUGUGGAGGUAGAAUUCCUCUUAAAACGACCGGCAGCAAUUGCGUCAUUAGAACGUGACAGUCAUGGGACUUCAAGUUCAGGAAUUUCUUCUCUGGCACAUUAAUUAUUUCCUUGAUAUUGGAGAAGAAUCCAGAUGGGACCUUGAUGCUGCUAAGACAUUCAAACAUGCUUUCCUUCUCUUCUUUGCUCAGAGUGUAGCUAGCAGGGCUUAAGUAAUGACGUCCAUCAUCUGUCUUUUCUGGAUGCAGGUUGUCUCGUUCUUUCAUGCGCUGCAAGUCUUGUCGUGCUUCAAGUGAAUCCUUAGACUUCCCGUAGACACCCAUGAAUCCGAGCAAGUUCACACAAAGAUUCUUUGUCAGGUGCAUCACGUCGAUCGUGUUGCGGACCUCUAGGACAUUCCAGUAAGGUAGCUCCCAAAAUAUGCAUUUCUUCUUCCACAUGGGUACGUGUCCCUUAGCAUCCUUGGGAAUAGGUUCGCUGCCUCGUCCCUUUCCAAAUACCACUUUUAUAUCCUUGACCAUUUCGAGUACAUCAUCCCCGGUUCGAUUGAGAGGUUUGGUCCGGUGGUCUGCCUUGCCUUUAAAAUGCUUGCCUUUCUUUCGUACUGGGUGGUUCACAGGAAGAAACCGACGGUGGCCAAGGUACACGACCUUUCGACAUUUUUUCAAAAAUACACAGUCAAGGUCUUCAUAACAAUGUGUGCAUGCAUUAUAUCCCUUGUUUGACUGGCCUGAAAGAUUACUCAGAGCUGGCCAAUCAUUGAUUGUUACAAACAGCAAUGCUCGUAGGUCAAAGUGCUCUUGUUUGUACUCAUCCCACACGCGAACUCCUGGUUUGCUCCAUAAAAGUUGUAGUUCCUCAACUAAUGGCCUAAGGUAGACAUCUAUGUCAUUGCCAGGUUGCUUCGGUCCUUGGAUAAGCACCGGCAUCAUAAUAAACUUCCGCUUCAUGCAUAGCCAUGGAGGAAGGUUGUAGAUACAUAGAGUAACUGGCCAAGUGCUGUGACUACUGCUCUGCUCACCGAAAGGAUUCAUACCAUCUGUACUUAAGGCGAACCGCAAGUUUCUAGCAUCAUUUGCAAAAUCUGAGAAUUCUCUGUCUAUCGCUCUCCACUGGGAUCCAUCGGCAGGGUGUCUCAGCAUAUUGUCUAUCUUACGGUCUUCUUUAUGCCACCGCAACAACUUUGCAUUGUCCUUAUUUCUGAACAGACGUUUUAAUCGUGGUAUUAUAGGAGCAUACCACAUAACCUUGGCUGGAAUUUUCUUCCUAUGUCGUUCUUCACCCUCAACAUCGCCAGGAUCAUCUCGUCUAAUCUUAUACCGUGAUGCCUUACAUACUGGACAUGCAUCCAAAUUCUCGUAUUCCUCCCCACGGUAGAGGAUGCAGUCAUUAGGACAUGCGUGUAUCUUCUGGAUUUCUAAUCCCAAAGGGCAGACAACCUGUUUUGCUUCAUACGUAGUGGUGGGCAAUUCGUUGCCUUUCGGAAGCAUCUUUUUUAUGAUCUUCAAUAACUGCCCAAAUGCCUUGUCAGAUGUACCAUUCUUUGCCUUCCAUUGCAGCAAUUCUAGUGUGGUACCCAGCUUUUUUUGCCCCUCUUCAGCGGUGGGAUAUAGCGAUUUCCUGUGGUCCUCUAGCAUGCGCUCGAACUUGGCUUUCUCUUUAUCACUUUCACAUUCUCUUUGUGCAUCACGGAUGGCAUCACCAAAAGCAUCAUCGCCCCGAUCAUCUUCUGCCGCCACCUCUUCUUCAUUAUCUCCCCCCAUUGCAACAUCAUUGAAGCCACCGUACUGAGCAAUAAUAUUGGCAUGGUCCAAUUCUUCUUCUUCUUCUUCUUCUUCUUCACCUUCAUCCAUUAUAAUCCCGCUUUCUCCAUGUUUGGUCCAACAAAUAUAGUUUGGUACGAAACCAGACUUUAAUAAGUGUGAAUGAAGAGUUCUUGAGUUAGAAUAUUCCGUCAAAUUCUUGCACACGGCACAUGGACAGCACAUGAAACCGUCCCUCUUAUUUGACUCGGCCACACUUAAGAAAUAGUGCACGCCAUUAAUGAACUCUUCGGAGCGCCGAUCGGCAUUAUACAUCCAAUUACGUGUUACCAUCUGCAUUAAAGAUAACAUAUAUAUUAUGAAAACCAUGCACACAUAUAGUUUCUCAUCUUAUUGCACAACAUGUCUAAGAUACAUAGUUGAUUAAUUUAGAAAAACUUGGCUACAACAAAUACAAUCGCAACUAGCAUUAAAAAAAAUAAAACUAAAAUGCACUUAAGCAACAUAAUUAGUUCGCGUCCGAUCCCAACUAUAAUAGAUAGAUCAUUCGCUUGAUCAACUUCAUUGAACUUCUUUCGUCGGCUCACUGCCUCACCACCUUCAGCCUCAACCACCUGUGCAAAAGAUUUCUUAAUGUGUUCAAUGUAUUCUUCCUCCCAGUACCAACCUGUACAUCCGCCGGUACCGUCCCACUGAAAUUAAAAGAGAGAAUCAAAAGUUUAAUUAAUAUCAUUUAAAAAAAUAUGCACAUAUAUAAGCAAAUGUCUGGAAAUAACUCACAUUACGAUCUGGACACUUGUAGAAUAUACGACCCUUGUUUACUCCCUCUUUCGACACUUUGUACUCCAUCAAAAUCUUCUGCCCACACUUGCCACAAGUAAUGAGAGGGAGUUCCGGACGGUAUCGCUUUUGAACCCGUUGAGAGACGGAAGACCCGGUCACGGUUGCCAUCUACUAUCCAUACUCAAUUUUAAAACAAUUAUAAAUUCCACAUUUACUAGUAAACAUGUAUGAUACAAUGGACAUUAUAUGUAGUAAUAAAAAUAAAUCAAGUGAUAUUAACAAACCAAUUAAUUUGAACUAUCCUACUUUCUAUGAUCAUAAAAAUAUACUAUAAUUCAUUCUUGCAAAAUAUAUUAAAACUAGGUCAACCAUGAAAUAUGAUAUAUAUAUAUGGAUACUAAUUCAUGUGAAUGAUUCAAAAUAACAAAGUGGAUUUGAGCUAAAAAUGAUGGGAACAUCACAAGCCAAAAACAACAUGAAAAAGACAAGAAAGGCUGAAGUUAGUCACCUCUAAGCGCGAAGAGACGAUGACGGAGUCGAAGAAGAUCAACGAUGGGCGUUGGAGAUGAAGAACAAAUGAAGAACAAGCAAGAAGAAGCUCCAAGAACAACAAUGGUGCUCUCGGUUUCAAAUGGGCAGAGGGGAGGAGGGAGCCGGCCUAUAAACCGGACCUUUAGCACCGGUUCAGAGCAAAAACCGGUGCUAAAGGGUUACCUUUUAGCACCGGUUUGUAACACAAACCGGUGCUAAAGGGUUUGCCUCGGCCCGUGGCUCUGGCCGGUGCUAAAGGGACCCCUUUAGCACCGGUUCUUGUUACAAACCGGUGCUAAAGGGUCCCUGCCCCGACAGCACAUGUCAGUAGCCGUUGGGCAGGACCCUUUAGCACCGGUUUGUCACACGAACCGGUGCUAAAGGGGUCUUUAACCCCGGGCCGCAAAAAGGCCGAGGUUUUUGGCCAUUUUGGGCAUCGACCAAUGCCUCAUUCUGUAGUAGUGCGCGCCAACAAACAAAGCCAAAUGUACGAGGAGGAGCACGCAUAGUAGUCCUCUUUUGUGACAGGGACUGCAGCGCGCCAAGUGUCGGGCCGAAAAUUUUUUGCGUGCGCGUACGUCCCGAUCCGUCGUUUCCGUUGGUGGUAGCUCCAUCAUCGCCGCGGCGGAACACUUGUGGUGGCGCGCGCGCAGCCACCACGCACACCUUUGCCCUGCCUGCCUGCUUUUAAUUUCCCGAGUGGCAGCCAAAGUGCGCUCGAUGCCCUUCCCUUGGCAACGAAGCAAACGGAGGACUGCGGCUGCGGGCGCAGCAAAAUCACGUACGGAUCCAAACCCCAAGCAAAAGCGUGGGCGGCGCCACCGGACCCCCGGACCGGACCCGACGCGCGCGUCGCUUUUUCGGCAGCUGCGAGCGCCGGCCGCGCGCGCCGCCGAUCGUGCAUGUGGGAAUGCGUGGGAUGCGCCCGGCGCGUUUCGCAGCCAUCUGAUGGCUGAUGAUCGUGUCGACCGUUCGUUCACACGUACGUGCAUGCUUGUACACGGAUCAUGUGGGCGCACACGGUAGGCACGCAGGCACACGAACGUUCCUCGCGCGCGACCUCCUGCGUGCUAUGUAUCGUCCGGUCUCGUAUGAAAGUGCAUAUACACUCGCGCUAGUUAUAGUACACGCACGCUAUAAUUGCAAGUGGCAACUUGCAAGGCCCGCACCGAAUCCGUCUGUCGUCUAUAGUGCGUCCCAUUCGAUCGUCAGCUAAAAAAAAUGGUGGUGAAACAGAGCAGAGGAACCAAUGUGCAACGAAAGGCACAAAAAAAAAAGGUUGCCUUGAAAAUUUUUUGAAUUUCGGCAUUGUAUCAUUUUCGUUUUUAUUUCACAAAUAUUAUCUAAUUAUAAGCAUCUCCAACAGUUCCCUACUUCUCACUUGCCAAAUUGCGAGUUUUAGCAAGUUGCUAUAAUGAUUUACCAAGUUGAAAAAAGCUCAUCUCCAACAGUUCUCUAUUUCUCCUUGCCAAAUAAAAAAAAAAGAGGAGGCCCAUCUCGUUUAGUUUGUUGACCGGUACUUUGCCUGGCCGAUCGAUACCGCUUCAUCCAUCGCGCGAUCUCCUCUAUCGCGCACGAACACGGCGCCUUCCUCACGCCGCCGCUGGAACACGUCGCCGUGGUGGUGAAACAGGACAACGGCGCCCCAGCCCCCCCUGCCGCAGGUCAGCAUCUCUCCCUUGUAGCGCUAGGGUUUUUUUUGAUCUGUAUGCCCGUUUAUGUGAUCUAGGUAUUGAUGUUGAUCCUCUCUACUCGCGAUUAGAAAUCAUGCCUAGGAAAAGAUCCCGUGCUAGAAGAGUACUAGAGGAGUCAUCAUCCGAUGACGAUGAAUUGCUAAUAUUAUCGACUGCUCAACUUGUGCAAGCCGCCUUCUCCAAUGAAAAAGGAAAACACGGUGGCUCUGUGAAAGGUCAUAGAGUUCUUCACCGUGAUAGACAAGGCGGACACAACAGGAUGUUUCAAGAUUACUUAGCGGACAAUCCAACAUACACCGAUGAGAUGUUCCGUCGGAGGUUCUUGGUAUUACAACUUUUCAUUAAUUUGUUUUACAAGCUGAAAUCUUAUUGUAGUUAUGAACAUUUUUGUUUUGUUCUUCAGGUACAGGAUGUCUAGGGACCUUUUCAAGCGCAUAAUGAAAGCUGUGGAAGAGCAUGAUGAUUACUUUGUCCAGAAAAGAAAUGCGGCCAAUGUUCUUGGACUGAGUUCCUUCCAAAAAAAUCACUGCAGCAAUGCGUAUGCUUGCAUAUGGGGUUCCUGCUGAUGCGACAGACGAGUAUGUUCGCAUUGGCGAGAGUACUGCACUUGAGAGCCUGCGCAGAUUUGUUCGGGCAGUUAUUGAAGUUUUUGGUGAUGAAUACCUCAGGAGCCCUAAUGAAAAGGACAUAGCACGCUUACUUGCAUUGGGUGAGAAAAAGGGAUUUCCAGGCAUGAUAGGGUCCAUUGAUUGUAUGCAUUGGGCAUAGAAGAACUGCCCAUAUGACAAACAAGGUCAGUUCAAGGGGCAUUGCGACAAGCCCACUAUCAUUUUGGAGGCUGUUGCUUCAGAAGACCUUUGGAUAUGGCAUGCCUUCUUUGGAAUGCCCGGGUCUCACAAUGACAUCAACGUUCUUGAUAGAUCUCCCUUGUUUGAUAACUUGGCGGAAGGUAUUGCUCCAGAAGUGAAGUUUACCGUUAACGGCCAUGACUACACAAUGGGUUAUUACCUUGCAGAUGGUAUAUACCCCUCAUGGGCUACUCUCAUCAAGUCCAUCACUCUGCCUAUGGGGAACAAGAAGCAAUAUUUUGCCAAAGCACAAGAAGCCGCGAGAAAGAUGGUCGAGAGAUCUUUCGGUGUUCUUCAAUCAAGGUGGGCAAUUAUUCGAGGACCCGGACGCCCUUGGGACAGUGAGACUUUGGCACUGAUCAUGAGGGCUUGUAUCAUCAUGCACAACAUGAUCAUAGAAGAUGAAGGAUACGUGGUUGAUCCUCAGAAGCGUUUUGAUUAUGGUGGUGACAAUGUGGAGCCUGAACAUGGUAGAGCUCAUCGCACACUUGAAGAAUAUAUUGAAGCGCAUAGAAAGAUCAGAGACAAGGACACCCAUGUGCAGUUGAAGGAAGACCUCAUCGAACACCUGUGGAACAAUCAUCCAGAUUUAUAUUUGUACAAUAUAUGAUUUCCUAUUUUAUAUUGUUUAAGCACUUUAGUCUUAGCAAAUUUAUAUUGUUUCAAGCGCAAUGAACCCUCUAUAUUUUAUAGUCAAUUUUGUAUGAAAUAUUCAAGUGAAAACAUUUGUAUUAUUUCUAUUUUUAUAGUGCUUCUUGUCUGUGUGAAGGAUAUUAUGAAAACAUUGGCAGGUGAUGGCGACAAAGUGCUCACGUAUAUGAAAUACUAGAGCAUGGCCAAUUAACACAAAAGCAAAUAUUCGCCAAACAUAAUAAUUUGGUAGCUGGUACAAUAUGUAAACUGAAAUAGACUAAUUGUUCAUUGCAUAAAAAACUAAAUUGAUAGCAACUUGAUUUGGAAAAAAAGCAACUAAAUUUCAGCUUGAGUUCCAUAGCGCUUGGCAACAAUGUCCUCCUGCAUCAUCUUAAGCCAUUGAAGCUGCGCCGGGUUUAGGCCAUUGAAGCUCGCCAACAUAAUAUCUUUCUCUUGCUUUAGCAACUCGGCUUCAGCUCUCUUCUGCUCAGCUUCAGCUCUCUUUUGGUCAGCAUCAGCUCUCUUGAGUUCAGCUUCAGCCCUUGUCUUCUCCAGCGCUAGAUUUUCCUUGUCAACCUCAAGGGCAGCCACAAACCUCUCUUGUUUUGACUUUUCUUUUUCCUUAUCGGUCUCCUCCUUCUUUGCCCACAUCUUGUCGAUCGCCUCCGCGCAUACUUCCGCACCACCUCCCCGAAGAUUAGCUUUCACCUUCUUAAUUCCAUCUGACCUUUUCCUGGGCUGUGUUUCUGGCACAUCAGCAGCUGCGGCUGAUUUUUCAGAGCUGGUUUCUUCUUCAUCCCUUGGCCUGGACUCCUUUGAGGCCUUCUGAGUCUUUUUGUUUUUUUCCAGUUUCUCAAGCUCUGCGAUCUCUACCAUCUUGGCUGCCCACUUGUCUUCAUCCUUCAGUACGUUCCAACAAGGGAUAAGAGUGAAUUUCUUUUUGUCCUUGUCUUCCUCCAUGUACAACUUGCAUGCUGCAGACACCUGCACAACAAUGUACCAAUUUAUAUAUGAGUCACAAACAGAUUAAAAACAGAUUAAAAGCAGAUUAAAUUUUUUUUGGUAAAACAGAUUAAAAGCACGACAUAACCCUACCAUGUCUGUGACAGUGUGUCCACUUUGAUGCUUGCGUUUAAUCGCCUCAUAGCAUCCGCAAAAUUUGUUCACUUGAUGCUGAAUUGUGAACCACCGAUGCAUAAUGGAACUCUCUGUCCGCACAGUUUCAGUUUUUUUGUUUUGCUCAAAAUAAGCAUGAACUCGAUCCCAAAAAGUGUUACGAGUUUGGUUGGCCCCAUUGAGAGAAUCCUUGCUAGCGUUCAACCAGACGGAGCAAACAACUUCAUCUUCCUUGAAAUGAAAAUUCUUGGAACGCUUGGUAUGGUUCUUACUCUUGUUAGCACGACUUGUAGGCACGAUUUCAACAUCGGCAUCUGGACUAGACUGUGUACCUGUAGCUGGGGAGACUGGAAUGGCGAGGUCGUCCAAACCAACAACAUGUUCGGCUUGUCCAUUCAGGAGAAUGCCCCCUAAGAAAUUUUCUUCUUCCGUAUCCAUCAUUCUAAACAAGUGCAAUUUAUCAUCAGCAACAUACUAUGUGUACAAUCAUCAAAAACUUUGCAACCCCGACUACGUACCCCGACCAACAAUUUAUCAUCAUCAACGUACAAUAAUAGAGUAUCAUCAAGGAACAGCUAGUAACAUACUAUAUGUCCGAUCAUCAGCAAGGAAUAAACAACAAAGUACCCAUGAAUGUAUGCCGUAAAAUUCAGAGAAGUAUCCUAAAAUAUUUGCAUCAGAAUUAGACAACUAUCAUCAAUCUAUGCAACAAACAUACAGUACCAUCAAUCUAGACUAUCAUCUAUCACUACAUGCAGGAGGUUCACGCGAACAGAUCGAAUAAACACACGGCCAUGAACUGAUUCUAUCGCGAGAUCAAUUAAUCUACCAGCUGAACCCUAGCCUAUCGAUGAGAAAGGCAUGAACCUGAUCGCAAACCUGGAUGGCGGCGCAAAACUGAACCCUAGCCUAUCGCGAGAUCGAAGACAACGGGGAGAACCACGUACCUGAUCGCAAAACUAAAUGCCGGCGCAAGGAGGACGGGCGCGAUCCGCGAUCACUCGUCCGGUUCCCUAGUGGCGGCGCAAGGAGGACGAUCGAGAGGGAGGACGUGCGGGAGGGAAGAGUUUCAUGCGGGAAGGAAAAGUCCGACGCGCGCCAUCCACCCUCCGAGAACCGCGACGCUCGAUGGCAAGGAGAUGCGUGUGCGCAUUUUUACGCACCGGGAGGCUCUCGAUGGCAACUUGGCAAAAAUUGGCAAACUAAAUGGAGAACUGUUGGAGAUUGAAAUUUUGAUGUUUUGCCAAAUUUUAGAGGAUGGCAACCCAUAUAGGGAACUGUUAGAGAUGCUCUAACUAGGCUCAAAAGAUUCAUCUUAUGAUUUACAGGCAAACUGUGCAAUUAGUUUUUAUUUUCGUUUAUAUCUAAUGCUUCAUGCAUGUGCUCUAAGAUUUAAUGUGACGGAGAAUCUUGAAAAGUUUUGGGUUUCGGGGUGAACUAAACAAGGCAUAUAUUAGUAUCUUCUACAGUAGAUACCACUCCGUAAACAGUGGUCGAAUCAAAACCACUGUUGAGAUGCUUCAUGCAUGCUUCGGUUUCACAUAUAUAGACAUAUAUAGCCUGUUACGAAUUAGUAAUAUAAAUGUACUUUUACCGUUCCCAUAUAAAGCUCCUCCAUCCGUAAGAAAAUAAGGAAAAACAAAACAGAAUACCUUGCAGAAAAGAAAUAAACAGACAAGAAAAUAAAAAUCUACGAAUAACAUAUAUACCCUAUCUUCAAGGAAUUUGGCUCCAUCGAACCUGAUACCUCAGACAUUUCUCGAAACCACAACUUCACUCAUGAGCACACAAAUGGAAACAUUAUUUUUUUUUAUUAUUUCUCAUUUUUUUUUUCCAAAAUCACCUCACCGGGAAAUUGAUUCUUCUCAACAGAAGCAGAAGAGACCCAAAAAAUUUGCAACCCAUAUCACAUACCCGUGCCAGCUGUCACCAGUCACCACCAAGCCAGACCCGUUAGCCCGCGACUCCACCCGCGUUGCCCCUCUAUAAAUACCCGCGCCCUCCGCACCUUUCCCCACCACCAGCAGAGAUCUCGUGCUCGCCGCUAUCAAUUCGUUCCUUCUCCACAGCAACACAUCCGCCUUCUAGAACCUUCUCGCCGCCGCCGCCGCCGCCACCACCCGUCGAAGCGAAGCAAAGCAAUGGCCGGAGUCGGAUCGAAGGCCCUCGCCGUGGUCGCCGUCCUGGCGGCCGUCGCCCUGUCGGUGGCCAACGCGGCUGAUGCGCCCGCGCCCAGCCCCGUCUCCGCCGCCGGCGCCGCGUCGGCGCCCUUCGCCGCGGCACUCGUCGCCUCCGCCGCCUCCUUCCUCUUCGCCGCCGUCCGCCACUGAGCCGAUGGGGGCCUGAUGCCUCGUGCCUGCCCUGCCUACCUACCUAGCAGUACUUCCACCACCGCCGCCUUCGCCGCCUAGAUCUAUUUAUUAUUAUUGGAGUGUUAUUCAGUAGUAGUAGUAGUAGGGAGAGAUUUCUUCGUAGCUCUCGUGUCGUCGUCGCAUUUUGGUCGGAUCUGGUGUGUCCUUGGUGGAGGUUGGGUUUCUACCGUAUCGUGGUGUGUGUGUGUGUGUGUGUCGGUUGUGUGAUCUGAUGAUCCCCCCUUGUAGAUACUCUGCUUUCAUCUCGCCGUGAUCGUGAGUGGUGAUUCUGUCUGGUUGCUACUGAUAUAUUAUUAUUUCUUCUUAUUAUUAUUGGUCCCAUUUGAGACAUGUGUUGUUGCUGAUUUGUGUAUUAUUUCUUUCUCUGCGCUUGAUUUAUCGUUUACUCUGCUGCGUUCUGUGUAUUGUUCGCUCCGUCGCUGCGAAAUUUUGCGUCGCGGUUGGGAUCCGUGACGCGUUAGAUUUGUUUCUACUUCCGAUCCGCGUCGCGUUGCAUCGACGCAGGUUCUUUUUUGUUGUUGCCAGGAAGUAAAUUAAUUAAUUAUUACGAUCUGAAAGACUGACUGACUGGGCUUUAACGUGUCUUGGUCUGUGGUGUGUUUCGAUCUGGGUAGUUUUUUAUUUCUGAUGAGGAUUCUCAGUCAGGCAGGAGAAUGAACCUUGGGGCGUGUGUAGUUUAAUGCCCUUCCUCUGCUGACAAAAGAUUGAUUCGGCGUCUUGUUUAUGAAGGUCAGAAACUCAUGAAUAGUGGUGCCCAACCUUCAUCAGUUCCUUAAUAUUUUGCUCUGAAUGCAACAACGGCAGAAGUGGCAAAUCUCAGUGCGGAUUCAAAAUUCCUAGCAAACAAUGCCGGCAAAGUAAACAUGGACUGGCGAGCGACCAGGAGCAGCACAUGAUCGCUGUUGUUGAGGCAUGGAGCCAUAUGACCGCUCCUUUGGACGGUCCGGUCAGAGGUUCAGCUUGACCCAGACCUUUGCUGCCCUCCUCUUUUCAUUUUCAUUUCUCAAUGGCCAAUAACAUUCAGCAUCAACAGUGCUAGGCACUGCUACAAAUCCUACAAACAGUCAGAACACCACACUCUUUCUUGUACUCUACAGGUAGACAAGAAAACGGUGAUGCGUUGGCAGACGAGGAGGAGUUGAAGCGUGUAACAAACGGUUUACUACCCCUGUAGUACCUGUAGUGAGCGACGAGCGUGUAUUAUUCUGGCAUGUUUGGUUGCUAGCCAUAGUUUGCCACACUUUACCUUAGGCAAGUUUGAUCAAGUUAGCAAGUAUUUGGUUGACAACUAAGUUUAGGUAUGAUUCUUUUGGGCUCCACAUGUCAUAGGGUUAAAAAGUGUGGCAAGAUUCCUUUAGGCAUGGCAAAGUGUGGCAACCAAUUUGCUAGCCAUACUUUUUGUGGCUUGCCACAUUUGUCUAAAGUUAGUUGUGGUAAAGUAUGACUAGAAACCAAACAUGUUGGGGUUGGGUCCAUGCGAUGUGACACCAGACAGGAAAGGGCGAAAGGCUAGAGAGAGCCGUGAAACCAUGAUGCGGUCGAGCGCGCGCCUCUGGACCCUGUGGCCCUGCAGCAUCCAUGUGCUGUCGUCCCUUCUGCCCCGCGUAGGGAGGCGUUCCGCCUUUUGCAGUCGUUUUCGCGGUCGGACCCGGUUUCGCCACCCCCCUCCUGGCCUCCUCCACCGUCCGCCCUCCAGAUGAGCAUCAUCAGCCAUCUGGUGUUCUUACCAGCUUGUGCAUUUGAGAUUACCACCUCAAGCACACAUGUACCAACACCACCAAGGCGCUGCACUCUGCAGAAACAGUCAAAGGCGAUAAAACCUUCUUUUUUUUUGCUACAUCAAAUUCCCCCUUACGUACGCAUGCUUGAUAGUUUUUUUUGAAUGGACGCAUGCUUGAUAGUGAAACCAGCAGGUGAGGUGGCAAUAAAACUGAUCGUCACGAUGCCAUCGAUGGGGGCAACAGGUGUCACAAAUGUUGGUAACUAAGGCAGUUUUCUUACCAAAAUUUGUCGACACUGUUGCCGUGUGACGACUGAUGAGGGUAAAAAAGAAGCAUAUCCUCUCUCUCUCUCUCUCUCUCUCUCUCUUUUCUCAGCUAAAGUAUGGGCCGGCCAUCAGGGAGUUAACCCUGUCAAUUCGCUUCUCCAUCUCCAUUAUGCGAAGACACCAACGGGCAAACGUGACAGCCUGGUGAGAAGGACAGGAUGUGCGUGAGCAUGACCCGGAUGCUGCACCAGCACUAGCAAGGAGUAUCGUUCAAGUGUCCUGUCGUCUUCUCUCUUAAUUUUUACCCCAAGAUUUAUGAUUCUAUCAACGUGUCGCUCCCUGAAUCCCUCUCAUUUAACGGAUUCAUCGACAGUUACCAUGGCAGGGAGACGUCGACUUACAAAUCACGGAUCGGGUGUGCCAAGAUCACAAAUCACGGAUGUAUAAAAUGGUAGAUAAUAGGCGCUAUUUCAUUCGGCGCGCUGGACCGUCAGGUAGAGAUACAAUGAUCUAGGCGGCAUCUUAGAAUGAUGACUUGACCAAAGAUAAUAGCUUUGUGUUUUGACAUAAAGAUUGGUCACACACUAGGGGCUGGAUCGUCUGGAUUGCCACAGACCGAAGAACCAAACGAGGAUCACACUUAUGUGGUGAAGAACAGAGAGGUUUAUUAAACUGACAAAAAAAAAAUCCAUUAAAGCUCACACACGGGAGGGACCCCGUCGGGGCAAGGACAUCAGCGAGUUGCUCUAGGUAAGCCGGUAAACCUAGGGCGCUAUCCUUGGUCGUCGGAUCAAGAGAUGAACAGCGACAUAAGGUUGGAAAAAGGAUUAGUGGAAAAAGAGUAGGUGCAAAAAAGGUUAGAUGUUGGGUCCUUAAUCGACCAUGCACUCCCUAUUUAUAAAAGAGUAGGAGUGAUCUUAUCUUGUUUGUAAAAUAAAUGUGAUACUAUUAUUAUAUCGUUUUAUAGUUUUUAAAUUAGACCUUAGCAUGGAUCUUAAAAUUGGCAUGACCCCAAUUUAAGUGUCAAUAACAAGAUAUGAUAAAUCAACUCAAGAUGUAUAAGCAAGAUAUAGAGGAUAUAAGCAAGAUAAAGCAUAACAAGAAUGCAAGAUAUAAAAUACAAGAUAUAACCUGAACUUUGUGGGCAUCAAGCCGUAAUACACCACACCAAGACAUUGCAAAGAACCAAAUCAACCAUAAGCAUAAUAAUAAGCACACAAGCAUGCCCAAACAAUUUUACUAAACACACAAAUGGACUAGACUUUGCACCAUUUGUCAUAUUCGUUAUUCUACUUUUGGGGGACAACAUUGCUGAUAUUUGCACUUGUAGCCUCUCAAAACAUUAUAUGAGAAACAUUUCAAAUGUGAAAAAAUCGUUAUUCUACUUUUGGGGGACAACACUGCUGAUAUUUGCACUUGUAGCCUCUCAAAACAUUAUAUGAGAAACAUUUCAAAUGUGAAAAAAAAAGUGAAACAGAUAUACAAAGAUAGACAAAAGUCUUAAGGUGUAUUGUGCCCGCAUGUUUUCUCAUGUAAAGGAGUCCUUUGUCGUACAAACACAUAGUUCCCUCAAUCCGAAAACAAAAUUAACUUCUAGAGUUGUCUUAAGUUAAACUAUUUAAAAUUUAACAAACUUUAUAGAGUAUCAACAUCUAUGAAACUAGAUAAGAAAAUAUUUCAUUAUGUAUCUAAUGAAACUUAUUUGGUGUCACAAAUAUAAGUGCUCUUUUCUAUAAUUUGAGUUAAACUUAGGAUAGUUUGACUUCGAACAACUCGAAAAGCUGAUUUAUUUCAAGAUGAAUGGAGUAUAAUAUUUAUUUUGAGAUGAAUAGAGCAUAAUCUUUGUUUUACAGCUGUUCUCUCGAUUUCAGACAGGUCAAAGUUAUGCGCUCAUUUUAAGAAAUAAUGUGUACAGUUUUUUGGAGACCUCGCAAGAGUGCAGAAAUUAUUCAAAAUUCUCAUGUCAACUUAUAUGAGUUGAAACUUCACAAGAAAAAUAGAAUCAACAGGCCAAGGAUCUCGCAUUUCAACUCUCAAGACAUUUGAACAUUCCCCUGCUCCAAUAAAAACUUCUCCAACCACAUUUUUGAAUGGCAAAAAAUAGCUUGCUGACAUUUUCAUUUUAUAUUUCACAUAGACAUGAUUUUCGUCCAGUAAAAAAGAAGAAUAAGAAUAUGCAGAUUUGCAACAGGCUCUAUAUAUUAUUCCUUUUUUUUCACAAUAUUGGUCCAGAAACAACAUGCACGGCAUUCAAGGAAGCAGUUAAUUGAAUAAAAGGAUAGACGAACACAUGAAGACCAGUGAUUUACAGUAAGGAGAAUGUGCUACAGAACUGAAUCAAAAUGAGACUAUUGGAUUCCAUCUAUCGACAAGCGUGUUACGGUGUUAGCCUUGUCAUCCAGUUGCUGAACAAACACGAACCCCUAGCCAAACCAGAACACCUUCAAGCUUGGGUUUGUCUACAAUUGUAAUUACGAAAACACAUGCAAGCAAAAGAACAAAAUCACAUCAUCCCCUCUUUGCUAUUAGCUAUAAUUGGUCUGAGUAUUGUGUUUCCAUUGACGACCUUUGUUGUUGCAACGAGGAAGUCAUAGCCCAUUCCUUCCUGCAAUACACAAGGCAAGAGGUAUUAAGUGAAGAAAACUAACUAAAGUGUGGUCCAACUUCCUCAUGCGUGUUCGAGAAAAAAAAAAGUGUGGCCCAACUAAAGAGAGGAAAUUAUUUCAUAGUCAAAAUUCAGGUAUUAUAUGCAGUAAAAAAGUUCAGAGAAAGACUUUUUGUUCAGGUAAACAGAAGUAUAGUGGUCAGGUUUUUUUGGUAGUGGUGUGGGGGAGGAGGGCUGAUCUAAUCAACUCUCAUAACAAAGGGGACAACAAAAGUCACGAAAAAGACUUUACUCUGUGCUAACCAAUAUAAAAUGGUUGCACCAAAUUAUUCUUAUUGAUUUAGUAAUUGAGAAAACAAAAUCAGGAAAAAAAGAUACUCCUAUGUACCAUGAAUACUGAAGUGAUUUUUCAUAUCUAAGAAAAUACCUUGGAAUCCAUUUGCUCUAAACAUCUGAGAACUGAGAAACAAGUAGGACAAGGCAUACCUGUGCACUAAGGAAUCGAAGGGCAGCAAUCUCAGCAAAUGUGACACCGCCAAUAAAUACAACCAAAACCAGAGAGCGAUGACCAACCCUAGAAUAAACAGAAAUAUUAGAAAGCAGAUUUAUAACUGUGAAUGCUAGGGGAUGGUCCACAAUGUUUUCCAUAUCAAGACUAUAUAAGUUUUAGCACUCUUCUCUAUUAAAUAUAUGGUUUUGAUUGAAGCAUGAGAUCAUUCUCCCAGAUCUGCUACAUACUAUCCAGAAAUUAUCUGCUAUGCAUUUUGGUACCACAUAUUUCAGGGAAAACUGGUUGAGUAACACCAAAAACUUGACCAUCUAUGUCUGACGUCAACAUGACUAAUUACUUCUGUUGCGACCAUUACUAGCCAAGCAUAUCUAUUUUAGAUGGCCUUGAACCCAAUCAGCACGACUGUGCUGGAAAACAGUGGCCUCUAGGCAAGGACAAGGAUAGCUGAUGCACUAGGAGUUAUGAUAUAUUGUUUUUCUUUCCUAGAGAAGAUGCAUGCCAUCCUUAUAAUGAUAGAUGGCUUAUCCUAGAGAAACAAUACAACCUAAUCUUAUCUCUAAACAAUAACACAAUCGAAAGGCCCUAGGAAGGCAUGGUGCUCCUCCUCUCAGAUACCAAGUGUGUUGUGCUUGUGCUUGUGCUUGUGCAUGACAUCUUCGAUCCCCAAUUUCCUUGAAUUUGCAUACAGAGUCAACAUGGUGUCCAUAUCCCUCCCAUCUCUCUCCAGUCUCCACUUCAAUCAUUUCUGUCAUGUUUGAAUUGUUAUACAGCAGUGAAUUUACCUGUCAAUACUCUGUUGAGCCCCUAAACCUGGAUGCACCUCUGGUGACGAAUUAAUUGUCAAACCACCCUACAUGAGUGAGAAAAUCUUUAAGGAAAAGAUUUUUUUUGCUUCCCUAAAACGAGAAGUCAAUUCAACGAGUUCCACUCACUCUUUUCAAAUCUAGAUGUGGGCCUGGCAAUAGUUUCAACAGUUCUUCAAUAGACCGCCUGCAAAGUGAGAAAUAAAUUUCAGUGUGAGAAAGUAUAUGUCGCAAACGUUCUAUCCAUUAAUUAAGGUUAUUAAGGACAUGCAUGCAAACCACUUGUACAACAUAACAGCUGAAGCUUUCCCACCCGAAAAGGAUGGGUGAAGCAUUUGUUGCCAAAUAAACAGCACUUUUUUAUCUGAUAAUUGGUAAAAGGCAGGAUCUAUUUUGGCUAAGAGAGCAGAAAUGUAGAUAUAAGAAAAUUGGGCGACACUCCUAUUAUACUGGAUACUCAAUCUAAUAGAAGAGACUUUUUGUAAUUUAUAUCAACAAAAUGGCUCACAAGUUUCCACAACUGAAGUCUGCACAAUUUAUAAAUAAAUAUAUAAAAAGGAAUUGGAAGGCUACAUUCCUAAGGAAUACAUGGGACAAUUUUCUUUCUUUAAUGCAUGUAAGUUUUACCCAAGAAAGGAAAUGAAUAAAGAUCAUGUGUAAUAAGAACUUUCCGUUACUCAAAGACCUAGAUAUUUUAUUCUGAGACUUCUUUUGGCAUAGAAACAUUUCUUCCAUAGGAAGUUAAACAAUCCUUUCUCCGCAGAUUACAUUCAAAGAAACACGUCAUCAUCAUAAAAAAAAGUAAAGGGACACAAAGAAACUAGCAUGAGAAACAUACCAUCCAGAUCUCACUGCAUGCUGAACAAGGCGGAUACUAAGAGGUGCGUAUCCAGAAAAGAUGUAGGAUAUAUCAGUAGGGCUGAGAUUGACAAUAAGAAUAGAUUAGUAGAAGUUGAAGGUGUAACUAGAUAUCGAAUGGCUAGUUAUAACGAGCUGAAGAAUGGCCACAAUUAUGCCUUGAAUAAUCAUUACAAUGAAGCAGUGCAUUGCAGGAAAACAAAUAACUUCUAAACAAAAUUAGAACUAAACAGAAAAAAUAUUGACUCUAAAACAUUUUGGUAAAAAUUAGGAUGAAGUUUGAAAGGAUGUAGCGAAACAGUUUAUAUAUAUAAUAACUUAUAUGAAGAAGACAGAAACAGUUUACUUUUCUUGAACAUGCAGGAGACCUGUGUAUCAGUGCAUGCAUUGGGGAAUACAACUCCCUCUGUUUCAAAAUGCAAAAUGCUUUAGUUUUGCCUUAAACUUCUCUAACUUUGACCAAUACAAAAUUGUACCAACAUCUACAACACCAUAUUAGUUUAUUAACUACACCACUAAAUGUCUUGGUAGUGCAUUUAUAUGCUACUGUAGAUGUUGUCAAAAGUUAUAGAAGUUUGACUUAGAACAAAACUUAAACACUUUACAUUUUGGAUUAGAGGCAGUAUUUAUGUAACCAAGCAUAUAUGAACCCAAAUGCUUGUAGCAUGAGCAAAUAGAACAUAAUGCAAAGUAUAUAUAAAGCCUCAAGAGUUAAUACUUUGCCGUAUCAUUCACGUCAACUAUAAGCUGCAGUGCUCUUGUAAUACCAACCCAAUUGCUUCUUGAUUCCUGGGUAGUACAACAAUGUCAUUGAAGAUUAGGAAGGCAAAAGAAAACAACAUUGAAGGAACCACAGAUGACUCUGAAGAAAAAGUUUGGUGACACUCAAAUCUGACUAACCUGCCUCUUAAGAAGGCCAGCCUUCUCCAGAUUGUAUAAUAAGUGCAUGUGUUCAAAGCCAUAACUAUGAAGUAUCUCCCGCCUAGCCAGUAAAAAAGGCAGAGUAAAGAAGGAUUAAGUGUACACUCAACAGCAUGCUGGAAUCUAAACAAUAAAUUCUAAUAAACAUAGGAUGUAUAACAAAUGCACAAUAGCAUCCUAAAGCACGUACUUUUAAACAGCAUCUACUCCACAAAUCCGUGUAUUCCAUCUUAAGUCUAUAUUCAAUUCAUGCAUGCAAACGAUAGAUGUUAAAGGAUGGAUAUUUCUUAUUAAGGGUUUGUGUAGGGAGCAGCACACUUGUUUUGCAUUGGAGUAUGAAGCAUGCCAUACAUUUGUUGAUAAGACCCAAAAAAUUAUCUUAUGUUUGUGGAACAAUUAUUAUAGCAAAAAUGUGCCUUAAAUGCGGCCGUGACACAUAAUACUAAGAAUGGUAGCACCUCCGCUAGUAACAAUUUUUUUGCAUUGGGUUACAGGGAUCAAAGACGAAUUGACGAUGUCUAGUUUAUGGUCAGAAGCCCAGUCUCAGUUCGCUAGUCAAGGUGUCUCUGGCUAGACAUGAGGACACUUUCAGUUUAUAAAAAUGUAGGGCUUUAAGAUCAUUGGCUUGAUCAUGCUGUUAUGUGACGUAAAGCCUUUAUGAAUAUCUAAUAUUACACAGUAUUUAAAUUUAUCAACUUUUUUAAUUUAUGCACUAGCUUGAUAUGGGAGAGGAGGAAAAUUACACAGAUGCUUUAUAUUCAGUAUUUCUGGGUACCAACACAUCUAUCUAUUAGUUCAUAAAAAGUUGGGAGAGAAGGCGCAUCUCUGAUGUGAUAGCUAGAAAGAAAAUUGUGCUCCAAGACAGACGACACUAUCAACCCAUACCUUAAUGCCGCAAUACAUUUAAUAAGUUGUAAAACAAUUAACCAAUAAUGAACAUAAAGCUUUGAGCCAGCUCCUUCUACUACUUCCUGCUGUUGCUGCGGCUGCAGCUGCAGGUGCACAAGUACUUAAGUAGUAGCAACAUUGCAGCAUGCUGUACAGCUGCAGCUGCAGCUGCAGCCGCAAUGACGGCAGGAAAUAGCAGAAGUGUGCAUAAGCAAAAAAUGAAAAAGAGAAAGUUUCAUAAACCAACAUAAGCAUACCUCAAGUAAUCAAAAUUCUUCUUUGGAAGCCCAGCAUUUGUAAGAGAAAGUAACACCAAAAGGCGAAGGACAUUUUCAAUAGCUUCCUGCUUAUGUAUCAUCUCCUCAAUGUACUCAAAGCAUCUGGGGAUGAAGUUAGCUUAGCUCAUAUAUACCGGGAAGAACUAAAACAGGACCUCGUAGAAAACAUGUGGCCCAACUUAACAUAAAAUUUAGGCAGCUUUCAUAGAAGUGUGAGAGUAAAAAAUGUCAAGACAAAUGCAAUUCAAAACGCAAGUUCAACUUGGUGAAAGCUCAAGGAGAAAACUUUGCUUUACUCAUUCACCAAGUUUCCUGCACGUCGAUAAAAACAAGCAUACAAAAAGGGAUAUUUUAAGCAAAUGAGUAAACUUAAGGAUAACAAGUGAUGAAUGAACUAUAAGAAAAAGAAACAGAAGAAAAUUACAGGGUGUUUGGUUUGAGGAAUGAACCAUCCAUCAUCUUGUUUGAUUUGUGGAAUAGAAUAAGUUGAUCCAUCACCACCUCAUUCCUCACAAUCUAAUAAUCAGUAUAAGCAUGAGGAAUGAGGUAAUUCCACCAAAUUUGGGGGAUGGGUUCCUCCUUAAACCAAACAACCUCUUAAUGAAAUGCAGCUCCUCGGUGUUCAAAAGCAGAAAAAAAAAGGGCAGUGCAAAGAUAAACUCACAUUUCAAAGUUCUGAACCUCCAAUAUUGUUUGUUCUAUGUCUAGUCGAGCAUGAAAGGAGGGUUUUCCCGUGAAUGAUUGCAAGUGUUGUGCCAAAUGAACAUGCCUCUAAACAACAUGCAAUAAGUUAGUAAAAUAAUAUCAGAGAAAAAUGAAGGCAUGCAAUCAACUCACAGCUAUCUCCGGUAACGAGUGCAACCUCCUCACAAAAUCCUUGAGCUCCGAAACGGACUGAGUCUGUUAAAAACCACAAUAUCAAUUAAUUAAUUCCCUUCCCUUUUGUACAUUGUACUAGCCAAAGGUAAUUUACUGUAGAAAUAAAGAGGCAUAACAUUUAAACACUGGACGCAAGAAACACACUAAAAAGUAGUAAGUUAUUCAUACUAAGAGUUCCAUAAAAGCAUGUCCUGAUUCAAUCCUCUGGUAUGGUUGAAGAAUAGAGGCAGAUUAGACACUUUUGUUUAUCAAUUGUCCUGAUUGAAACAAUUACAAUCCAUUAUAGAGGCUUUCUCCAAAGAACUCAAAUCUUAUCUCUAAAAGAAACUAUAACUUGAUUAACAUACAAAAUACUUGAUUUGUUGGGGAACAAUAAUUCAAUCUUAAUAUAACAUGGGGACUCAUUCUAGUUCCAACAGUAAAUAGUCUAAAAAUAAAUUUAUAUCAGUAAAUCAUCUGAAAGAGGUGGCCCAUAUUUAAAUAAAACACACAUGAACUUGGCAUUUGCAUCCUUCCUCUUGAACAAUGCUAGACAUAGAGGACACACGGAAAACACAACACACUUAAUUCUUACGUUUGUGGAUUUCACUUCCGCAUAAUCUUGCUGAAUAGAUGUUGCUUUUUGACGUAAAACCUGCAGUCAAUACAAUUUAAAUUAUUUAAUAUGGGUAGAAAUGAUGGUAGCUAUAACUAAACAAACUGGAAUUAGAAAUGAUGGCUAUGACAAUAGCAGGUACAACCAAAACCAAGGUUCAGCUAGGCGCUAGGCGCUCUCUAGGCGAUGACCCCUAGCCUAGCGCCUAGGCGGGAUUAAUCGCGCCUAGGCGCUUCUAGGUGUUUUGCUAGGCGUUUAUAUAUAUAUAUAUAUAUAUAUAUAUAUAUAUAUAUAUAUAUAUAUACUGAUAAUACAUAUAUUACCUUCUAAAGAGAAAAAAAACAGCUGAAUAGUGAGUCCAAAUAGAUAGAAAGGCUAGCCUAAAUAGGUAAAAAGGCCCAACAGGCAAGGGCCCAGCCCAUCUUCCAUAGACUACAAACCCUAAACCCUAUCCCCCUCACCUCACGCGCCGCACCCGCUCCCUCACGCCGCACCCGACCCCCGCGCCUCCGCCUGCAUCAGCCGCCGCCUCUGUGCGCCCUCCUCUGUGCGCCUCCUCUGUGCGCCCGCCGCCAGCCGCGCUCGCCCGCCUCUUCCCAGCCACGCCUGCCACCUCCUCCUCCGCCACCGCAUCCUCUUCCUCCUCCUCUGCCGCCCGAUUCCCUGCCUCCUCCGCCGCUGCCGGUGCUCUCUGCUGCGUCUCGUUCUCCGCUGCCGGCUCUCUCUGCUGCGCCUCGUCCCCAGAUCACUGGAUCUGCACGUGGGGACACCGCGGCGCCGCAGUACCCCCUCCACCUCCCCCACCGCCGCCGCCGACGAGCCACCGCCGCCUAGGGGUCCGCCUACCCCCAUAGGCGAGGCGAGCACCCUCCGACUACCGCCUAGUCGCGCUGAAUCGCGCCUAGGCGAGCGCCUAGCGGAACUAUGACCAAAACCACAAAAGUUAGCACAAAGUUCCUUCACAUGAAUAAACGAAAGUUGUAGUCAGUGGAGUGAACCUGAACUACAACUUCAAAAUUGAGGUCUCGGAUCUCCUUGUACAACUUAUCGCUGAAAAAAAAACACCAAUAUAAAUGCAUAGCUCCAAAUACAGCAAAAUAUCCUGUUGAAAUGAAAGCCUAUGUACAAUAAGACAAUUGCAAACAUAUAUUUGCACUAUCUACAGUCACAAAUAAGUACCAGCCUCUAUGCAAUAAAUUUGUACAAAAGUAGUUUUCAUCAAAAGCCAAUCUAGGUACUCAUGAAGGUAAGUUGAUCAGACAUCAGAAGUUUGAUUGCAGACAUUUUGCACCAUCACUUUUGAUAGGAAGGAGUAACAGAUAUUAACUUCAAAAACUAAGAAAUCCAUUAAUAACAAUUAUCUCAACUUUCUAGAUCCAAAAGUUUCAAAACUGUGCAAAACAAACCAUAAGUAUCUUGAUAAUGACAACGAUGCCAAUAGAGUAGCUAAGAAUAAAAAACUAAAUAAAAAAAGUACGCUACAAAGUAUUCGUUGGCACAAAGAAAAUUUACAAUUUAGUAACAUGUACUCUCUCAGUAACAGAUACUAGAAUAUACCCCGCGCAUUGCUGCGGGGAUUGCGGAGAAUUUGAAGUAAAAUUAAAUGGAGAGGAUGUGGAUACCUUUCAAUUGAGAGGUUGAAAGUUAGUGGGAUGACAUGUCUAUUAGCGGGAGAUGAUGUGGAUAGUUAGUGGGGAUGAUGUGGAUGGCUUGCAUGAUGAGAUAGACAUAUAGUGGUGAUUAGCUUUAUCUAGAUAUAGAUCAGUCAUUUAGGACAACUAAAAAGGUUUGACUUAUGGCAGAUCUAAAACGAUUCAUAUUUGUGACCAGGAGUAUUUCAAAAUUUAAAGAGCAGAUUAAUAGUCACUAACUGAGGCAGGGAAAUUUACCUUGAAUUCAGUGGAACCUUAACCUUCAUAUUUGUGACCAGGAGUAUUUCAAAAUUUAAAGAGCAGAUUAAUAGUCACUAACUGAGGCAGGGAAAUUUACCUUGAAUUCAGUGGAACCUUAACCUUUUUCCCAUCUUGUUGAGCUCCAAUAAUGCUUGCAUCAACUUCCACUGAACCGUUAUUAAUUUGUAGCAUCUGUAGAAUAUUACAUGAUCCUAGAUAUUUAAAUUCAAACAAUUUGAGAUUCUAUAUCACUGUAGCAAUGCAGCAGGUUUAGGGUUUACAAAAUGGAUGGAUAGAUCAUCUGCAUGCAUCGAUUGCAUUUAUUUAGGCCAAAAAGAAUGUUUCAGGACCUAUCAUGCAGUGAUAUCGGGCAUGUUUGGAUUGAGGCACUAGGAGCACUGCCUGGGCCAGGCAGCACUGCUCAGGAGUCAGGAGCCAACCAAAGAGCCCCUAGCCAAUGCCACCAUAUUUUUAGAGUUACUUUCAGAGUCAUAAACACAAAGCAAAUUAGCCAUUAUAUAAUGGCUAGAUGCUUUCAUAGAUAGUUCUGGAGUGCCAAAUAGGCCACCUCCAAUAUGCAUCUGAGCACAACAAUUGCAGAUCAUGAAAUCGUUCAUUUGACCACAUAAAAAUCGUGUGUUAAAAAAAGGAUGUUUCAGACAUAUUUUCUUUCUCGAACAUACAGGAGCACUGCAUAUAUUUGUAUUAAUAUAAAGAAAGGGAAUUAUACAAUGUUGCUUGUUGGUUCCAUCUUUAGAUAAAGUGAUAUUAGAACGUCAUACAGAUGCAAGUUCAUAGUUCUAUGAUGACUUUACCAUGGUUAACAAGAAAACAGAAACAAAUCACAUGCUCAUGAAUUUAAGCCAGGAUGGAAAGUUUCUAUAGCCUACCUCAUCCAACAAGCCUUCAUACGUCAACUGAGAGCACAUUGGUGUCACCAUGUCCACCUGAAUGGAAAUAAAAUUAGAACAGAUAAGAAAAACUACAAUACAUCAAAACAGUAUCACACCUGAUAUCACUGUAAAAUGUAUCAGUUAAUGACUUCAAGAGAAAUACAUGGUCAAAACAGAUGACAAGAAACACUAAAUGAUUGUUUUCGGAAAUGAAAAUCACAGUGCAAAUAGAAUAUAAUAGAAUGCGUACCUCUCUGUCUAGCAGAAUAACAGUGUUUAUCUCCGGAAUCCCCAUCUAAGACAUCACAAAGAAAAAAAAGAUGGAACUAGUCAGGUUCAAAUAAAUUUAGAAACUUGGGUCACAGAAGCAAAACAUCAGUUGGUCUUACAUCAUCCAUGUUGACUGGAUCCUCUAGUUGCAUAUUAUUCAACAACUCUGCAGCUUUGGUUGACGCCACACCCUUAGCCCUAACAUUCGGGAUAACUCCAAAUGCAAACUGGCAAAAGAUGCAGCAAUAAGCACAAAUGAAUAGUUUCAAGAAUCUUAUAAGUCAGUACAACAAAGUACAACAGGGUGUUAUGUCUUCUACUUAAUUAAUAGUGAACUUGAGAUUUUCAAUAUUUCUAAAAUUGUACAUACUCUGUACUCAUGUCCAUUUAAUACCUCAGGCACAAAUGCAUGCAUUAGGGCCUUUUUGGUUGGUGGCCUGGGCCAGCCAACACCAUCCAGCCCAGACCACCAAAAAUGCAAGCCUGGAAUUGCUGCCUGGUAGGCAGCUUUCCUAGGGUCCAAUCCAAACAGGCCACUAGUACAAGGAAGACAUAGAUACCUCUAAUUUAUGGAUCGCUUUAGCAACAUGCCAGAUAGAACUUGUAUCUCCUUCAAUAAGGCAUUCCUAUAAAAUCACAAGGGCUAAAAUGAGAUUCAGAAUAUCAGAAAGACAAAUGCUAGAUAUAUGCAAUAGUACCUGCAAAGAAUGGUCAAGUUCAAGAGACAGGACAUCGUCAUCCAAUGGAACUAGAUAUAAGGGAUAUUCUCCGAAUGUCAGUCUCUGAUGAACUUUCUCUUCCUCCAGGAUCUGCAGAUGCCAAGUAAAACAGUUCUUAGAAGUCAUUUUCCAAUCAGAGACAUGUUCUAUUUCCAUUCAUCUUCAUGGCAGCAGAAAAAGAAAGACACAGAUCAUCUUCAAGGUAUGUUAUUUAUUCUUAAAACAUUAACAUACAUAUAUGCAAAAUAAUAAUGUAAAGUCAUGGUCAAAGUAAAUAAUAUUUCAGGCCUGAUACGCAUCAUGUAUGAGAAUUGUAUAUAUAGUACAAACAGGACACAGCCAAUGCUUAGCAUGACAAAUACAAUACACAAGGUGCUGUCAUUAAACUCAUGUCUAAGCAUAGCCUAAGGGCAAAGGCAUAAACUAAUGAGCUAGCUCCAGCCUGCCAAGUGUAAUUGAUUGAAUGCAUGAACAUACAAGAAUCAGAAGGUUCAAGGAUACAUGUCCAUCUAACUGGGAAACGGUUAUUACUUUGAGUUUCAUUGUUAUUAAUAAAUUUGAAUUUAAAUUUAUAACAAAUCAAUAGAUCUGAGCAUUGCAAACUAUUCUACAGCACCCAUACACAAUAUAGAACCCACUAGUGGAUUAGUUCAAACAUGAAAAGAACUAGGAGGAUUCCCCGCGCGUUGCCGCUGGUAUGAAGAAGUAAUAUAAAUAUGUUAGAAUAUUAAUCACUAAGAAUAUAUAUGUAUAGUGUUGGUAAUGCAGCAAUAUAUGUUAAUAAAUGAUGUGGUUUGCUAAUGUGAAUAGCUUGAAUGAAGAUAUAAUGGCAUGUGUUAGUUGGAUGUAUUAGUCAAUGCUGAUGUGGACACUUUGCAUGGCGAGAUAGUUGAAUGUACUAGUGGAAUGUUCUAGUGGAUGCUGAUGUGGACACUUUGCAUGGCAAGAGAAAUAGCUAGUGGGGUUUAUCUUUAUAAGAGAUAUAGAUAUAGAUAACAGAUACCUUCUCACAAGCAACGGUGCGGCGAGGUACAAAGUAAAGGAAGUAUUCCCUCUGGAGCCCUUUAGGUUCAUCGUUCUUGAUUUGACUUGCAAUGAACUUCAUGAAGCUUAGCUGAGAGCGCACAAGAUAUAUGAUCUUUGGGCAUUCCGUCUGCAAGGGGUCGGGCGAGAGAAUCCGCAAUUCCGCACCAUACUCCUGAUAAGCAGAAUAAAGGGCGUAAUGAGCUAAGAAACUCCAGAUGAACUGGGGAAUACGCUAUGGCAUAGCCUAGACCUUGACAUAUGAUAUAUAUAAAAUAUAAAAUGUACUAGCAAAGAAUAUUACUGCAACACAGAGUUAUUAAAGAUAACCAGACAAGACUAGCAUACACAUAAGUGUCAUCACACCUUUAGCAGCGAUGUCUGCACAAUCAGUGACAGAGUCCCAGCGAGCUUGGGAUCAAUGACCAAGCACUUCUUCCCCCUUAUCUGGUACGCAUCACAAAGGAAAUCAAACUUCUCAGUUCAGUAUCAACAACAAGACCACCGGUGAUCAUGUUAUAACAAGCAGCUUGAGACAGGAAACACACAUUUUUUAGGAUGCCAAGCAGGUCCUUCUGCGACUGCUCCCUACAAACAGAUCGAAUAAGCCUGUCACAAUCCAAAUGCUUAACAGAUAUAGGAGGAGGCGAGCGAAUCAGACGGUUCACGAUGGUGGGGGCACCUGAGAGCCGCAAGGUUGAGCGGCGCGUUGUCGAGAUUGGGGAUCUGCGCCAUCUGCCCAGCUUUGAAUUGAAAUGAAUCUAUCCAAGUCCCGGUAGAUCCCCAGCCUAAACAGAGGUGGGCAACGGGGGGCAGGAAAGAACGAUUAAUCAAGCAGUACAGGAAUUUUCAGUAUACACUACAUCCAAGAUCACAGAAUUAAGCAAUUUGAGCACGCACGAAUCAAUUGGCGAUAAAUGAUGACUGGAUGAGGCAGAAAUCGUACAAUACCUCAGGCUGAUCGAGCGGGUUUGCGGCGGAGGCACGUCACGGGACGGACCAGAGGGUGUCUACGGAGCAAUGACGCAGUCCACCGCCCAAGGGAGGGAGAUCGGGCGGCGGCGGCGCUCCGCGGCACCCGUCGUCUCCUCCUGCCGCCCAGCGGGAUCACCGGCGUUGGGGCGCUGCGAGUUCGAUAGACCGAAGGUCGCCGGCGGCGGCCGGUAUCGCUGAGACGAGAUGGGCUGGGCUGGGCAGCACGCAGACGCAGCCGAAGGAGGUAAAAAAAUGAAAAUCGAUAUUUGUUUUGUUUUUAUGUUUUUUAAUUCGUUUUUCAAAAAAAACACCGGAGUUUAAAGAAAUAGAGGUAUAGAUAAUUAGCGGGUGUUUAGUUCCGUUUCAUCCAAAAAAAUUCUGGAUUUUAGACCAUCAUUUUGCAUAAUAAUAAAACUAAACAUGAUGCAAAAAUUUAGCAAAAAGGUGGUCAUUCUUUAUUUUAGACUAGUAAAUAUGCACGUGCGUUGCAACGGGAUAUAUAAGUUUUAGUAUUGGAGAGAACAAAUGACCAUAAAAUUUUUUCAUUAUUUAAUAAAUAGUAUAGUAGGCUACCAUAGUUAAAAUUUAUGGCACUAAAUCCACAAUACUAAUAUAAGUUGUUCGGGCGCCCUUCCUAAAAAUUAUGAUGUUUCUAGUUUCAAAUUUUAUUACCUUGAAUGAAGGUAAUCAGUUUUCUAUUUUUUUUUAGUAGCAUCUCUAUUUGCUUUCAUACCAAAAUUGUGAUCUUGUGGGUCUCCACAUCAAUUUUUUUCUUUGGGAAAAACUGCCAGCUCAAGCGAUUCUCGCUGCACGUGGCACAUGCGACCUGAUGCUGCUUGGUCUGGCAUGGGAUAGCUCGCUUGAGCUCGCUGUGCGCAAGCUGCGUGAAGCGGUUUGAAGCUCAGGUGGAUUCGAUUUUUGGAACGUGGUGCUUCUUCAAUUCAGGGCUCCAAGCCUCGUCUCCGGUUAAAUAGCAGAAGUAUGCUCGUUGUCUCUGUCUCGUCUCGCCACUAUCCUGUUCCGCACCUAAAGUGAUGGCACCCUCGUCCUCUGUCCGUCCGUGUGCUGAGAAUCUCGGAACCCGUGGUCAUGUGAUGUGGGGACGAAGAACCCAGCCAAUAGCUUGGUCAACUUGGGCAACCACGCACAGCGCAAAAUCGUCCGUGUCAGCCCGGCUCAGCCCAACUACAGCCCACUAUCCCACCAGUAUAUAAUGCUUCAUCCAAAAUAACCCUAGGUCUAAUAUUUACUCACCAGCCGCCGCCACACCUGUGCACGCACCUGCUCCUCUUCUCCUCCACCCAUGGGCGUCCUCUCCAUCCCUGCUCUAGUGAGGUUGUGUGGAGAUUGCCCCAAAACUUUGCUGGCUUGGAUCUCUAUGUCUCUCCACCCUUGCCUUGCUCUCUGACUUGUAGCUCCACUCAUGGAUGAUUGGGGCUUAUCGAGCUAUUGGGCAACACGCCCAUCACCGUGCUCUUGUGCCACGCCGGCGGAUCCCCACGUCGACAGCCAGCGGCGUCCUCGAAUUCUCCCUAGCGCCACCUAGAAGAUCUCCCACGCCAUCAUCCUCAUCAAGGGCGUCGACAGCUUGCUACUAUUUGUUUCGAUUUUUUGCGCUGUUAGAUUUUAUUUCUACUUGAUUCGAGGGCUGAUUCCAGGAGUGCUAAGCAGAGAGGAUUUGUUAUUAUAUAGAAAACAUAUGUAGAUCCAAAUGAAAAUCUUGGGCUUCUUUUUCGAUUUGUAAUUCUUUUUGUUAUUUGACUUGUUGGAUUCUCCUUCCUUUACUUGUUUGCCCUAUUACUUUGUACAUGUAUAGGUUCUACAUGAACUUUGUUUUCAAGCUCUACUGAAAACGUAUAAGAUUAGGUAAAAGGAGGCUUGGCCGUGAGUCGAAGCCGGUACAGGCAAGAUGCCAGACGAAGGCGGACAGGGCGAGCGGACAGAAAAAAGGGCAGAAAAAAAAGGCAGACUGAAAUUUUGGCUCUUUAUAGAUAGGUAUAGAUUUUAGCCAAAGAGACAAAAAAAAACUCCAAAAGCGUCCACCCCCACUAGCGCCAAGAAAAAAUUGACAUUUUGGAUGAAAUUAAACACAUAUAUGAUAAGUUUGCUAUUUUAUAUUUCAUCAUUUUAAAAUACUUGGCAUUUUGUAUUUUGCAUUCCAUGAUAAACUAAACACACCCUUAGAUAUAGAUAAGUAGCAACCUUAAUUUAUUUCCUUUCUCUCCAAUAGUUUCCUAGCUAUGACAUAGGAGGGGUCUUUUUUGUUUUUUUAGUCUAUCUGUAUUAGUAUUCAAAUAAAAAUGUGGUAUUUAUAUUGAUUUGAUUCCAUGUGAAUUUGAUCUGUUUCCAUCCUUGCCAUGUUCGUAGACAAAAGCCAAAAACAAAACAGCGCACAAAAAGAUUUUGUAGAGACACCUAAUUCUCACUACCAACAAAUGUCUAGCACAAGGCGGCGCGACAACAAAGCCUACCUCGUUUCCUAUACAAGUUUGGGUAGUAAAACUAAGUCAGGCUAGUCUAAGUCUGUCCUUAAUAAACCAAAACUUGUUUGUUUGAUUGUGUACGUUGUUGGGCCUGACUAGGAUGAGUUCGUGUGUUGGUUGGUUGGCUUGGUUUGCAUAUAGUCACCUCUUUUUUCGACUUGGUGAGUUCAGCCCCUUUGAGUCAUUUUCUCAGACACGACUGGCACACCCUCUCCAUCUUCUCAUCGCCGCCCAAGAAAAGAACCUGACGAGUUCCCCCAAUCCACCAGAACCUCCCUACAUCCGCAAUGGGGCCCAGUGCCCACCUUGCUGCUUGCCACCGUCCCAUCGAAUCCACAACACUAUUGUUGAUGUGCUGGGGCCAUCGAGUUGCCGAGAUUCUAGCGUGAGGCAAGGUUAUUGACCGUCCCUUGCGCGCAUAGGAGGGAUCGGAGGAGCGUUCACCAAGGCUUCUUUGAGUGCAUCCUCAAGUUGAUGUGGUUGCAGUUCACGCCGCCUUCGCCUGCGCCGACGCUGGUGGCUGUGCUGCUUAGCGUCGAGCUCGUGUUGCUCCUUGUUGAUGCGUCCCUAUCGGAUGCGAAUGGGAUCUCCAGUGAGACAGGGAGGACCGCUGACUGGCGAGGGGCGAGGAAGGCGUGGUGCGAGCAGAGUGAGCAAGGCAGCACGACAAGCACCAUUGCAGGUAGGGCGCAUCAUCUAGGGUCCACCAAUCUCGGCACUGAUGAAGGAGGAGGGGGUCAUCACCACGGUGGUGAAAAAAGAGAGGAUUUCUAUCGUAGUGGUUGUCGCUGCCGAGUCGGAUGCAAGGAGGAAAGGGCUACUGCAGUCACGACAUCAACCUGGAGAAGGACGAACACAGGAAGAGCGUGUGGUGAGGUGCGGGGAGGUGACGAGAAUGACUCGACUGAGCUGGCUUAGGCCUGGUCAGGAUUGAAUCGCCGAUUCGACGAUCCCACUUGGUUCAGGCUAUAGGGGUACGACUAGCUACAUGUAGCCAUGCUCCAGGAACUUACCAAUGAACCAAACAACUAGAAACUGGCAUAAGGAAGCCAGGAGCAAGGUUGGGCUGACAACCAAACACACCCAUAAAAAAUACCCCGCACAUAUAUACCAACAAAUGUCCAGCACCAGCCGCCGCUACCAACAAAUGCUCAACAGAAGAUGACGCAGUGGAGCGUGCCCUAUACUAGCAUAUUACAAGAGGGGACAAAUAAUAAAAUGGUGUACUAUAUGAUGGCUGGUCUUGCAGGAUCUAUAAAUAUCUCUCCCAUAUGCUUGAAAAUCAACAGAAGUGUGUCCACUGUCCAGUGUGCUAGUAUAUCAAUAAAGUGGUAUACUAUAUGAUGGCCGGUCUUGUAGAGCUGCCUAUAAAUAUCUCUCACUUCUGCUUGACAACUAACAACGAAACAAAGCGACGACGGCUCUAAACAGUAAACACUGAGCACGCAGUGUGCACUACCACACGAGAGGGGAGCAAUAAGCGAGGUUUAUUUGUGAGAGAAGCAAAAAUGUCUUUCCUACUGUUUGUGUUGCUAAGAUGCGUCCCUCCGGUCCUACAAUUUUGAGGACCCUCUGGCGAUUACAUCACGACGACUCCUAAACUAUAAAAUUUUAUAAUAAUAUAAGCUAAUUUUUUCAUAAAGGGAAAGCAAAUCCAAUCAUAUAUAGACAAAUUGCUCUUAUUGUUUUUUCAUUUUCUUUUCAUGGUCCCUGACAAAUGUUUCUUAGGUAACAUUCUAAAAUUCUAACACCUGACCUAAAUUAUAAGAAAAAUAUAACUAUAUGAGUAUAAAGUACUAGACAAAAAUUGAACAAGAAAAAAAACCAGUGCCUAGACAAUUGGGACAUGAACAGAACCAAGAUUCACAAAUCACAAAAAAUAAAAGGCUAGAAGGAAAUAACCAACAUCUCAUGUCGUAGUCCUCGUCGAGCCCUACCAACUGGUCGCCGCUAUCAUUUGGAUUUUGGAAGGCAAGAACUCGAGCGCAGAGGUUUUGGUAUUAUCCAUUGCAGCUCGUGAUCGCGUGGUGAACUGGUGAAUGUGUCGCUGAUGUCGCUGCGUCUCUCUUCGCGGUCUCACCAUCUCACAAAAAUUCUAGAAAUCGCGACUCAUGAUCGCGAUGUGUGACAACUCGUGUAUAGGCGUUGGUGGCUUGACUCCUUUUGGCUCACGAUUUUUUUGGUAAUAAGACAUUGCAUCAUAUAUAUACAUAUGCUAAUAAACAAAAAUUAUAGCUAAAAGAUAUGUUGUAUUAUAUACUUAGGUUUGGGCCCCAUCCCGCGAGGGCCCUCGGCCGUCGCACCUCUUGCCCUCCCCUUAGGGCCGGCACUCCCUCUUCGCUUAAAGCAUGACAACAGCUACCUACGCUUCGUACAUGAUGAGAUCCACGACGACCUUGAUCGAGCUCGGCAGCUCCGACGACAGCGUGAUGAGCCCAUGCUGCAAGUUCUACCUGGAAUCGUGUAAGGAGCAUGAGGGGCUUAUGCAUGCAUGUUAGGUGUUGCUUCAACAACAAGUACUGGGUGCCCCAGCAAGUGCGUGCUUCAUGGCGGCAGCGCUUGCUGAGUCAUUCGCACCACGAUGAGCUGGAGGAAGAGCUGUCCAAGCCGUCGUGCACCCUACACAAGCUCAUCCCCAUCGCCAACGAGCAAAGUAGAAGACGGCUCCACCUGUAGCUUUACAUACUAUGUCUCGUAUAUACAUUACUCCUGCGCUAAUUAGUUUCUUAUUUUGUUUUGAAAACAAGUUAAACAUGGCACAUGGCACGUCGGUACGCUUUCUGAGUCAUGCUGACCCAAGCCGGUUCUCAAAUUAUCUUUGCUAGCUAGUUUUCUUUUGUUCGUUUGUGAUAUAAAAAUUAUAUUUUGUAUCAACUAUAUUUUUAUGAAGGUUUUAAUGAUUUUUAUAGUCCAUUCAAGAAUUGGAUGAGAGGUAGUAUAGUAAAUAUUAGAAAAAUUCUAUAAUAGCAUUAUAGAUAUGCUUAUUAGGUGCCAUUUUCGUGUUGUAAUUGUUCAAAAUGCGGACCGGGCUAGAUGCUCCUGUGUCUGAGGAUCAAGUUAUUUCUUUCUGUCUUUUAGAAAGUACAACCGAACCUAACGAUGCUCCCAUUCAAUUCAAUGACUUGAAAAUACUUGAGUUUGUUUGCCGAAACAUAUAUAGAAAUUCAGUUCAGGCCUUGUUUAGUUCACCCCAAAAAUUAAAAUUUUUUCAAGAUUUUUCAUCACAUCGAAUCUAAGGGCAUAUGCAUGAAGCAUUAGAUAUAGACAAAAACAAAAACUAAUUGCACAGUUUGCCUAUAAAUUACGAGAUGAAUCUUUUAAGCUUAAUUUGUCCAUGAUUGAAUAAUAUUUAUCAAAUAAAAACGAAAAUACUACCGUACCAAAAUCUGAAAUCUUUUCAGAACUAAACAAGGUCUCAAUAAGGUUUCCAUCAAAGGAAUCUCUGAAUUCUGAAAUUGCUUUCAAUUAAAUAUAUAUUAAAUUGCACACCUGUCGAUCGGUCCUAGAUUCAUAGCAAAUGGGUGUGCUGGUCCGCUGACCUAGAUUCAUUAGUAGGCUAGAGUGCUAGACUCCAAACCAAGAAAACUCCCCGUUCCCAACGGCAUUGUUUGUCGUGAAUUGUUAGGCCUUGACUUCAAAUGAGGCCAUGUUUAGUUUUUAAAAAAAUACAAAUUUUUCAAAUUUUUCCGUCAUAUCGAAUCUUACGGCACAUACAUAGAGUAUUAAAUAUAGAUAAAAAAUAACCAAUUACACAGUUUAUCUAUAAUUUGCGAGACAAUUUUUUUAGUCUAGUUAAUCCAUAAUUAGACAAUAUUUGUCAAAUACAAACGAAAAUAUUACAGUGUCCAUUUUACCAAAAAAUUUGAAACUAAACAAGGCCUGAAAAGAGAAAAAACACGUCAAUCUUCAUGAACUUUCCGUUAAUAUUUUUUGUACAAAUGUUUUCUUUGUUUGAUAAGAAGUUGGGUUUCAGAUAACCACUAGAAUAAUAAUCAUUUGACACGUGCACCCUUCAUCCCAAAAGGAAAGAUUAUUAUGCUUUUACACAUAGUGCAUAUGGAGAUACAUAACAAAAUUCAUGUAUAUAGGUAAGUCAUGACGACUUAUUUGAAAAGGAGAAAGAAUGUCAUUCAAUUUAUCAUGCAAUAUAUAGUUUCAUAUAUAUCUCUCUUUUAUAUCAUAAAUGUUGAUAUUUUUCUCCUUUAACUUGGUUACAUUUAGGCCUUGUUUAGUUCUAAUUUUCUUUUAUAAAAUGUAUUAACACGGUAGUACUUUCGUUUGUAUUUAACAAAUAUUGUUUAAUUAUGGACCAACUAGGCUCAAAAGAUUCUUCUCACAAACUACAGGUAAACUGUGCAAUUAGUUAUUAUUUUUAUCUAUAUUUAAUGAUAUAUGUAUGCGCCGCAAGAUUCGAUGUGACGGAAAAUGUGAAAUACUGUAGCACUCUUGUUUGUAUUUGACAAUUAUUGUCGAAUCAAGACCUCCCCCUGGUGCGACAUUCUCCCCUUCGUUCCGUCGGUCCGCUUCUACCUGCGAUCCACGCUUCGUCGCAAGUACGAUAGGAAGGCGCCGGCAAGUGGGACCAAUUCACCGUCUCGCUCCCUCACUCCGCCCUCCUCCUCGUGCGAUGCCCACCAGAUCGCGACACCAUGGCCUCCCGCGAUGGCUCCUCCUCCUCGUGUGACACCCUCGCCAGAUCGCGACUCCACGACUCGCGACAUUGCCGCCUCAGCCUUGUGCGACGCCCUCGCGACUUGCGAGACCUUGCGACACCGCGACAUCGCCUCCUCGCGACCUCGGCUCCAUCCUCCUCAAUCCCGAUCCGUCACCACCGAGCCGACGCCACCGGAUGCUGCCGCCUCCAUGAUCACCGUCGCUGCGCCCACACAACGCAGCAGGAUCGCCAGGUGUGCCAAUCCCUUCUCAUCCCUUCCUGUUGUGUGAACGUGCGAAAAUCGGGCACCAAACCCUAAUCCUUCGAUGCCGCUGGACAAGACUGCCUCUAGGAUUGCUCGUCGGCGCGUUCCUGUUGUGCACAAGUGCGAAACCGAGCACCAAACCCUAACUUAUUGGAUUUGUGCCAGCAGAUCUGUGUGCUUUUGCACUGAAUGUUUCUUAGCACUUUUGCUCUUCAUCCGUUGUGCAAAUGAGAUCUGGCUAUGAAAAACAAUAAUUUUGAUGUACAGUUUGAUUAGGGAUUAGCCGAAAUUGCAUAUUGUUUUUCAUGAUCCAGUGCGUAAUUGUCGAUUUUUUCCUAUACGUUUGUUAGAUCUAAAUGCUCUAAAAUUGUUUAAAUGCACUUUCACUUUGGAUAUGUAAGCCUUAAUGUACAUAUACAGAGUAUAGCAUGUUUAGUUUUAAUUUGAUGUGCUUACAUCUAUUCAUAAUUUUAUUAGAUCUGCAGGAAAAAUAAUAGCAUACUUAUUGCUUUUGUCUGCUUAAAUCUGUUAGAACUGGGAUACAAACUGACAUAUUGUUAUAGAAUUAGGUUGGGCGUGGUAGUAAUAGCAUAGCAGUAGCAAUUUGAUUUGAAGGUGUCAAAUUUGACCGAACAAUUUGCUAGCGCGAUGAAAUUUAAUGUUUGUGACACAAACCACUUGGCGUAAGCUGUUGCCUGUUUGAUAAUUGCAAAUUGGAAUUUGACCUUACCCAUGUAGCAUCUCUAUUUAGUAUAUUGCUUAGCACAAGACUGUCAACUCUCUUCUGCAUCUCUGUAUAUUUAUUUAAUAUCAUUUAAUUCAAAUUUACUGCAGUGCUUUCAUCAUUGUUGCUUAUCUCAUGACAUCUGAACGGAUUGAAUAAUUGAUAGUACUUAGUUAAGUAUAAAAGUCCACCUCAUGUACAUAAUCAGGGUGAGGGUGGUGGUUAAGAAAGUCAUAUAGUUCAGCAAGAGGAUUCAUAAAGAAAAGGUGGUUACUCAUGUAAAGAAUCUCAUUGCUUAUCUUUUUUCAGAGGAGGCUCUGUAAAAUUAUGCUUGCUGAUAGAUUCCUUUCUGAAUUUGAUAUCUUAUAUCUAAUACAAUAUAAGGUGGACGUAGGAAUAAGCCGAACCACACAGUCUUUGAAGAGAACAUUACUUACGCCUCCAAAGUGUAAGGUCCUUUAUACUUUGACACCUAUUUUCUAAAACAUGCUAUAGAUAAGCUGACAGCAUCAAGAGCUGCUAAAGUGUUCUAGGUUCAGGUGAACUAUUAUGAUUUUUAUAGGAAGUAUGCUCUAAGGAAUAAAAUGUGCGUUGCUAGCUAAAUUUUAUUUUAUAUGAUAGGUAAUCAAGCCUUUACUGUAUGGAUCAUCAUUCAAAUUGGUCAUGUGGUCAAAUUAUUUUUAUGCUCACAGGUUAUAGCUAUUUUGCUUGUUCUUGAAUCAGGGAUAGAAAGUGUUUUGAAUAGCAAGAGUUCUGAAUUUUGAUGUGUGCAAACUGACAAGUUUUUGGUUAUAUUCAGUUAAUGUAUUCUUCAAUUUAUUCUGUGCAGACCACUCAAAAGAAAUACAUAUCUCUGUCUAGCUUGUGCAGGUGUGUACUAUUUUUUGUGCACUCAAGUUUUUGUGCUUUCAUUAAAAAUAGUUUUUGUUUAAUCUCUAUGGUUUAUAUACACCUUUUCUUCUUUACAUAGACUUUGAUGUAGGCCUAAAUCUGUAAUCAAGAAUUAUGUAACAAUUCUCAUGCAUUGCUGCGAUUUAAAGAAUAUAUUAGAAAGAUGUGCUCUAUUCCCAUGUUUUAGUAAUCAUGAGUAACUCCACAUAAAAAAGGUCUUGGUUGGCAUUUGAAUUAAUGAAUCUGCUAGACUUAACAUUACUCCCCCCCAGUUGGAGCUGGCUAAUAGUAUUACCUAUUUUUGUAGAGGUUACCUACUUUGUUUAGUAGAUGAUAUCAGUAGUUACAAUGUUUCACAACUGGAGCUGGAUUUAGAGUAGUCUGGAGUUGUGUUUCCUAAUUUCCAUUGUGGUCUCAUUUGGCGGUGUGUGCUUCCUUUGGUUAAGCAAGAUUUUUUGUUAAUUCAGAUUUUUUAAGGCCCACAUGUCUUGGAACAGGUGACAAAUCGGUCAUCAUGUGGUUACAGCCUUCUGCAAUAUAGGUUGUGUGCGGUGACUCUUUCUGAUUAGGCCAAAUUUGUGGACUACAUGGAUAGCAAUGUCAGAUUAUUGCGGUCAGAUCCUAAUCAUUUUUCACAAAAGCAUCACCGUGUUGUUAGAGAAACACUACAAAUAAGAAGGAAAUGGAAAUAGAGGAGUGGCAUCUCAGUGAAUAACUUUAACAAAUGAAGUUAAUGUCUCAUUGGAAGAACUAUUUCUUGAUGUAGGCAACAGAUGAAGUUAAUGUGGCCUAUGCCUGCUUCCUGGACCGUACCGUGGGCAGCCUUGAAUCAUGGUCUUACUGAAUAUGUAUGUAUAUUGUUAGUGAAUAGCUUCUCUAAUUGAAUCAUUGUUUUCCUGAGUUUGUAAAAAUAUGUAUCUGUGCUGUUAGUGCCAUCUCAUAAUUUCUCUCCUUCCAAGAGUCUGGCUAAGUGAUCCAUCUGUCUCUGAAAUUGCUAUGUUGGCUACCAACUGAAUACUGUAUGUACAGAUAUUGUUCCUUGCAAUCUUUGGAAGAGGAUGAAAUUCUGACUAUAUAUGCACCCAUAGGUCUGUCCAUAGAAGGUUGUGCAGUACACUCUUAAUGUUUCCUCAUGUGUAAUGACCAUAUCUUUUUUUGUGGAAUUUUUUGAGCUAGAAUAACACAAGAAAAGGUACUCUGUCAAGUAGUUAGCAUCCAAGAUGCACAGAGCAUGAGGAUAUCAUGUGGGAUGUAUUUCAGAGUUCAGGUGACCUUAGAACCAACCUUGAUUUCUCAAACAUAUAAAUUAUUGAAUAAUAAUGUUUUAAGAGCUUGCUAGACCUUGAUUUAGUCAUUUUUCAGUGUGGUACUUUAGCUUUUCACUUGCUGUAAUUGAUCCUUUCAAGAGUUGUACAUUUAUUGUUAGGUGAGCAAAACAUACUUUGACAAGGAUUCCUUUUUUUUCCUUUGAAAAAGGUCAGGAUCUGAAAGAAAUUCAGACCUUUGUAGUUUUGGUUCAAGAAUUUCCAUCUUCAAUAUAGCUGAAUAAUAUUAUAUUGUCGUGUUUGAUAUUUUCACACUACAACUAUUGUUACAUGAAAAAAACACAGGCUAAACUCGUUGAUAAGUAAGGUCUGAGAAGAGGUUUACGCUAUUUCUGUCUAGCUAUCAAUGUAGGGAUUAGCACUACCCGCUAAAAUCACUCUAUUCUUAAAUACGAGUAGUAGCUUGUUAGUUUGAGUCUCUAUUUGCAGAUGAUAUUAUUACUACAUUAGUGGCAUAUGUAUUUGUUUCUAAUCAGUUCUGCAGUACGCGACCUCCAUCACCACCAUGCAUGGUCGUCCUGGCGUUGUGAAUGCAAGUAGGAAACCUAGGGAUCUUCUUCAGGCACGGCUAUGUGCAACGCAUGUCCUUCGGCGAGACAGAGCUUGUUGUGGGGUUUUAGGGUCUCUAUAGGCUUGUGAUGGCUGGAAUGGAGCUUGUCGUGGUGGUGCUCCGGCCAUGGCGAGCCUUUGGGGCGAUUCACUAGCAUAAGUGUUCCGGAGCGUUGUGGGCUCGGCAAGGCCAUGCUUGUGCUUGUGCGAGUGUGUGUAUGUACUGUGACAUAAAAAUAUGGGGCCUUAGGUCUCUUAUGUGGAGAGACCAUGAUGGUGGCCAUGGUAUACCGGUGAGCGAGGUAGGCGUGGGGGCGGCUCACUCAUGGUAUACCGGUGAGCGAGGCAGGCGUGGGGGUGGCUCACCGCGGGCGAUGGCUAGAAUGGCGGUGCAGUGGCGAGUUGGUGUAAUGCAGGUGUAGGCUAUGCAGCAGCGCCAGUGUGAUCGUUGUCUCUGUUCCCAGUGAUGUCAAGCGGCUCUAUAUUAUCUUAUCAUGCGAUCUAUAUGUUUUUAAUAUAAAAGUUUUGCUAUCCCGUAGCAACGCACGGGCAUGCUACCUAGUAAACUCAAAAGAUUCGUCUCGUAAAUUACAAGUAAACUAUGCAAUUAUUUAUUUUUUUUAUCUAUAUCUAAUGCUUUAUGCAUGUGUCAUAAAAUUUAAUGUGAUAAGAAAUUUUGAAAAGUUUUUGGAUUUUGAAUAGAACUAAACGAGGCCUAAGGAAAUAAUUGUGUCCUUGUGGGUCAUCUCAUCAGUGACCGGCCGGCGGGUCACCUCCAUCCUUUUGCCGCACCAAACACUGCCGACCUUGCCCCAGCUCUUGUGAACAAGAACAACACGCUGUCAACGUGGGCCCCCUCUAUGAUGACUAGUACUAUUCAACCCUAAUUACCCUGGAAUAUCCCACCACCACCACCACCACCAGUCCACCACAAAACCGGGAUCAGUAAUCGUAACCGCCCUGCACGACAGUUGAGGCCAGGCUGUUAACUACCAAACCUCACCUCCCCCCUAUAAAUCCGACCCCAUGGCCUCCGCCAGCCCCCAUUCCACCUCACGCCGCCUCCACGCCUCCAGCAGAACCCUAGCAGCCCCCUUCCCGGCGCCGCCACCACCUCGUCGUCCGUUCCCGUCCGCAUCGAUUCGAUGGCCCGCGUCUCCGCCGCCGUGAUCGCCGCCUUCGUGGCGGUGGCCGCGCUGGCCACCGCUGCCUCCGCCGCCGAGGCGCCGGCUCCGGCCCCGGCCUCCGGCGCGGGCGCCCUCUCGGCGCCGAUCUUCGUGUGCUUCCUCCAGGCGCUCCUCGCCGCCUUCCUCUGCCACCACUGAGCCACUGAGGAGAUGUGGUGGUGGUGGGCUCGCCGCCCCGUCUGCGUGCGCGCGCGUCUUCAGAUCUAGUGGUACAGUGGUAGUGGGAGUCUGCAGUCUAGUAGUAGUGGUAGUGUCGUUAGCGGUGGUGAUAGUUUUAUGAAGAGGAGGCAUUUGUUUUGGUCCGCGUGGCGGAUGGAUGGAUGGAUGGAUCUGAGGGUUUGGAGAGGUUUUUUGAUGGUGGAUUUGAUCUAGUGUGAUUGGUGUGAGUUUAUUAUUACUAUUAUAUUAUUUAUUAUUAUUGUGUGCGUUCCUGUACCUACUGCGCACCGGCUCUGAGAGGAUUAUUAUUAUUAUUAUUAUGGAUUUGUGGUGUUUUAUGUUACUGCGUCUUCUCUAUGCAGUGCUCAUAUGAAGUAGUAGAUUGUUGUUUUGUUUUGGGCCUUGUUUAGUUCCGAAAAAAUUUCGGAUUUUGGUACUCUAGCGCUCUCGUUUGUUUUGUGGUAAAUAUUAUCCAAUCAUAGACUGACUAGCCUCAAAAGAUUCAUCUCGCGAUUUACAGACAAACUGUAUAAUUAGUUUUUGUUUUCAUCUAUAUCUAAUGCUUUAUGCAUGUGUUCUGAGAUUCGAUGUGAUUGAGAAUCUUGAAAAGUUUUUGGAUUUCGGGGUGAACUAAACAAGGCCAUUUGCAGUGCACCAAUUCUACUAAAAUUUCAUACUCUCCUCCGUCCUCUAAAGAGUGUAAUCUUAAAAUUUAAAUUUUGUCAAAAAAAAAUAUAACUGUGGAGUUGAGAUCAACUUUUCUAAAAGGAUCCACCUAUUAAAAAAAAUGAUUGCAUGUCUUGAACACUACCGUACCCUAACUAUCCAUGUGCAUAAAAUUUUUUAAACUUCUGAAGAACAUUCUAGAACAUCGAAUAAAGAAAGAAGACAAAUAUGUAAUUUUACAUGUACACUAAUCUUACCUUAAAAAAA
This 114138-nucleotide long non-coding RNA is filed under the name Sorghum bicolor (sorghum). Its description in RNAcentral is "long non-coding RNA (SBIC_LNC005410)". The stretch from base 88453 to 88636 matches the Rfam family "MIR1435 microRNA precursor family". The record is from RNAcentral. Lineage: Eukaryota; Viridiplantae; Streptophyta; Magnoliopsida; Poales; Poaceae.